GUUUUUUUCUUUUUUGAAAAUCUUUUUAAGAUUCCACCUCCAUGAAUCCUUCUAAACUCUUCUUUGUUUUAAUAAUAAACUUGUGGAGUUUGUUUCUUCUUCCAAAGCUUUUAAGUUAACCCUAAAUUUUAAAUUAGGCUUCUUUUUAUUUUUUAUUUUUUAAUUAAGAUUCGGAAAAAAACUUUUGAUUGUAGAAAAUAAAUCAAAUAAGUUACACCAAAUAAUAUUCUUUUAAGAAAAGUGAUUUUCACCGUCUUUUUAAUAAAAAAAAACAUUUAUUUAAAAAAGUUAUUCCAAAUAUGCUUAUUAAGAAUAUUUUUUAUGAUAUCAUGAAUUAAAAAUUUACAAAUGUUUUGUAGUUUGGAUUAAUCAAUCCAAAGGAAAACAUAUUUUCAGUUAGGGAUCCAAAUUUAGUAACGUUUACGAAAAUGGAGUUAAAUCAAUAAUGAAAUAUAUAUGUUUGUGUAGUUAAAUAAAAAGAAUAUGAGAAGAGAAAAAGUGAACCUGCCACUUUGGCUAUUCCAAGGGAAAGGCCAAUGAAAGAAUAAGUAAAAGACAUGAUAGCAGCGAGUGUAGAGAGCCACCAAAUCUGAUCAAAAUUUGGAAUUUGAGAUAGAAUUAUUUCCACAACUCCAAAAGACAUCAUGAAUGGGUUGCUUGAAAUAUGACAUGGAUUUUUUCCACCACUACUAUGAAAGCAAUUUGACCUUUUAAUUGCCCUGCCAAUUAAAUUAACAAUAUCACUUUCUUAUCUAUAAUUUUAUUUCCAUAAAUAUCACUUUUAUCAUUAUUCAUCUUGUUAGGCAUUCUUAAAUAUCUAAGACAAGUUUUUUAAAAAAUAAUAAUCUAACAACUCAUUUUUGUUUUUAGAAUAUGACUAUGAGAAAUUGUUUAAUUUUCUAUAUAUUUACGUAAAAAAAAUGAAAAUCAUGAAACAAACACACACACACACACAUAUAUAUAUUUUUAUAAUGAUUUUCAGAUUUGAAAAUUGGAAAACAAAUACAAAAGUCCUGUAGAUGGAAAGUAAAUAUUAAAAUAAAUAAAUUUAUGUGUGGAAAUCACGUGUCUAUGAGCUUAGUCAUAAAAACACAAAUGGUUAUCAAAGAAGCAUUAUGUGUUAGCUUUUAAAACUUGGUUUUUCAAAAGUUAAAUGUUUAUAGAAGAAGAUUUUCGUCUUAAAUUAUAGUUUGGAAAUGUUUUGAAUGUUGAGCUUACAUCAUACUGAUUGAGGACGCAAUCUGAUAUCCAAUUGUUAUUCCCAUCAAGUUUAUGUUCUGCAUUACUCCACAUGCCACCAUAUGAGCUUCACCUAAUUUUAAUGAAAUUAAUAUGUCAAUAAAUAUAUAUGAUUUAAGAAAACAUUGGUUACUAAAGAAAAACAAGAAUAUUUCAUACCAAGGAGGGAGCGAACGGCAUGCAUGUAAGUAGGGUUUCUCUUUCCAGUAAGAGGAUCACCGGAGCGAUAGCAGUCGGCAAGCAAGCAUGAGGUGUAGUGACCGAUGAAGGCGAACAACAACAUGACGGAGGGACCGACAAUCCACCCUAGCUGAGCAAUCGCCCAUGCUAACGAUAACACACCCGAACCAAUAACCGUAGUGAUUAUGUGAGCACUUGCCGUCCAAAGCGUACCUGAUUAAUUAAAACAUAUCAUAACAUAAACAACACGGAGAUGUAUUAUAUUAUGUGAAUUAAGAGAGAUAUUGAUUAUAAUUAAUUAUAUAUAUGAAAAUAUGUAAAUACGUAGGUGAAGUGAUGAGGUACCGGUUCGUUUUGGGUGUCCAUCAUCGUCGAAGCUAGAAGAGUCGUUGAGGGGAAGCACAGCCAUGGGGGUGGCGUGGAGUCAAUGGAUAGGGGAGAUAUGGGGAAAGGUUAUGGAAGGUAGCUGUUUAUAUAAGAGUUUCAAAAGAGGAAAUAAUAAAGAAAAUAAAUAAUAAUAAUAAUAAUAAUAAAAUAAUGCGUUUUGAGAAGGACCCCAGUUUUAAGAAAUUUUCUAUUAUUUCAAUUAUUACCCUCAAAAUUUGCAAGUGAGAGUGGAACCUCAAUGGGUUGCAAAAAAACUGUCGUCCCACUUACCCACUACUGUAUUAUCAUAAUUGAUGAUGGUUAAUUAAAAUCAAAAACCCUCAACUAAUAAUUUUAUUGUAUUAAUCUACACUUUAUUCUUUGAAGAUUGUAUCAUUUACACUUUAUACUUUAUUCUUCAGAAGAUUGUAUCAUUUAUAUUCAUUCCAACUCAUGAUGGUAUUAGUUUAAACUUGUAAGCUUUUAUAUAUAAGUACAUAUAUCAACCUAAAAACUACAAUUUUUUUUUACAGGUGUUUAUCAAUUAUUAAAGACCUGAACUUUCAUAAUUUUAAUUUGGGAGGAAAGUCAAGAUUGAUGAGUUAUUUAUGAAUGAAUAAGAAAGAAAAUUAGUUUAGAAAAUUCUUAACUAAUUUGAGAUUGUAGAAAUACCUCUUUAGAUAUUCGUCUUAGAGAACAUGUGCACGUAGGGAUAUAGUUGAAAAAGAAGGGGGGUUUAUGCAUGUUAAUCUUUUGCUCGAUAUCUUCUUCUGAUCUACAUGAUUGCUGUCAAUUUAAAUAGACAUUGAAGCUUGAUUCCAAUCUUCCGUUGAUCUCUGGGUUUUGCAUGUGAUCCAAUUUGGAUAUAAAUAAGGUCAAAGUGUGAGAUGUGUUUUGUCUAACUCAUCACUCAUACCAAAGCAUUCUAAAAGAAGGUGAAGGACAUCUGUCCUUUCUUUUGACAACUCAAACAUAUACACAAACACAUUUCAAUUUGCCACACCAAAAAAAGAAAAAAAAAAAGAAAAAUCUUUUUUAUUCUACAUUUUCCUUUUACUUUAUAUUUGCUACCGUUGAAGAUCAAAUUUACACUUUUUAAUUCAAUUUUUUUAUUAAAUACUAAUUUUAAGUUAUUAUUAUUAGUAUUAAUAGAGGUGAAUUUAGAUAAAUAAAAGAAUAUUGAAACUAUUUACAUUCUACACCAAACAAAAAAAAAAUGGAGAAAAUAUAUUAAUUUUCUUUUAUUCCAAAAAUAUUCUUGAUGUUUUACUCAAAUAUUUGCCCUCCAUGACAUAUUCUUCUAAUUUAUUUAUCCAUGGUUUUUAUUCUGAUCUUUGUUUGUUUUUUCAAUAAUCGUGUUCAUCCUUUUCUUCUUAUCAGCCUCUUCGUCUACCUCAAAUUUAGGGCUUCAUAGCCAAUGUUUCCACGUCCAUCAUCGGCGACACUUUCUAUUUUGAUAAUCUUUUUUUUCCUUUUCUUCAUCUUAUUCUUCUAUAUUCUUGAAUCACUUUUAAUUAUAAUUUUGUUUCUAUUUAAAAUCAAAUUUCAACCAAACUUCAUCACAAUGUGAAAUUAAUAAGAAGACAUGAAAAUAGAAUUCUUGAAAACGAUAAAGUGAUACUUACUUGCAAGAUUAAUAGUAAUUAAUUCAAAUCGAAUAAAAAGAAUAUUAUACUCAAUUAAAUCUUACAUAAUUCAAUCAAAAUUGUUUGUUAGUGUAACUCUUGAAAAUAAUCAUAAAUUAGCAUACAUUACUAGCAUAUCCACAAAAUUUCUUUUGCUAACAUUCCUUUUUUCUGUUCCUUCUCUUUCUUCUUUCGUUCACAUCCACAAAAUUGAGUCUUAUAGUUUGAUACAAAAUUUUUCGGAGAAACUGAAGGAAAUGAAACCAGGAAUUAUUGCAAAUGAAGUAUUUUUAUAUAAAUUUUCUAUCAUUGUCACAUAAUCAUCUAUCAUUGUAUACCAGUGAUAGUUAUCCAUCACUGUCUAUCUCUGAUAGAAAGUAAUAGAUAACUAUCAUUGUCUAUGUACCAAGAUAAAUAAUUUGCAUAUAUUUUUGUAUAGGAACACACUGCUUUUGAGCGGAAUGAAAAUGGAAAUUUCAAGUUUUGUUUCAUGGCUAUUGGUUCAUCUAUUAAAGGUUGGAGGUACAGUAGAACUAACAUACCAGUUGAUGACACAUUUCUGAAAUGCAAGUUUGGUGGUACUUUAUUAGCAACCUCAAUAGUAGAUGGUAACAAUAAUAUCUUUCAUCUUGCAUUUGCUAUUGUUGACUUAGAAAAUGAUGCAUCCUAGAAAUGGUUUUUAGAAAAUUUGCAUACUUAUUUGGGGGAUCGUGAUCAUUUAGUCAUUAUCUCCGAUAGACAUUUGAGCAUUCCAAAGAGUUUUUUAAGUGUAUUUAUGAAUGUUGAGUUUUGUGUUUCCAUGCAACAUGUUUUCAAAAAUUUGAAGAAGUGUUUCAGAGAUUCUUUUAUCAAUCAAUUUUACUUUAGUUGUGCUAAAUCUUAUACUUUUGAUGACUUUGAGUUCAACAUGAGAUCUAUGGAGUCUAUUUAUACAGACAUACGAAGUUAUCUUAGUAAUGUUGGAUUUGAGAGGUGGUCUCGAGCAUAUUCACGAAGAAGAAGGUACAAUAUGAUGACAACAAAUCCUUCAGAAAGUGUUAACUCGGUUUUGAAAGAGGAUAGAAAUUUGGUUGUUGCAAGUUUACUUGAUGGAAUUAGAGAGUUCUUGCAAAAGUGGUUUCAUGAUCGAAGAGAAGCUAGUUUGUCAAUGAAAACAAUUUUAACCUCUUGGGCUGAAAGUAUAUUACGUAAGCAACAUGAAGAAUCAAGAAGUUUCUGGGUAAGAGUUCUUUUAUUUUUUUUAUUCUUUUCAUUUAGAUAUAUUAUAUCGAUAGAAGAAAGAAAGUCAGCGAUAGAAGUUUGUCACUGUAUAUCAGUGAUAGAACUAUGAAUGUUUAUUUGUAAAUGUUGAUUUUUUUUCUAUUUUUAUUUUGUAGGUUCAUCCUAUCAACAAUAUUGAAUACAAUGUAAUGGUCGGUGAUAAACAAUUGAUAGUGAAGUUGAACUUGGGAUCUUGUAGCUGUCGAGUAUGGGAUUUUCAUGAGAUUCCUUGUUCUCAUGCUCUUGUUGUUCUUUGGAUGCUUAACCUAAAUAGUUAUUCUUAUGUGUCUGAUUAUUAUCAUUCACAGACAUUGUUGUCAACAUAUCUAGGACAUGUGCUACCAAUUGGAGUUCAUUCAAAUUGGAGGCUUGUAAACGACGACAUUGGAGCUUUACCUCCUAUUUUUAAACGUUCAGUUGGAAGACCUAAAAAUUUAAGAGUUCCAUCAAUUGGUGAAGUUAAUAGUAGCUCAACAAGAUGUAGUAGUUGUCAUGGCAAGGGUCAUAAUUCUAGAACUUGUAAACUUCGUCAAAUUAAUCAAUGAUGUAAUCAUUAUAGUUGUAUUUUUAUGUUGGAUCACCAAAUGGAUUUAUAUUGGAAUUUAUGAGUGUUAUUUUUUCAAAUUCUUUAUAUGAAUAAACAUUGUCGAUGUCUUUGUUUGUAUUCAACUUUGAAUUGAAACAUGUGGUGUAUAAACUCAUGGAAACUCUAUGUAUAUAUUUUCAAAUUAAAUCCUAUAAAAUUGAAUCGACAUUGAUACCAGUUUCUAUCAUUGAUAAGAAUGCAUUAUCUAAUAAGAACUGAUAAUUUUCUAUUAGUGAUAAAACUGAGAGAAACUAUUAAAAAUAAACUCUAUGUAUCAAUUCUUCUAUUUUUAUUUAAGAAGGGGGCUAAUACAGAGAAAAAAUUAUUUAACACGUGUUGGUUACUUCUUUAAAGCAUACAUUUAAGUUAAGAAUCUUGGGUGAGUUAGAUAAAUUAGAUGGUUGGUGAGUGUUGUCUAAGUAUGACGAUGCUUGUCUAGGUAUUGAACAUUUGUAAGGUUUAAGCUAAGCAUGGGUAAGAGAAAUGUUGAGCUUACAUGUGUGUAACAAUUUAAGAAGGAGCUAGCAAGCUUAAGGGAAAUUAUAGAUGACUAAUCCAAUUUUGGACUAGUAUAAAUAGGGAUGGAAGGUUAAAGAAAGGAACGUUAUGCUAAAUUCUUGAGAAUACUCUAGUGUAAAAAAGAAUCACAAGGUGAGAAGAAGGUCUUUGGGGAAGUAGGCAUUUUGAAGAAAGGAAUUUAGUCAGUGAGUGAUUUUCCAAUGUAGUAGUUUCCUUAAGGAAUGAAUCCUAGUCUUGAAUAAGGGGUCACACCUUCUCACUGACUAGAGAUCAGCUGAGAUUAAGUUUAUAGGUUGAACCUUAAACCAAUUGUUCAAUAGUUGAUUAGUGAAAAUAAAGGAGCAAGAUGUAACCUCGGGGGUAAAAUGGUAUUUUGACCCAGUCGAGGUUACAGAAAACUUGUGAUAGAUUAACUUAUUGAUUAUGGUUAUUUCAGAUGGACACAAAUAUAUCUAUAGUGAGGAGAGUGCAACUACAAGAAUUUAAUGGAAAAACCUAUUAGCUAACUAAUGUUGAUUAUCGCGAUCUAAAAGGAUUUAGCCAGUUAAUCUCAAAUCGUUGAAACCCAUGAUCUAUAGGUCCAUUAGAUUUCCCUGCUGGCUCAUAUGAAAUUUAACUUAGAACAAUAUGUUGGAAUAAUUUGAAUUGUUUGAAUUAGGUAAAUAUUGAGAAACCGACAAAUGUAUAUGAUAUAAUCGUCGGCUAUAAGUUUAAGAUAGAGCUUUAUGUUUAAAUUUGAUUUAAAUAUUACACAUAAAUAGGCUUUAUGUAUUUUUUGCAUGUAACUUGGUUAUAAAUAGGGUUUUUUUUUUUUUUUUUUUGCCAAAAUUAGUACUUUUGAAUUGCAAAAUAUUAACCUAUUUUUCUCUCUAAAGAUCUUAACCCUAAAAUUCCACCUCCAAUUUCCUUCACCUAUCGAGUCUCACAAUUUGGUGAAUUAACACUAGUGGUGGUGCCUAGUUCGAGUUCGUGAGAAGAUUACGAGGAACGAGAAGCUUCGAAGAUAUCUGUUUUCUUUUAACCCUAAUUUCAUUAAUUAGGGUAUUUAUGCAUGUUAAUUACUAAAUAGUUUAGUUGCAAUUAGGGUAAAUAGAUCUUUUUUUUUUUUGCUGUACAUGUUUAUUACUCCAUCAUUUUUAAGUCAAACAAAAAGGGAAGAAUGAGUUCAUUUAGCAUGUACACGCUAGUAUUUCAAUUCAUUAUCUAUUAUAGUUUGGUUGGGGUUGAUAUGAUCUUGUUUGGUUUAUGUUUUCAUGCUUUUCUUGGUUUAGAUUGCCUUUAAAAAAAUAGCAAAAGGGGGAGAUUGUUAGGAUUUUUUAAAAGUAUUUAGCUUAUUUAUUACAUGCAAAAUUUUAAUUUCGUGUUUAAGUAAAAUGUUAUGUGACGUACUAAUUUUGUCAUGAAGUUGAUCGUUUUGAUGUUGAUUUAUGAAAUGAAUCUUUGCUGGUGUGCUUUUUUGUCUUCUACAAAAUGUCAUAAAACAAGUUGUGACGCUGUUACUAUUGAGUUUUAUGUCCUAAAACUCGUAGAUAGUAAAUAUAAUUCAUUGAUCCUUAUUAAUAGUGUUUUAUUUCAACAAAUGUUAUUGAUUAUAUUAUUAGUUUUGUCUUAAUAACCUAAAUCAAAUAAACUAACAUUCUAAGUUGUUUGAUGAGUUUUGAACAGUAUGUAGAGACAUAAAGGGAUCAAUGUUCGAGAUCAGGUCUAUAAUAUAGGGAUAAGGUUGGGUACCUUAUUAUGGUAACAUUAUGGAUACGACUCAUUUUGUAUUUACUACAAACGCAAUGAUCCAACAUGUUCAUGUAAGUGACAUGCGAGUGAAUGUAUUCUAUGCAAUGAGUUUCAUAAGACCAAACCACAAAAUACUAACCACUAGAUGUAACUCCAUUAACUAGUUAAGUUUCUAUUUCAUUAGGUAACUUAGUCUUAAUCCUGAGUGUAUUAUGAAGUUCUGUUUGCGAGAGAUUAUCCUUUAAUUUGUACGGAUGAAAGUGACCAUAUUGCCUACUCAAUAUGCUUAGCAUUUUAAGGAGAAGACCGAGUGGGGAGUUGGAAACAUAAUCACACAAGAUGAAAUUCACUUAUUUCCAACUUUAUGAUAACUAGACGAGUGUUCCCUUAAAUGGUGUCUCCGGGACUUGAACAAAGAUCCCUACUUUCUCUAUGGCGCGAGGGGGUUUCUAUUUAGUGGUUGGACCAUAAACAUAUUGUUCAUUAGAGGAGCACUGCUAUUUAAGGACUAAAAGUAACCUAGGGGUAAAACGAUAAUUUGACCCAACUGGUGUUAUGAACACUUGUGAAUGAAUAACUGACUGUUAUUGGUCUAUAUCCUUGACACAGAAAUAUAUCUACAUCGAGAAGAUCAGUUCAGCUGUGAGUCUUUAGUGAAGUGUGCACACAGUUAACGAAUAUUGAUUAAUGUGGUUAAUGAGUUUAGCCAAUUAAUCUCAUAUCAUUGUAGUUUCUGAUAUGUAGGUUCAUUAAGUCCCUUUCCUAGCUCGUAAAGGAUAAUGAGAUUUAUUUGUAUUAGUUGUAAUUUAAAAUGUUCAAAUUUAUUUUGAAAAUUAAUAUAAUAUAUGGUGAUACAUUAUAAUAUAAAAUUUAUAUUUAAUUAAGCUUUAUUAUAUAAAUUUAAUUUUGGGUAUAAUUCAGAAUUAAUUUAUGAGAGAUCAAAUUGAUUUAUAUUAAAACUAUAAGUUAAAAUUUAAUAGGUAUAUAACACACAUUAAAACUAUACAUUAUGAGAGAAAAUUAUAUUUGAAUAUGAUUCAAUUUUGGAUUAAAUUAAAGAGAAAAAUUUUAAAAUAAUAGAUUUUACAAAAUAUUUACAACCUAUAAUAAAUUCUAUCACUGAUGGUCAUUGAUAUGCUAAAAAUCCAAAAUUUUGUUAAAGCUUAUAAAUAUUCUAUCACUACCUCUAAGAAGAAUUCUCUUUCAAAAUUUCUCAUUCUAAUUUUGGUUUCCACCCACCAAAAUUUUGGUUUUCAGGUGGUGGUAGUGCCACAAAUUUGGUGAUUGGCAGAUCGACAGACUUCUGUGUAAUCUCUAAUUUUAAUUUUGAAAUCAUGCUUAAUCUUAGAAUUUAGAAUUUAGUUUAUGUAUUUAAUUGCCCAUGUAUUGGUUUUUUAAAUUUCUAUUAAAUUGAGUAAUAUUACGAACAUUUUUUCUCUAUGUAACAAAUGAGUUUUAGAUUUUUGCAAUUUAACAAAAUGAUUUCCUUAAUUUCGAAAUAUUUUUUGACCGUCGAUCUGAAAGAGAUUGGAUUUGGAUUUUACAGGUAAUGUUGAGAAAUUUUCCUUAGAAUAUUGAGAAUCUUAAGGCUUGGUGGCUCCUCAGCUUUCAUUGGCAAGAUUCAUUUUCACUAAUUGCUUAAAUCUUCCCAUUUAAUCACGUCGUUGAAUCAUUGACUGCUUUUAUAGUUAGAACAUUGGUUGGCUCCUCAGCUUUUAUAGUUAAUUUUGUCCUUAUAUUAAGUAUAUGUCAAUUGAUAAUCUCUUAAAUGAGUUUACUAAGAGGAAUAUGAGCAAUUAUUUUUGGUGCAUACAUCUGUCUUUCAUGGAGGAUAAAGGAUCUCUUGAUGUUGUUUUGUGACUACGUGUUUUGUACUGGUAUUUUUGCUUACAGUAUCUGUCCCCUACACCAGUGAUUUCUACUUUCUGAAGCUACUCGAAAACUAAUUUGAUCUUAAUCAUGUAAUGUUGCAGACUUUGAAUUCUUGAACUACACCAUCAUCACAUUGAAGCUACUCUAAAACUAAUUUGCACAUUGCAGCAUCUUUGCUUCUUUACUCCACUCCUUAUUGAUGGUUUUUCUUUCUAAUUGUAUAGGUUGAGGUGUAAACAAUGAGUCUUUUAACGCCAGGUGGUAUCAGCUAAACCCUUCUCAUUUUUCUAAACUCUUCUCUUUCUUUAAUUGCUUUCUCUUCUUAGCUUUUUUUUUUCUGCUAUAGUUUUAAAUUUUUCGAUAGCUUUUAUCUUCUUGUUCUAACAUUUUUAGCUUUGUCACUUGCACAUCAAAGAAAUAAAAUAAGGACUCACGACACCUCAUCUAAUGAAUGAGUUGAUUGAAAUUAUUUGUUUGAGAGUAAUUUUGAAAUUGAGAAAAUGUGAUUUCAAGAACUUCAAAAUUCACUCUCAAACACCACAUAAGAGUUAAAUGCUUAAUCUGGAUGCACUCUAUUGUUGUCGGUAGUUUUAUUUUUGAAGGUUGUACUAAUAUUUGUCUACACGUACCCAAUGUCGGUUUAUAAAAAAUGGAUAAUAAUGCAACAAUUAAAUAAAAAUAGAUUUACAAAAAUAGAUCCAAAAACAAGACUUUAAUGUCUGUUUUAAAACGUCAGCAUACAAAAGAUCUUGAAUAACACUAUAAAAAAUGACAUUAAAGGCCUUUAAUGUCGUUUUUAAUGUUGUUUUUAAACCGACAUUAAUGAGGCCUUUAAUGUCGUUUUUAAACCAACAAGGAGAAAUGACAUUAAAGACCUUUAAUACCGCUAGCAUAGAUGUCGGUUGCCAAUCGACACCAAAGGCCAUUAAACCGACAUUAAAGGCCAAAUUUAUUCUAGAGCUUGUAGAAUUGAUUUAUUAUGUUUUUAAUAUAUUCUCAACCUAUCCAAAUACAUAUAUGGUGAUGUAAUUCAAUUUAAGGUUGGUCGUUUUGAAGAAUAUUCAAGUCAUUAUCUUGUGUAUGUCGAAAACACAAGUGUGUCAAAUCUAUGAAAUUGUGAAGUUUUUUCCAUUGUUGAUCUUCACUUAUUCGCUAGAUCUUAUUGAUUCGUUCAAAAUGAGUUCUAUUUUAUGAUGGUGGAAGUUCGACUCAGAAUCUUUGUUGAUCUUAAUAUCGUGCCAUUGUUCAUUGUUGAAGCGUGCUUUGGAGAAGAUCAGUUGGUCUUAAUGGGAGCCUAAGACAUCAUCUCUUAAGAAGAGGUUCUCUAACUUAGAGGGAGCAUAAGUUCAUAACGUGAGGAGAUAUUCAUAAGAAUGAUGGAAAAGAUACUAGUAGAGAAGAAACCUUUCACUUAAGGGGAGCCUAAGUGUUCAUUCAUACUAUUCAUAUUAAAGUUAGAGGGAGCCUAAGAACGUUAAAGGUGAGGGGGAUCUCACACUUAGGGGUAGCCUAUGAACAAACGCCAUAUUUUUCAGUUUAGUACUUAACUGAUUUUCUUGACGUUUCAAUUAUCAUCCUAAUGUAUUUACUCCUUUUCCAAUUGAGUCCUUACUUUUCAUCAUAUAUGUCAAAUUUUGUUGAUAUAAAAAGGACAUGUAAUGUGAAAUUAUAUUGUCUAUUAACCUGAUUGAAAUUGUGGGAUGUGCUCUAGUUUGUUGAAGUAAACAUACUACUAGUAGUAUGUGUUAUAGUGUUCAUCUAAGUUUACGGAUCUACAGCAUUUAUCAUGGAGAAAUGUUACAGUUUCAAAUCUUCCAACUUUACAUCUCAUAUAUAUAUAUAUAUACAUGACAUAUUGUUGAAUACCAUUAUGGAUCCUAUACUUAUUCAAUAUUAUAUAUAUAUAUAUAUAUAUAUGACAUGAUAGAUGAUGGUGAUCGUGUUUGUAGAUAAUUGAUCCACUGCUAAAAUGCAUAUAUGUUGCUUCCACAAUUAUUUAGGUUGAGGACUUAGUUGAAGAAAAGAUUCAUUACAUAAUAGACUUAUUUAUACACCUCUAAAACAUUAAAAGAAAAAAACCAAGUUAAAUAUAAUGGGACUAAAAUAUGUGGUUGGAAAUUAAAAGGCACACAAACAUAUAAAGAACUAAAUUAUGUGGUUGGAGUUGGUAUGACUUAGACUACUUUCCUAAUUCGUAUAAACAGUGGAACACCUGGGUAUUCCAGUUGAGUCAACACAAUUAAUUUUAACAAAAAUUUGGCCUUUGCCUUUCUUUAAUCUAAUGUUGAACAAUAAAUUUAAUUUUAACCAAAGUUUUGGUUGGUGGUAUUAUUGUUUUUGUUUAAAUAUCAUUUUCAUCUUUAUACUUCUUCCAUUUUAUUCUUCUUUCAACUUUUAAUAAAUAUUAAAUAAAAUUUUAAAAUUAUAUUUUCAUAUUGUGUUUUUUAUAAAAAUUAUUACCAUUAUUUAAUCACUUAAAUUUAAACCAAUUUCAAAAUGCACUAUUGAAUAACCAAAGAUUUAGAUAAAAUAUGUGAAUCUAAUACAAAAUUUGAGAAAUAUCCUAAAUUAUUAUUUAUUUUCUUGAUUAGGCUUUACUAUAUUUUUAGGAAAAUUAUAAUCUUAUUAUAUAUAAUUUUCCAAAUUAAAUUCAAAUUAUUUCUUUAUUUAUAUUAUACUCAACUUAUUAUAUAAAUGGUAACUUCUUUAAUUAUUAAUACAUAUAUAUUUAUAUUUAUUAAUGAAAUUUUUAUUACGUUUGUAAUAAUUUAAAUAUGAUAUAAAUUAUUAUCUUACAUGAAAAUAAUAUUUUUAAUUAUAAUACAAAAUAAUUAAUUUUUAAUUUCAUUUUCAAAAGCAAAAGUUUUUUUCUCACGACCAUCAAUUUCGACAUUGGCUUUCUUCUCUGAUUUGUAUUUUAAAAAAUUGCUUUCUUUUUCACUUUCGAUUUUCUAUCGUAUAUAUAGUUGGUCUUUUUUUUUUCCUUUCGUAGCAUAUAUUUUUUUUUUCCUUAAAAAAUUUGUUCUUCUUCCGUUCCGUAGCAUAUAUUUCGAUCAUGUUUCUUCUAUUUGUUUAAUUUUUUAUUAAGGUAAUUAUAAUUGAUGAUCAUUUUAUGAAUAAUAAUUAAGGAUAUAGCAACAUUUAAAAAAAAAUUACAAAUAUAGCAAAACUGUCGCUGAUAGACUUGUGUCGCUGAUAGAUUUGUAUGAUCUAUCAAUAAUUGACCAAUAUUUACAACAUAAUAUAUCGGUGAUAGACUUCUAUCAUUGAUAGAAUUUGACAAAUUUUGCUAUAUUUACAAAUUUUUUUAAAAUGUUGCUAUAUACUUAAUUAUUUUGCAUCUAAUGACUAAAUUUGCAACUAUCUCAUUUUAUUAUUCAGUUCAUCUUCCUGUCAUCCUCGAUAUAUAAUUUUUAUUAAAUGAUUUGUCAUUCGUAUAUACUAUGAUAUACCACUAAAUAAUAAAUAGGGAUAGUUGUAAAUUUAGCAAUUAAAUUCAAAAUAAUUAAGUAUAUAGCAACAUUUAAAAAAAUUGCAAAUAUAGCAAAAUUUGUAAAAUUCUAUCAAUGAUAGAGUCUAUCACUGAUAGACCAUGUUGUAAAAAAUGAUCUAUCACCGAUAGAUCAUACGAGUCUAUUAGUGAUACAAGUCUAUCAGCGAUAGUUUUGCUAUAUUUGCAAUUUUUUGAAAAUGUUGUUAUAUCCUUAAUUAUUAUUCCUCAAAUCGUCACUCAUUACAAUUACUCUAAUAAAUUUAUGUUUUGUGAUUUGUCACAUAUAUACUACCACAUAUAUUCAAUAAUACAUACCCAUAUUCUUUUUCUUGUUAUGUGAUUUUUUCUUAUUGCGUAUAUAUACUAAUAUAUACAAAGAUUAUAUAUUCAUUUAGAUUUUUUUUUUUAUUUCUUACAUAUAUGCUAACUAAAUAAUUCAUUUAUGUUUUGUGAUUUGUUACAUAUAUACUACUGCAUAUAUUUAAUAAUACAUGCAUAGAUGUUUUUUCAUGUGUUGUGAUUUUUUUUACUGCAUUUAUAUACCAAUAUAUACACAGAUUAUGUAUCCGAUCAACAUUUUUUUUAAUUAUUACAUAUAUACUACUGCAUAAUACACAUAUUUUUGUUAUUUGUUACAUAUAUAUUACUUCAUAUAUUCAAUAAUGCAUAAAUGAUGUUAUCUUCAAUAUACUCAAUAUAUCUUAAUGUAUUUCGAAUACGAAAUAUAAAUUCUUACUAAUCUUAAAUUUAUGUACCAGUUGGUUGUCGAUGCUCUUCUUCUUCACCAUUUAUAUUUUUCCAAAUAUUCUAUUAUUUUGCGUCUUUUGUGAAGAAAAUGAAAUCAAUAUUCAACGUAUAUAUUCAAAGAAUGAAACAUUUAUUUAUUUUUUAAUUUUCUAAACCGUAACCCACGUCCCUGAUUUCUCUCCUUGUCAGUCCACAUUCUAUAAACAAAUUGAUAUAAGAACUUUUCAUUCAUAAAAUAUACACCGUAUUAUUAAAUAAAUACUAUAAUUAGGUAGAAUAUAUGAAAAACAAUGCAAAAUGAAAGAAAGAUUGGACGGAGAGAGAUUGAAAAGUGAGAGAGAUCGAGAGAGAAGAUUUUUUUAACAAAAUCACCAAAAUAAAAAUAAUUACAGGAAUUUUUUUAUUAUAAUAUUACCAUAAUAGAAUUAUUCACUUACCAUAUUUACCUAACAUAUCUAAUAAAUGAAAAUAUUAAUCAUGAUCUAUUUUUCUUUUUUAAUAUAUUAUUAAUAAUAAAAGGGUAAAUUGGUCAUUUGGGCCUUAUAUUUGUGAUAAAUAUUAGGGGUGAAAAAACACGAACCGAACUGAAUCGGUUUGGUUCGGGUUGGAUUGAGCUUCAACAAUGUAAGUGAAUUCACACUUCUCAUUUCUUCGUCUUCAGCACCGGUCCUUCAUCUUCGUCAUUCGCCAGUCCUUCAUUCGCCUUCCUCCUACACGAAUUCACGUGGGUUCGUUUUCUUCAUUCGUGGGUUCGUUCUCCAUUCUCCAUUCUCCAUUCUUCGUUCUUCGUUCGUCGCCAUUCUCCGUUCUCUGUGGCUUCGUUCGCUGUAAAAUUUUCAAGCUAAGCCAUCUUGAUUCUCAUCGUGGAUCUUCUCUUUCUCUUCUUGGAUCGAAACCGCGGGUAAAUUUCCUCCUCUUUUUUUACACGAUUUUCAAACAUAUUCCCUCUUUUCCUUUACUCCCUUUACUUCGUCGGUAAAUAUUAUGUUUGUUUUAUGGAGAACUUCUGUUCAUAAUUUUAUGUUUGGUGACUUUUUUUUCUUUGUCCUAAAUUGAACCUGGGUAGCUACUCUUAUUGAAAUACAAUUUUGUUUUAAGUUCAAGCACUGUUCAUAAUUUUAUGUUUGUGUAUAUAUAGGUUGCUAUUGUGUGGUUGCUGUGGAUAUUUCUCUUCCCUGUGCUAUUUAAGCAUUCUUUGGAUAUCAUGGCUAUUAGGGUAUGGAUUGGUUGGUGUGCUAUUUAAGUUCAAGCAUUCUUUGCUAGUUUAUUUCUAGAAAAUGAAAAUAUAUAUUUUAUUGUUUUCUCAUUAAAGAUAUAUGAGAUAUAUGCUUUGUUGUGUGGGGCUGCAAAUUUUGUUUGUUUAUGCUUUGUUGUGUGGGACUACACAUAUCAUGGUACAAAUUUUGUUAGUGUAGAAAAGUAUUGUCCAUUGGAGAUAUAUAUUUUACUUAUUGUUUUGUUUGAUGAUUAUUAGUUAAAAAUUGUGUGCUUUUUUUUUGUUUGUUUUGUUUGAUGAUUAUUAGGAUGACUUCAUUCUCUAUAGAUGAAACUUCAAAUCAAAGUUGUUCUAGUUCAGUGUUAGGAAAAAGAAAACCGGUUAAACCACCAUCAUCGGUAUGGAAACAUUUUAUAAAAGUAGAAAGAUGUGAUCCUAAAUUUUCUAGGACUGCUUGUAAAUAACAUUGUAGGACUUCAUAUGCUUGUGAUUCCAAAAAAAAUGGAAUAUUAUUUUCGAAGUAAGCAUUUAAGAUUUAAAAUUGUCUCAUUAAGCUAACAGUUUGUCAUUUUGAUCUAGAAUUCAUAAACAUAGGAAAUGAGAUAGAAACUGCAUUUGAGAAUUGAAUCAUAACUCUAUGGUAUAAAUUCCUACUCUCAAAUCUAUUUACAUUUCUUUUGUUUUAAAUUGUUAAUAUCUUUGAAUCUUGUUUGUUUAGAAUCUUGAAGCACAAGGAUGAAUAAACUUUAUACUUCUCGAGUUCCAUCACAGUAAGUUAUUUGCUUAACUUAUAAAUAUUCUUUUUCUAGAUAGUUCACUAAAUUAGUAAAUUCAUUCUCCAUGCAAUAGGGGAGAAGGUGGAAUAUUGGCUAGAUUUGUGGUAAUAGACUAAUAGGUGGAAAGUUGAAUGUUGGAUACCAUCAUGGUUGUUUUGUUCUUUGUUCUACUCUCAAAUUUGAUCCACAUGGUUCUUUUAUUCUUUUGUUCUACUCUCAAAUUUGAUCCACAUGGUUCUUUUAUUCUACUUACAAAUUUGAUCCAUCCAAGCUUGUAAAUUAUAACAUACUCCACCAAUUGCACUGUAAUUAUAGUGAUUGUGACGAAUGUGUAUGAGAGUCAACAUUAUUAAAAUUGGUUAUUUUGCAAUCACCAUUUGAAAUAAAGAAAUAGAGAAAAGAGAAGAAGAAGAAGAGAGAAAAGAGAAAAUAGCAAAGAGAGGAGGAACAAAAUUCGACCCGACCCGAAUUUUGGGUCAUAAUUGAAAGAGACUUGGGUCGGAUCGGGUCUGGGUCGGGUUUGAAGGAAAACCGACCCGACCCAGUCCAAUUACACCUUUAAUAAAUAUUAGUCAAUUUAGUACAUUUCUAAAAAAUUAGGAAAAUUUGGAUUAAUCUUGUAAUAUGGUAUAUUAUUUUAGGAUAUCUUAAUUAAAGACCCUCAAAUGAAUCCAUCUUCUCUGUUUACCUAGCUGUAUAUCGUAGAUAGACAGAGAUAGAACAUUAUCACUAAUAGAUCGUUUUGAUUUUGUAUAAGAUCGUUUCGACUAGAUAUAAGAUUAUUUAGAUUUGAUACAAAAUUGUUUAGACUGAGUAUAAGAUCAUUUAGACAAGAUUGUUGCUAAGAGAUCGUUUAGAUUUGCUACAAGAUCGUUGUUACAAGAUUGUUGCUAAGAGAUUGUUUAGACUAGCUACACAAUCAUUUUUUCAUGUGUGUGUGAUUGAUUAGUCACAUGGUAUUUUUGUUAUUUCAUCCUGUGGGUUUGUGAAUCUUUUUAUUUUUUAAAAUUGUUAUAUAUAGUGUAAAUAUUUUUACAUUUUGUUCUACUUUUUAAAAAACCUCAUUUAAAAACAUGCUAGUGUAUUUAAAACCAGAUAGGAUUUUUAAUUUAUAAGGUUAUCCUCAAGAAUACCAAAAUAAAAGAAACUAUUUACAAAAAUCAUCUAAUUCUUUCUGAUUGAUUUAAUUUUCUUUCGUAAUAUUAUGUAACAUUUUUUUUAAUCUAUAACAACUCUUCUUUAUUUAUCUAUUUUCACCUAAUUAAAUUCAAUUUCUACUUUUCAUAAGUUAAGUACAUUAAUUUUUUUUUUUAAAGAAAAAUAGUAUACAAUAUGAAUUUUAAAAAAAAGUAUACUAUUUCCUAAAUAUUUAAAAUUAAUUUAUAAGAUUUUCUUUUAUCACACUAAACAAUUAUUUUAAAUUUUAAAUUUGAGAAAAAAAAAAAGUUAGAGUGAUUAUAUCUAAAAUAUGAUGUUAUUGUAUUUAUUACGGAGCACUAUAACCUACUUUUUCAAGUACACUAUUUCACUUCUUUUCAUAGCCAAUUAUUCUAAAACUGCAAUGGAUGACAAUUAUUUUUAAAAAUAUGGCAAUUACAAAUAAAGCCUUCAAAUCUUUGCAAAAGUUUUUAAAAAGAUUACAAAAUCAAUCCGGGUUUAAUUGGUACAAAAUGAAAAGGUGAAAAAAUCUCAAGAAGUGACUAAAAAGUAAAAGACCAAAUGGUAUAAAGUUUCCUUAGAAUUUGUACUUUUGUGUCAAAUGAACCUUUAUACUUUAUACUUUUAGAAGAUAAAAAAAAGAUACCUUUAAACUAAAAGUUAAAAAAUAUCCUUAUAUUAGUUUUGGAUAGAAACCAUUAGUACUUUGUUUUAGAAGUGUCACACCCCGUUUAUUAUCCGUCUAAAAAUAUAUUUUUCCUAAAAUAAGUGACGGUAAAAGUAAGUUAUAAAAUUUUGCACAAAUUUCGGUGGAGGUUUUUCCAAAAAAAAUAGAUUUAACUACAUUUGAAAAAGUAACAAUUUUAAAAAUAACAAAAUAAAUUAAAAUAUUUACAAGCUAUAGCAAAAUUUUGGAUUGUAUAACUGACUGUAACGACCCAACUUUUCUAACUAAGUCCAAGUCUUUAAUUUCAAACAAAGACCUGAAUUUACAUAAAAAUAUCAAGUUCAAAUAAAUUCAAAGUCUGAAAGAGAGCAAAAUUUAUAUUUGGAACCUGUUUAAAAUAACCAAAACUUUCAAAGAAAAGCUUACAAAUCACCCGUUCGUGAAUUCAGUUAAACUACAAAAUUUUCUAAACAGUCUCAUGUACUAAAACAAAACAAGAAAAUAAAACAUUAAGCUGAAACAAAUUUAAAAUGUCCCAUAUGGCUAUCACGCUUCCUUCCUGUUCCUCGCCGGUCUACCUCCACUGUUACCUUUGACUGAAAAAGUUAAACAUGAAAGGGUGAGUAACAUGAAAGGGUGAGUAUAAACAUACUCAGUAAGAGACCCACUACGGGUCCCGUUAGGAGAAAAUAAACUGUUAACUUUCUAUUAGGGUACCCUACACCGUCACAGUUUUGUGAUCCCAUAGGAUACACAUUAUGAGUCACAGUCUUGUGAGCAUGUACGUUACACAUAAUCAAUCUAACGCCCCGAGGGAUGCACAUGUCAGUCUAGUGUUUUACAGAAGUAAAACACAUAUAAGUCUAAUGCUCCCGAAAGAUGCAUUAUAAGUGGUGAUGCCACAUGACACCUACUACAAGGCACACAUCCCACUAGAAAGCUAACAAUACACACAAUUCAUGUGUCUACGUCCAUACGCAUAUAUAUAUUAGUGGUGAGUCCAGUAGUAGAGAAUCUCUUACCUUAAGGUUGCUCAAUUUCUAGAACAACUAUAUCCAACAAAAGACACCAAGGUUUUGGCGAACCGAACUCAAAAUUCACAAUUUGGUUGUGAAUUCAAGUGACCCAAUGUUAUUUCCAACACCUUCAAAAAUCAAAUAACAAAUUAAUCAACCAUUCCAACCAUAAUGUUUGAACACUUGAAACAAUUACAACCCAUAACCUAAAUUGUUACCAACAAAACAACUUUGACCAUUCGCAGACGAAAGAAGCAGCGACUAUUGAUCCCAACGAAAAAUCGUGCAAAUCGAUCAGAGUGUAAGUUGGCUUGUAACUCACGGUUGGAAGUCGAAAAGUUAUGGCGGCACAGGGCGUUCGGUGGACGGUUGAUGAAGCAAGCGGCGGCUUCACGAAUCGGGACGAUAGAGACGGAAUGAAAGGGCUGAGCAACGACGCUCUGGCUUUAGCCCGACGAACGACAGCGUGUACGGCUGCUGGGCUUCGUCGAACGGAAAAGAGAAAGAUGGUGGCAGAACAUUUCGACUUCGAUAGAGACAGCACCGAUGACGGCGGACGGCUACUGAAAACGUCGCGUUGUGGCGUGACCGGCCGAAACGGAAGAAUGGGAGAAUGGAGACAGACGAUGACUGGGUAGGCACGGGAAAGAAACGAGAAAAGAAAAGAAAGAUGAAGGGGGUGGGAGGCACACACGUGAGAGAGGGGAGAGAGAGAAAAAGAAAAUGUUUCUUUUCUUUUAUUUAUUUUAAUAAAUAAUAAUAAUAAUAAUAACAUUGAUUGUCUCACCAUGCAAACUUUAGUAUAAUAUAAAUCCCAAUCAAAUUCUCAUGCGUAAACUAAAAAAGAAAAAUAGUUUAUAGUCCAACGGUAAAUUUAUUUAAAAUAAACAUCCCCUAACAUGCCACUAAUGUAAGACCCAAACUUUAGGUGGUGUAGUUUUUCCAAAGAGUUUAAGUGGUUUGAAAGAAGGAAAAUGUUUGGUUAAGUGAAUCUAGGCGAGAUGACCUUGAAAAUUAGCUAUGCGUUUUGGACAACUAUGUGUCAUGAUAAGUGAAAGUUGUUUAAGGAUUUAUUGAAGUGUUAAAGCCUUGUUAGCAUGUGUUCUUAUGUAUAAAAGUAAGCAGGAGGUGCCUUAAGAAUGUUUAAGGUGGAUUUAAGCAAGGAUGGGGUGUCAACUUGUACUCGUGCAAUGAACUCUAUAAAUAGGCCAUCUUCAGUAUUGAGUUUCUCACAAUCCACUAGAGCGUUUUGAGUGAUUUUAUGCUAAAAAAUUUAUCUUUUAAGUCUAUUUUCUAUAUUAGGGAUGUUGGUUUAAUUUGGGAAAGAGAAAGCUAAGUUUGAGUUAAAAGAAGAGAGGAAGGUCAUUCUUUGGUAAAAAUUGAAUAGUAUUUACUCCAAGGAGGCUACAGGACGCAUUCGGUUGGAUCUUUUGCUGUAAAUUUGAGGUAAUAUUAUUAAGAUGUUUUUCAAAAACUCUGUAGAAGCAAAUAUUUUUAUUCGAGUUCUGGAUUUUAAGUUAUAAAGCUCUAAAUAAGAAGCUGAGUUCUGACUGAGAAUGAGCUUUUGGACAGUGGCCGAGUUUAAGAAAUUAGCAUGGCAUGUUGGGCAUGCGUUUUGGUUUUAGAAAGGUUUUUCUAAGCAAUUUGGGUUGUGUUUGAUGUUAGUUGGAGCUCUUUUCCAUCAUUUCAGGACAAGAGGAAAUCAUGCAAACUUAUGGACCAAGAGUUUGAUCUGCGAUUAGUGAGUGAAAAAUGAAUUUAUUAAAGUUAUUUCAACUUAUGGUUUGUGAGUGAAAAAUGAAUUUACUAGAUUAUUUCAACUUAUAAAAUGAUUCCUAAAUUAACGGUUCUAAUAUAUUUUACAAGUUAUUAUUUAAGUAUGCUUUUAAGUUAAUCUUAUUUUUAUUUAUCGAUAUGUUUACGAAAAGUGUUAAAGCAUGUUAUUUAGAAACGUAUUCUAAAGCAUGAGUUUAUAAAGGUUUUUAGCAAACAUGUAUUUAUAAGAUUUACAAGCAAUGAUUUAUGAAAAGCAGGAGUUUAAUAGAAUGUUUUUAAGGAGAAAAUCAUGGUACUCUAUAUACCGUGUUCUCGAUGGUCAAUGUGUACAGUUAGGGGUAUAGGGCUAUGAUGACCACUUAGUUGUUACCACCGAGUUCAGGCAAGAUUAGUAUGAUCAAUGCUCUACUAUCUUGACCGAGUUCAGGCAGGAAUAUUAUGACCAAAGGUGCUUUGCUAUCCUGAUCAAGUAUUUAAUUGAGGUUUAGUGGGAUAGUAUGAUAGAAGGCGCUCUGCUAUCUUGUUUAUGUUUUUCAGGGUAUAGAGUAUACAGAGUUAAAUUAGUAUUUAAAUGUUAGAAAAUGUUUAGUUUAAAGAGACUUUUUAAAGAUUUUACCAGAUGUUUAUGAAAUAUUUAAAGUAUGGUUGUUUUAAAAGUUUGUUUUAUAAAACCAUCACUCACUGGGCUUUUAGCUCACCAUUUCAAAAUGUUUUUUCACUUUCCAGGUAGAGGUCUUGAUUCGAGAAUCUGAUUGUUGUCUUUAGGUUGAUGUGCAAAGUUAUUCGUAGUUAGUGUUAUUAAGAGUUAGUUUUAAUCUUAUUGUGUACAAGUUUGUAAUCAGCCGCAUUUAGCCUCAACUACCUGUUUAAAGUUUAAAAAGUUGUUCAAGUUAUUUCUCUUAGUUUUCGCAGCAUAAAUUUUAAUUCAUAUAGGGUUGUUAAAAGUUGUAGUUAGGGUCAAUUGAUGUUGUUCAGAAGAAUAAUGACAUCGGUUGGCUUCACGCCGCUUCUUGGGUCGAGCAAGCAGGUGCUCGAGGUGGGGUGUGACAACUAAUGGAUCCUAACUAUCAUAGGGAUACUACCUAAGUGCAUGUACACACAAUGCAACAGUUACUAGCAAGCACAACAAUUAUUUAAUUUCAUGGUUGUAGCUAAAUCGCAUCCUAUUCCCUUGACUUUGAAGUUUUGGUCGUAUUGCAGUUUAUGGUGUGACAUUUCCAGUUUUGACGUCACAUUGGCCACGUCGAAGAAAAGAGAAAUAAAUAUUUAAUUCUUUGCAUUUUCCCCGACGUGAAGCACACACACAUUGAGAAUGUGUUCCCCAUUUCUGAUGCCAACGUUGACCACAUCGAGAAAAGGAAAAAACUAAAUAAUUAAUUUCUUUUCUUUGAUGCCAUGCAGGCAACGUUGGGGAGGUGAUAUCUAUUCCUGAAGUUAGCCAACUAAGUGUUAAUCACUUAAUUGAAGAACAAAGAAUAAGGUCGGAGUUGCCAGAUAAGCAAAUGGAAGAAAGUGUCCGAAAAAUGGAAAAAAAUGCAAGACAAAUGGAAGAGAUGAGGAAAAUGAUUGUGGAAAUGCGUUAGGCACAAAGAGGACCGUGAACACUUAGGACACGUAUUUUCAACUUUUAAUUUGUUUAAUUAUUCGUCGGUGAUAUGUAUCUAACUUUAGUUUUAUGUCAUUUGUAGGUUAGUUUGUUUUCCUUUACAUGUAAUUGUUUUGACUAAUUUAAACAACUUAUAAUUUUUGUUAUACAAUUGAAUUUAGUAUUAAUUUCAUGAAUUGCAAAUUUUUAUUUUAAUAAUUUGUUUCAAAAUUUUGUUGGUUGACUUUCGAAUCGAAACCCAAAACAAUACCUCCCAAUAACAAAAAUAAAUAAAUAAAUAAAUAAAUAAAUAAAAGAAUAUAAAAAUUAUCUCCUGACGUUACUUAUACGUCAAGAAUAAUAGCUUCCCCGAUGUCGUUGAAUAUGCGUCAGAGAAAACUUCUCUCGACGCCACGUUGGGAGAAAUGUAUGCCCAACGCAUGGAGGAGACAUCGGGUGUACGCCAUUGCCAACAUCAGACACCCAUUGGCAUUGACGGCGUCGGGGAUACGACAUUCCCGACAGUGUCAAGUUCGCACGUCAGAAAUUGCUCCACCGAUGUAGUAUGCCCGACGUUCUUCCCGACGAAGCAUCUGACAUCGAGAGAAGUUGUCCCGACCCAUUUUAGUACAAAUGCUAAUGCUUUAUGGCGUCAGGAAUUCUCCAAAUCCUUGAAGUGUAGGUUCAUGCCCAUGUUAUAUUUAUCAUGACUCUUCAUGUCCAUUUUCAUGUACAAUGGUGUAUCUUUAGACCACCACACAUGGAUACAAAUGAUAAAUUAACAAGUUAGACAACCAAACUAAGAUUAAUUGAUAUAUGCAUGUUCCACUGGCAUAAUUUCUUUUACUAGACAUAAAUGUAUACCUUGUUUGGGUAGUAGGGUUAUUGAAUAUUUUUAUACUCAUCCUUUCUCAUGUCAUGUUUUCAGAUAAAGACAAAAGGUGUACCAAGUGCAUGAUUAGGAGACCUUUUGAAUGUGCCAUAUGGGAAUAGUGUUAAGACUUUCGCUCAUUCCCAAAUCUUUUAAAGAUAAUUUGAACACGUUUUCAAUUAGAUCAACUGAGAUUAGAAAUUUGAAAUGUAAGUGUUGAAUUUUAUUUAAAUAUAUCAAUAACUACAAACAUUUGAUUCCAAACUUAUGCGUCAAACAUCCCGAGAAUUGGAAUAAGCUCGAUUUAGAAUUAUUAGGUUUGAAAAUAAUAUCUGUGGGAUUGUGGUUGUAGAAUAAUGAUUAUGUGUUUGGUAGAUGAAUAUAAAAUCAUUUUAUUUUAGAUAUAACAAUCUAAAAAAUAGAUUUUGUUUUUUGAAAUGACUUUUUAAAGCGAUUAAGCAAACGUAAGCUAAAUGUAUGUGACCAAAUUUGUAAAUUUAACCAAAUAUUAAAAAGGAAAAGAAAAAUCAACUCUUAGAGUGGAGAAUGUGUAAACAAAGUCAUCUCAACAUACUCCUACUCCUCUAAAACGCCAAAUUUGUGAUUGAAAUUUGAUUCAACUUAGUAUUUUGCUUGAAAAUUCAUACAACCACUGAUUCUUCAAUGCAGCAUUUUGGUUCAGCACCUAGAUUUCAAAUUCCCAAGAACAUUCAACUUUCGCUCCAUAGCAUUAACAAAUCCAUCUUCCCAUUCUGGGGUUUCUGAACUCAACUGACUUGAAGCCUGCUCAGCUGUUGCACAAAUGGCGUGGAAUCUCAUCUUUUGGUUCAUCUCUUUCUGUUUUAACAUCGCCCUCCUCGUCCUCAACUUUUACCAGGUACAUCCUUUCUAAUCUCUCAUCAACCCUAGUUUUGGAGAACAAACUUCUUCAUAAUUGGUUAAGUUUGAAUCCGUCUGCUAAAACGUAUCCCGAAUCUUCUUCUUCUUCUUCUUGCAAUCCUGUUUUGCUUAUUCAAUAAGGAGUGGAGGUUUGAUGCUUAUUCAAUAAGGAGUAGAGGUUUGAUGUGUAUCUCAGAUUCGUUUUGCUGCGCCAGACUAUUUCGACCUCAGUUUGAUUUACGGCUAGAUGUGACCUAGAUUUUUAUUGGUGGAGUCUUUACACUGUCGUUGACCUAUUUUUGAAAUUGAUUCUAUGCCUUCUUACUAUUUCACGCUCUUGAAUUCUUCACCAAGCAGUAGAAUAGUCAAUUUUACGGUGAUGGAUUUGAUAUUUUUUUUUUAUCUAUCGUGCACUGUUAGAAAAGAAAAACGUAUUCUCAUAAUUGUGCACUGUUGGCUAUUGGAAAUGCCCCCAUUUCGUUUACUAUGUUCAUGUACAUUGGCAGAAAGUGAGAGGUGGCUGCUCUAAUUUUCUCAUGAACUAAGAUGAUUGCUAUAGAGAUUGUCUAGGUACAAUUUUGCUCCCCAGUUGGAGGCAUCUAACGGUCGUGGUUGAUCUUUUUGUAGCUUUUGGUACUAACGGAUUUGGAGGCAGAUUAUUUGAACAUCUAUGAUUCAUCAUCUCGCAUUAAUAAACUUGUCAUUCCGGAGUUUUUAGUGCAAGGAGUAUUUUGCUCUCUUUUCCUCUUCACAGGUCAUUGGUUCAUGUUUCUUAUAACCGUCCCUGUUACCUGCUAUCACAUAAAUUUGUAAGUAUUUCUUGAAUUGAUAUGAGGCAUGGUUUAAUUUUCCUUUUACUCUGUGUUAUGGAUGUGUUAUAUUGGUGGUGUUUCUUUGUUAUGAAUACUAAAGUGUUAUGGAUGUCAAUUUGAGCAUAUCUCAAUUGGUUAAGACAUAUACACUCGACUAUGAGGUUAGAGAUUUAAAUCAAAAUUACCCAUCUCAUGUUGUUGAACUCUCGUGUUAUGGAUGAGGCUUAUGAUUUUAUUUACUAGUAAAAUGAAUUAAAAAAUUAUAUAUACUUCUUACUGUUUUAAUAUGUUUUGGUUUGUUUUUAAGGUGAAUAUUCUUUAAGAUGCAAACAUUUAGUGAAACUACUAUGAAGAAUUCGGAGCAUUGAAUACUUCCCUCUCAAGUUGAGAUGGCCAUUUCUAAAAUGAGUGAACGAUACCUGUAGUUGUCAAAUUACUGGAUGCCCUUUAAGGUUAUGGUAACAGUUGCUCUCAACGUUGGAUAUGUUCUGGGUAAUUUGGUGUAUUUAGGAGUUUUCUGGUGCAUUUGGGCAGUACGAUUAGCAGGGUUGGGGCGGGGACUGCAGGGUUAUAAUUUUAGAUAUUCAAUGAUGAGCAUUUCUGAGGACACCGUUAGCUCAUAAGCUGAGAUUUACAUGAAUUUUCAAUUUUAACUGGUCUGUUCAACUCAUUCUGGCUUGUUUUUUUUUAAUAUAUGAUCAUUUUCCCCCUUUAUUUGGAUGAUUCCAUGCUUUUUAAUAUCAAAAAAUGAGGAAAGCAGUUAGUUAGAUCCCCAAGCAAAUGACUUUUGUGGAAUACGCUUUAUUGUAGUUGCCUCCAUAUAAUACCUUGUUUUGAAGUUAUUCAUUGAGUUUUAAAUUUCAAAUUUUGUAUUUUGUUUUGAACUAAUAAAGUUGAGUAUCUUGCAACUUGGCCGGUACCACUACCUCUUUGAUAGUAAGAAUGAAGCAAAGCGUGUCAGAAAUGUCCUUACUUGAGCACCUAGAAUCUAGAAACCCAAAAGUGAUUAGGCUAAAAGAUAUUCAACUUGAUUGAGACGGAUAACCAUUCGAACAGAUCUCUGUUAUGGUAAUUCCUUCUGAAAUUGAGCUUUUAUUCACCUAAAUCUUCAUUCACAUAAAUGAUUUUGACUUCUUAGCAAAGGAAAAUGUAUUUGAAUUAUUGAAAGUAGAGACAAAGGACACAAAUUUACUUGGAAAAAACCCGAGUACUGGAAGAAAAACCACGAUAUUUUGUUCUUAUUAUUUUCUUAUAUUAGAAAAGGUGCAAAAGGGGGAAUAUUUAUAUAGGCAACACAAGCCUAAUUAAAAGAAUAAAACAUUAGGUUAAACUUUAAAGUAAAUCUUAACUACCCAAGGGCUUUCAUCAAGGCCAAAGCCCACUAUUUCUAACACUCCCCCUGAAGUUGGGACGUAGAUAUCACUGAGACCCAACUUGCUAACACAAAAGUCAAAGUUCUAUAUGAGAAGUCUCUUGGCGAGGACAUCAGCAACCUGAUGACUUGAAGUAAUGUACGAACUACAUAUGCUACCAUUGUCCGGCCUUUCUAUGAUCAAUCUCAACACGUUUAGUUUUAUCAUGUGGAACUUGAUUGUUGGUGAUGCUAAUGGCUGCCUUGUUAUCACAAAAUAAUUUCAUUGGUAUCUCACAAUUCUGAUGAAGAUCAGGCAAAACUUUUUGGAGCCAAAUUUCCUACCAUAUUCCUAAACUCAGCCUCAGGCUUCUAGCCAUGACCCUUCCUUUUUACUCCUCCAAGUUACAAGAUUGCACAUACAAAGGUAUAAUAACCAUAGGUAGAUUUCCUGUCAACAAUAGACCCCAACCAGUAUGAAUCAGUAUAAGUCUCAAUAGUUUUCCUGUCCAUCUUUCUGAACAUCAAUCCUUUACUAGGAGUCAUUUUUAAGUAUCUUAGUAUUUUAUUUACUGCCUCCAUGUGUUCCUCAUAAGGAGUCUGCAUGAACUAGCUCAUAGCACUCAUAGCAAAGGAAUAUUUGGUCAAGUAUGGGACAAGUAAAUCAACUUACACACUGGACGUUGAUAUUGCUCUUUAUCAACUGAAACUUUAUCAUCUGAAUUUUCCAGUUGACACCCUAGCAUACUUAUCUCGGUCAGUAAAUCAAAGGUAUACUUCCUCUGAGAUAUGAAGAUACUUUCUUUAGAUUUGGCUACCUCUAUUCCACAGAAAUAUUUCAGAUUUUUCAAGUCUUUGAUUUUGAACUCAUCAGCCACCUUCUUUUUCAAUUAGAUGAUUUUAGCGUGGUCGUCUUCAGAUAGAACGAUGUCAUCAACAUAAACAAUCAAUACUAUAAUCUUCUCAGCCUUGGAGACCAUUGUAAUUAAAGUAUGGUCAGAGUGCCCCUAUCUAUACCUAAGGGACUUGACAGAGGUAGCAAAUCUAUAAAACCAUGCUCUAGUUGACUGUUUCAGAUCAUAUAACGAUUUUUGAAAUUUACACACCUGAUGAUUGAAGUGAGCUUCAAACACUGAGGGAGGGCUUAGACUUACUCCUCUAGGUCCCUAUUCAAGAAUGCAUUCUUAACAUCCAAAUGAUAAAGAGGUCAGUCUUUGUUCACAACAAUAGAUAGCAGAACUUUAACAGUAUUUAGUUUAACAACUAGAAAAAAAGUUUCUGAAUAAUCAACACCAUAGGUUUGAGUAAAUCCUUUUGCAACUAACCUCGCCUUGUGUUUGUCAAUGGUUCUAUCUGCCUUGUAUUUUAGAAUGAACACCCAUUUGCAUCCCACAGUUUUACGUCCCUUGGAUGCAGAUUUCCUAAGUCUUGUUCUUCUCAAGGGGCCUCAUCUCUGCAUGACAACAUUUUUACACUCAGGACAUUCUAAAACAAUGUGGAUAUUUCUUGGUAUCAUGGUAGAGACAAGGCUGGCUGUGAAGGCUCUGAACUGAGGAGAUAGGUUCUCAUAAAAAACAUAAUUAGCAAUAGAAUGAUUAGUAUAGGACCUGGUACCUUUCCUUAGUGCAAUAGGUAGAUCAAGAGACGAAUCAUACUUACUGAUAUUUUUUGAACAAUCCUCUCUAAUUUUAUUUUUAGUGACUCUUGCACUGACCCCAUUUUCAUCAUUACUGCCUUUUCCAUCUAGGAUGACCUUAGUAUCAUCAUUACCCUAUUCACCUAUAUUUUCACGAAUAGUUGUCUCGGAUCUCACUUUCACUCAUUUUACUGACAAUGUGUGAGUCGAUAGAAACAGUCAUACCUUGAUCUUGUAAAGGUUCAGAAUCUUGGACUAGGGCUGGCUAAUUAGCACGAGGCCCAACUUCCUUUCUAAGAUUCCUCCCAUAGUAGGUUUUUCAAGGAACUUGGUUCGUAGGUAGGAGUGUGUAGUGAGGAUCUGGGCUUGGUGUGGUAAUAAGAGUAGGAUUGGUAGACUCUAAGGAUAUCAACCAGUUAGAGUUAGACUCUUCACUCUAACUCUGCCGCUGAAGAAGGCUAACGAGAAAGAAAAGAUGAUCUUCAAGAAAGGUAAUGUCCAUGGAGACAAAGUACUUACGAGAAGACGGAUGAAAGCAUUUAUAGUCUUGUUGAUGCUGAGGGUAACCAACGAAAACACAUGCCUGAGCCUGCGGAGUAAACUUAGAUGGGUUAGGGCCAUGGUUAUGAACAUAGGCAGUGCACCUAAAAAAUGGGGCGGGUAGAGGGAUAUGACUCUUUAAGACAGUCUAAGGGUGUCUGGAGAUGUAGGACACGAGAAGACAUUCGGUUGAUAAGAUGGGCUGCAGUGAGAACAAUAUCACCCUUGAGAUAGGAAGGAAAGUAGACAACAUAAGAGAAUGGGCGACUUCUAAAAGGUGACGGUGGGGGUGACACGAACUUUGGUGGACAAUGCCUUUGGAGGACCAAAACUCAUUGAGGGUGUGGUUUUGGAACUCACGACCGUUCUCACUUCCCAAAAUUGCAAUCUUUGUAUUGAACUGCAUUUCUACAGUGUUAUAAAAGUCCCUAAAGAUAGAGGUGACCUCAGAUUUGUCAGAGGCGAGAAAGACCCAGGUAAAAUGGGUAUGGUCAUCAAUAAAGGUUAUGAACCACUAUUUCCCAAAUGAGGUAGUUAUCUUGGAUGGUCCCCAGACAUCACUAUGAACAAGAGUGAAAGGGUGGGUUGGUUUGUAUGAUUGUGAAGGAAAAAAAACUCGAUGUUGUUUAUAGCCCGAAUACAUACAUCACAAGAUAAAGUAGACAUAUCAAUUUUAGAGAAAAGAUGAGGAAAUAAAUGUUUCAUAUAUUGAAAAUUAGGGUGGCCAAAACGAAAAUGCCACAACAUACAAUCUUGUUCAGAAGUAGUAAAAUAGUAAGAUAAAAGACUAGUCCUAGAAAUGCUACUAGAAGAGAUGUCGUCAUCAAGGUACUUCUCAGACAGAACUUUGACUUUUGUGUUAGCAAGUUGAGUCUCAUUGAUAUCUACGUCCCAACUUGAGUACAGAAGCAGCGUUGAUCUCCUCCUUGAUGACGACCAUGAAGUUGGGUCCUACCUCCUUGAUGACGACCAUGUAACUUCCAACACUGUUCUUUGGUAUGCCUUUAUUUUUGCAAUGCUCACACGCAGGAAUUGGUUUUUCAUUGUGCUUGUCACUGCCGCUGGUAGAGGACCUUGAACUAAAAGCAGCGGAGUCAAUAGUAGGUGUUGUCGAAAUACUCAUAGCACUUGUGCGAUCCUCCUCGCGGAGGAUUUCAAAACAGGCUUCCAUCAGGGGAAAGAAUCGGUCUCUUGCUAGUAUACGCCCUCAAACUAUAUCAAACUUAAGAUUAAGACCAGCAAGAAAGUUAUAAAUCCUGUCAAUCUCUUCAAUUCUAGAGUAUUGCAAACCAUCACUGGGAUUGCUCCAGACUAGUUCUCUGCAUAAGUCUGUUUCCUGCUAGAUAAGAGAAAAUUUAUUAAAAAGGGAUGUGACAUCCAUGGUUCCUUGCUUGCAUUCAUAAAUCUGUUUCCUUAGUGUGUAUAGGCGAGAAGCAUUUUGACGUUUGGAGUAGAGUGUCUGGGUCGUGUCCAAAUAUAUUUGGCUGUUGCAGCAUAUAGUAAUGGCUUGCCAAUCUGGGGUUCCAUAUUGUUGACCAACAUGGAUCGAAGAAGAGAGCCCUCUCCCUUCCAGUAUUAUUCCUGUGGGUUGCCUAGUGGAGGACAAGGUAUUUCCCCUGUCAGAAAGCCAAAUUUAUGUUGUCCUUCAAGAACCAUUUUCACUGACUGAGACCAUGAGAAAUAGUUAUUGUCAUUUAACUUUUUCCUUGAAAGAUCCUGUAGACUAUGCCACUGUAUUAGUUGCAUAAAAAGAGGAUAAAGUAGGAAACGAGGUUACUGGAUUCUCUGAUACAUCGGUAUGGGAGUUUUGGAAUGUGCCGAAGAUUCACCAACCUCAAAUGUUGAGUGAGUUUGAGGAUUCUUAACAUCGGGAUGAUAUUUAAGGGCAAUGGGUGGUAGGGCAUACAGAUUUGUCAACAGAAGUCGUGGUGGUCGGUUGGAAUUAGGUGUAUAGGGCGUGGGGAGCAACAUAGGUGGCGGAUGAAGGAGAGGAUUGCACACAAGGGAUGGCUGAGGAGGAUGGACUAGUGCGUGUUUCUCCGACAGCAGUGCGUGGGUGGCGCAUGAGAUAUGUUUAGCGGCAUGGACGACGACAGAAUCGUUGGGAUAACAUUUUCCGACGUUGUUUGAAGGUGGUGGAACCAUUCGUCUAUGGUAGCAUUGAGAUCCGAGCAUCGACGACAGCAUUAAAACCAACGGUUGUGUCUUUUGUUUGAUUUCCAUCACUAGUUAUGUUGUCUAGGGUUUGUUCAAUGUCCCGCUCUAAUAUCAUAUUGAAAGUAGAGGCAAAGAACAUAGAUAUAUGGAGAAACCCGAGUACCGGAAUAAAAACCACGAUAUUUUGUUCUUAUUUUCUUAGAUUCAGAAAGGCACAAAAGGGGGAAUAUUUAAUGGCAAUAAGAGCCUAAUUAAAAGAAUAAACAAUUAGGAUAAAGUAAAUCUUAAUUACCCAUUACCUUUCAUCAAGGUCCAAGUCCACUGUUUCUAACAUGAAUAGAAGGGCAUAGAGGGCCUACAGAAACAUCAACCAAAAUUCCCCCUAAAAUUUGAUGGUGGAGUCAUUAGUGAUUAAAUAUGGAAAGGUCAUGGAUCAAGAAAGAGGCAUUGUUAGCAUACCUCCUAACAAGAACACUCAAGAAAUACAAAUAACACUAAAGAUAGUAAUACAUUACAAUAUCAAUAAAGAAAAUACAAUGUACCACAACCUUCCGAGAGGCUAGUCUUUGCCAAAUUCCCUAAAGGGGGAAUCCCACAAAAAAUUCUUCAUACCUUUUUUCCCAACUCCACCCCUCUAUUUAUAACUAAAGUCUUAACUAAUUUACUAGCUAUUUACUAAUAUGCCCCCUCUAAUAACCAUACUAAUAUUCCUUAUUAGGGGUUUUACAUGCAUACAACCUUCAUUAGGAAUCCAAUGAUCUUUGCUUUAGGAUGCUCUUUUUUUUUAUCACUCAAACUCUUACACUUGGUGAUAGGUCAUGAACCUUUGGAGCUGCUACGAUAACAAUGUGUUGUAAACCAUCGUGAAGGACCCUUGUCAUAUAUACUAGAAAUGACCUUGUUCAAAUUGACUUAGCGGAUAAUGUUCUCAUUUCUCUUCGCAAUAUUACUAAUGUAUACUCCACCAGAGGAAGGGACCCAGUACCCAGCAUGUCAAUCCACAUGAUGGCCAGUAGCCCACCUCUUCUCUAUGCAUCCCGUGCCAUAGGCUUAUUAUUGAUCUUCAAAUAUUUCCCGAUCAUAAAAGUCUUUAUACAGUGUUGUCGGAAUGAGUUGAUGAGUUGAGUAUUUAACUUUUUCAUCAAUAUAAAAUGAAGAGACAGGGCAUGAACUAUUCUUAUAAGUGAAGUGUGUAGAAAAGCAAGUUGAUGUUGGAAGACUAAGUACCGAUGUAUAACUAAAGUAGGCUGGUGAUUUUCAUAGAAUAGUGAUUUUCAACCAUGAUGUACGAAGAAGAAGAAUAAAAGAAUGUUGGAAAUUGAUAAUCAACCAAGUAUUGCACUCUUGGAGGUUGUGUCAAGCACAAGGGAAAAUUCUGUUGCACCCUAUUAUUGCUCUGUUUAUUCUUGGCUUGCCAACUUGUCUGAAUCUUGCAUCCUUUAAAUAAGUGUAAUUCAUUUUGUGUGAUGGAUAUAUCCUACUGCUGACCUUUUUUAAGAAUAAAACUCAGAUUGUUAAAUGAAAGAUAACCUAUUGUAUGAACCUUGGAUCCUACAAAUAUGUCUGUAUUAGAUUCUCAGUUCUGGAUAGACAUCUACUGCUCACAUUUUUCAAGAAUAAAAAUAAAAUUUUCUAACAAUAGUUUCAAUUGCACUAAUUGGACUGAGAAGUGAGAACUUCUUUCAAGUAUUUCUCCGUUUUAUUUUUUUUUCUUGGUGUGUUUAUGACAUGUAUUAUUCGGUUACAAUGUCUCAGAUUUUUGAAGAGGGAGCACCUUAUUGAUGUCACCGAGGUAUUUAGAGCUCUUAAGCGUGAGAAGUAUUUCCGUUUGGCCAAGCUUAUCUUCUACUUGCUUCUUUUCCUCGUAGUAAUUUUCAGGUCAGUUUGCAUUUUUCAUUUUCUCAUUCCUCUCAGCUAUUUCGAAGUUGGUAUUUUCCUGAUUGAAGUUUUCUUUAUUAUUUUCUGUAUAGAAUAAUAGUGGUUGCGGGAAUGAAAUCUGUUUUUGACUCUGCACCUGAAGAUUUAGACAUUCGCUCCUCUGUUCUCGAAUUCUAGAGUUUUUUACUUAACCAUUUAUCAUUCCUUUUGAAAUAUAUAUACGACUACAUUUGACAUUAUCUUCUUUUUUAUUCAUUGCAAAGUUCUUAAAGAUGACGUUGCUCUAAUUUUGAGCUUGUUAUGUUGGUUUGGGAACCUAUACACCAUAUUUCUCUCUAUUGCCUUGGUGCUAAGUAUGUUGUUACAGUAAUGCAUUACUCCAGGAUCUUGCACUUUGUUCUGUUUGCAAUUCGUGCUUCUUUGUAGCUUUUGCUGGUCCAGUAUGUGAUAUAACUUAAUUUAGGAUGUUUAUAGCUUUUCAAAUUUUAAAGAGAUGUUGCAUUUUGUUAUUUUAUGGAGGACUCCCAUGCUUCUCAACAUCCCGAUACAUAUGCACACGUAUACACAUGUAUUGUUCAUCCAUGAUGUAUCGAGGUUUCAUUUCGUCCUACCAAUAAAGAUAAAGCACGAACAUUGAUGUUGUUCAUUUGGAACUUCACCAUCUUACUAGCAUUCUUACCUGUAUUCAAUUAACAUGUAAUGCAGGCUUACUUUGUCUGCAUUCAACUCCUUAUCUGACGAAGACGAUGUCCUACAUUUAUUUUGAUUGCCAUUUUGAUAUCCGAAGUUUGUAUUACGGGUUCUAUCGUGCAUCGGGUUGAUAUUUAUGUGGGAAUUACACGAAGGGAAUGAAUUUGGACUCAGCAACUUCAAACACAUUCAAACAGGUUUUCUCGAUUCCCAUUCUAUAGUUUGGUAGGCUUCAGUAGCAAUCUCAUUGACUUACACCUAAGGAAUUCUUGUAUGUAGAAGAUAGCAUUGUAGGCAUAUUAUGUGAUUUGAUUUGUUUUGGUACCUUCCUUAACUCACUGCUAAGUUGAGGGACCUUCAAGAUUAGGGUUUCAUAUUUUAUCAUUUUUGGAAUAUCAACUCGUUUCAAGUUUUAGUGUUCUUGUAAAAGGAUUGAAAUGAUUUUCAUCAUUCAAUGCCUAACAAAUGUAUUAAGUGUUGUUCUCUUCAAAGGAUACAUUUUUACUAACAUUGUAAACUAUUUUUAGGGCUUGUUUAAAAGUGAAUUCUAAUUUAAACAAUAGUUAAAGACGGGGUUGAUAUAAUAUAUUUAUAAACCAUAAAAUUAAUGGGGUGUUUUAAAAAAAAAUUGUGACUUUGAAGGAGUAAUAAUAUAGAAAAUAUUUGGAGUAAUGAGAAAUGGUGAGAUCUAAUUAAAUAUGGGUAAUUGUAAUUAAUGGGUAUUUGUAGAAUAAUAAUUAAGGAUAUAAUAAUAUUUUUAAAAAGUUACAAAUACAACGAAACUAUCAUUGAUAGACUUGUAUGAUCUAUUAGUGAUAGACCAAUAUUUACAAUAUAGUCUAUCAAUCAUUGAUAGAAUUUGGCAAAUUUUGUUAUAUUCGUAAUUUUUUAAAAAUAUUGCUAUAUAUUUAAUUAUUUUGAAUUUAAUUGCUAAAUUUGCAAUUAUUCCAUUAAAUACAUGCCAGUAGCUACCAAAUUGUAAUCUAAUCGUAUUCCACCUCAUCUUAUGAACUAGCUUCAACCUCAAUUCAAUUUUGACCUUCAACGUCCAUACAAGUGCUCCAACUAAUUCGAUCUAUGUAUCUAUGCCUAAUUACAAUUUGGACUAAUUCAUGCAAACUUUUAAGUCCUAUUGUGUCUUAGUAUAUGAUCAUGUCACAUCAUUAGCCUCAUAUUCCAUUCACAAAUUCGUGUUAUUACCUCAAUAAUCUUACCAUCAACUCUCAACUAUCAUAUGUUUACUCAAAAAGGUAAAGCUUAAACUCAACAAAAGAAAUAGUAUAGUGUAAAAGAAGUGGCUCCAUGCAAAUACAAUUUAAUAAUUUAUCAACCUAACUCAUCCUUUCAGGCUAUCCAUCCUAAUCAAUCUCUUACAAUUUUUUUAGCUUAUGAUUAAGAGAAUAACCAAUUUAUUCAUUAAAAAAUUGUCAUAGGUAGCCAAAGAAAAUUAUUCAAGUAUUUGCAAAUCUAGGAGUUCUUUUUAAUUGCAAAAAGAUAGCAAAAAUUUUGAAUUCAAUUUAGGUUCUUUUUAUUAUUUUCAAUUUUAUCCUCGUUUGUAUAUCAAUAGAUAUAUAUGGUAUAUAUUGUAUAAGGUAAAGCUCGUGUUGUCUAUAAAUAUUGUCAAUACCUCGAUGACCCUCCUAGAAUCUCAAAUUAAGUAUAAAUCUAUAGUAUAUAUUACAAUUGGUCAAACUUGAACUUUGUACACAAGUUGCUAAUAUAAAUGUUUAAGGAUGAAACAAAGUUGUUAAUUUCGUUCUUAUAUGUUUGCUAACGUUGUGGAUAUAGUUGUAAUUGUUGUUGAUAUUAUGUAUAUAUUGUGAACAUAGUUAUGAUUUUUGUUGAUUUUUUUCUCCAUCCAUAUUCGUAAUGACUUCUAAAUUUUCUUUUAAAUUUUUUUAUUUUCAAUUAUUUAAAAGUGAGAAAGUUGGAAAUAUGUUUUCUAUUUCUCUCCCAAUCCAAAGUUUCUUUCACUCUCCUAUCUCAUCAAUCAAUUUAUUUUUUUCACAUAUUAACAUUGUUGUCAUUUUUAUCUCUCAAUCUAACCAAAUAUAAAUAUAAUUUAAUAUUAAUUAAGAUGGUAUAUAAAAGAUUGCUUAUUUUUUAUUUGUAAAACUAUUAAAACUCUAUAUUUGGUUAACAUUAAUUCCACCAUAGGUUAUAAGUUAAAAUGAAAAUUUAGAACUAAUUUAUAAACCAUUAAAACAUAUAGUUAAAUAAUACUACAUUCUUACAUAAAUUUUGUAAAUAAAAUUUGUUAAUUCAUCUCAUUCCUUUCGCCAAGAAUGUGAACCAUUCUCACACAUAUUCUACUGUGAUGACCGCAUCAUCAUCAACAUUCCUUGGAGAUUUUUCUGAUUCGUUUUUCGUUGCUCCGAUUGUUAACACAAACACAUUGGUUAACUUCUCACCGCCAUGUUUUCGCAAACUUCAUUGUUGUCUUGACUCAUUAUGUGGACAUAAGAGCUAGCUCAUUGAUAGAAAUAAAGUUAAUGGUUUACUCGUGAACAUAACAUACAAUCAUCAAACAUGAAAACUUUAGCUUUAGGAACAUUAUGUAUAAGCAAACUGUUUAAUAAACAUCAAGAACAUUACAACAUGCGUUAAGCACUCAUAACAACGUAAGACUCAAAAAGAAUGUUUUCAAGACACCAUUUUUUCUUUUAGAAAAAUCAAUCACAAACUAAUUUUCUUCUUUAGAAUGCCUAAUCCUAGUCUCCUCCUUCUUGCCUAACACUUCUUCAGCAGACAACACUUAGAAAUUUCCUUAAUACAAUCACAGUAACAUCCUUUUCUUCAGACCUUUCAAUCCUAUUUAUACUAGCCUAAGUUGGAUUAGUCACUCAUUAAGCUCCCUUAGCUCGCCAGCUCCUACUUAACACUUUACACGUGUAGGCUUAACAUUUCUUUUAGCCAUGCUUAAACUUAAUCUUCACACAUAGCACACUAAUUAACCACAAUUAGGAAAUUUUCCUAAAUCUCAAUGCCUAUCUUCAUCUUGCAUUAUAACAUCAAAACGCCUACUUUCUCUUGAAUUCAACUUCAAAAUCAUUCCCAUUUCAGACUUGAGUCUCACAACUCUCCACUUCUUUAAGAAUUUCGUCCUCAAAACUCUAUCUCCACAAUCAUCUUUCUUUAUCUAACAUAAGACCUCCUCACACAGGUUUAUGAAUAGAGUGAGAAGCCACUCCCAAAUGUGUUUGCUCCUCGUCUAAUCUUAGUUUUCUCUUUGCGCUCCUUUUGAUAAUGUCAAACUUUUCCACACUUAAAAUAUUGCCUACAAGUCCUGGUGUGUCUUUUGCUUUAUUUCGUUCAUUUUGAUUUUCGAUUAUCAUUCCAACAUGGUCUUUGGAUAAAACUGGUCUUAGCGCACUUACUAUACCCUUCAAUACUUUUCCUUUCUUUUUUUUCCCACUAAGCAUAGAAUUUGAUCUUUUUCCUCCUAGACUCUUCUCAAUCAGAGAGUUUCAUCCACCAACUCCUCAUAACCAUUGUGCAUAGCUAUGACUGUGACCAGUGUUCUUGUUUUAGGUAUGUAUCCAGUUUCAAAUUGUCUACAUCCACCAACAACAUCGCAUACUUGGAUAAUUCUUUAAACUUCUUCUCGUACUCUAUGACUGUGAGUUCACUUUGUUCUAAAUUUUGAAAUUCAUCUCGCCUUUCUUUUUUGUAGGUCUUUAAGAAAUACUUUCCGUUGAAAAUUUCUUUGAAUUCUUCCAAGCUAACACUUCCUCGCAUAUUCUCUUCUAACAUCCACCAGUCUUUAGGUCCUUCUUGGAGUAAGAACACUUCUGAAUCUACCGUUCUUUCUUUUGAAGACUACUAAAUCUACUUUUUCUUUCUCCUCUAACAUCCACUAGUCUUCUGCUUGAUGUAUAAAAUUAGAUUCGAACUCAGUGGAUAGUGUUCUAUGUGCUUAUAUCUAAGUUUAUGUGGCAAUGCAUGGUCAUUGCAUGCAAGAUGCUCACUAUGUCUCAUCCUCACGCAAUUACUAAGUCCUCAUUGAGUACAAGUUUACCUAUUGCUUAUGUAUCACUGAAAUAGUUCUUCUAUUAACACUUGAUCUACAAUAAAGAUAAUCAGUAACGGUCCAACAAUAAGUGUCUUUAUCAAAGACAAUGUCUUGUUUAACAUAAUUAAUUUGUGUAUAUACUAAUCAUAAGAACAGAAAUCAUGAGAUAAAAUCAUAAACAAUAAACAAAUAAUCUCAAAGUGUCAAAUAACACAAUCUUAAUUUCAGUAAUGAUAUUUAUUAAUAUCCAUAUCUUUAACAUGAACAUUGAAUGCCUUUGGUGGUAAUCCUUGAGUUAGUAGAUCUACAAUCAUAAGUUUAGUGCUAAUGUGAUUGACACUUUUUGUUUCUAAACUUCUUCUUUAACAACAAAGUAUUUUAAUUCCAUAAGUUUAGUACCUUUGGAAUACUUGUUUUUUUAAAGAAGAAAACUACUACAGAAUUAUCAUAAUAAAUAAACUACCACAAAAUUAUCAUAAUAAAUGCUCAAUGACUUGGCAAUACUGUCGACAAUUCCAAGUCUUGAAAUAAGUUUUGCAACCAUAAAACAUAAAUUAUAGCCUCAAAGGAUGCUACAAAUUCAACCUCCACAGUGGAUGCAGCAACAAUACACUGAUUCUCGCAUUUUCAUGAGGUUGCUCCUUUAGCUAAUAGGAACAAAUAGCCAAAAGUAAAUUUUCGUGUAUCUACACGUUCGGUAAAUUUGAAUAUGAAUAUCCAAUCACCUCAAGAUGAUUAGAUCUCUUGUAAGUAAGCAUAUAGAACAAGGAUUAUAAUUAAACUUACUCCAAUUGAUCCUUAGGUAUAUACAUUAAUCAACGAUGUUUUCUUUAAAGCCAAAAGAUGUGAUGGUAUCAUUGCACUUAAGAUACCAUUGUCUAGAAGCUUGUUUAAGUCCAUAUAUUAACCUCUUUAAUUUACACAUCAUAUAUUCCUUUCCUUCAAACAUAAAACCUUCUAGUUGAUCCAUGGACGUUUCUUCAUCUAAAAUUCCAUUUAGAAAGGCAGUUUUCAUAUUCAUUUGAUGAAACCCUAAAUUAUUAUGAGCUACUAAAGUCAUAAUAAUUACUAAUGAGUCCUUUUUUCAAGAUAUGAGAAAAGGUCUCUUUGUUGUCAAUGUGAUAUUUCGAGUAUAACCUUUGGCAACAAACCUAUCCUUGUGUUGUUCGAUAUUGCCAUUUGAGUUAAGUUUGGUCUUAAAGACCUAUUUACACCUAACUCUUUUACUUUCCUUAGGCAAUUCUACCAAAUCCAAGACUUCAUUAUCAUUCAUAGAUUUGAACUCUUCUUUCAUGACAUCUAACCAUUUGGAAGAAUAAUUACCUUCUUUAUUGGCUUGUGAAAACGAAAUCGGAUCAUUAUCAACACUUAAAUCAAAUUCUGACUCAUGCAAAUAAACCGCAGUCAUAAAAAAUAUGUGAUCUUCUUGGUCUUACAGAUCUUCUUAACUCUAUUUCUUGUGGUCCCUCAUUUAUAGGUUCAUUUGUUAUAACAUCAUUAUGUGGUGUUUGACCAUUAAUUUGUUCUUCUUAUGGAUUGUUAACGGAGCCUACAACUACAAGACACAACAACUUUGAGAAGAAGUUAUAGAUGAAAGAAUUUUCACCCUAACUUCUUGAAUUUUCACUUUACGUGGUUUCAAACUCCCACUAAUUACGCCAUUCUUAAUUAACCUUACAUUUCCAGUUUCAACCAUUCACAUACUAUGGUUAGGACAAUAAAAUCUAUACCCUUUUGAUUUUUCUGGAUAACCAAUGAAGAAACCACUGGUUGUUCUUGAAUCUAGUUUCCUUUCGUGUGGAUUAUAAAUUCUUACUUUUGCUUGACAACCCCAAACAUGCAGUUGUCUUAAACUAGGUUUCCUCAGUAUCUAUACUUCAAAAGAUGUCUUUAGAACUGACUUAUUAGGAACUCAGUUUAAUAAAUAUUGAGCAGUUCUUAAUGCAUACAUCCACAAGAACACAUGUAAAAACAAAUUAAUUAACAUGCUUCUAACAAUAUUCAUUAAUGUACGAUUAUGCCUUUCUACAACACCAUUUUGUUGUGGUGUUUUUGAUAUUGUGUAUUGAGCACAUAUACCAUGACUUUCUAGGAAUUUAGCAAAUGAGUCAAAACAAUGUGCUUUCUCAUCAUAUUUUACAUACACUUUAUAAAAUCCUUAGCAUUUUCAAUUUUAUAAUUGUGGACUUGAUGUUAUUUACUAUAGUUAUUCACAUAAACAUCAGAUUUGACAUCUUCUUAGCCAGACCUUACUUAUCGCCUAAUCCCAUACCACAAAUAACUUAACACUUCUCGCGAAUAACCUUAUCGCAUGGUUAUAUUUUUACAAGAAAUCUUCCUUGAGAACUAACAAACUUUUACUCGCUUAGAACACUUAUCAUGAACUUAAACUUCAAGGCUUCCUCGCAAAGUUCUUCAUUGUGAAGACUACCCAAACACCUAGUGUUUUAAUAAAAAAACUUACGCGGACUUUCUUUUGAAGUCGUUUAGACAUAGAUUCUAUUGCAAGCCCUUCUUUUUUCAAAACUUCCUCACGAAUUAACUUCUUGAUCGCAAAAUUAUACUAACCAUAAAGAUUUUAUGGCUUAAUCCUUUCCGCGGAUUUAUUCAAACUCCAAUUUCUAUAGUACUUAUAACCAAAAUUUUACUUCAUAUACUCAAUUUAAAAAUGAGUCUCAUAAUUUGAUACAAACACAGUGAUCCAAUGCGUUCGUGUAAUUGACAUGCGAGUGAAGGUUUCUAUAAGUUUAGCCAAUACACGAACGCAUUGGAUCAUUAAUUAAUAUGGUUAAUGAGUUUAGUAUAUAUUCGUUGACACAUAGUUAUAUACACAGUGAGAAGAGUUCAACUGUGAGUCUUUAGUGGAGUGUAUACACAAUUAACGAAUAUUGAUUAAUGUGGUUAAUGAGUUUAGACAAUUAAUCUCAUAUUGUUGUAGCUUUUGAUCUAUAGUCCAUUAGGCCCCCUUUCUAGUUCGUAAAGAGUAAUGAGAUUUAUUUAUAUUGGUUGUAAUUUAAAGUGUUCAAAUUACUUUGGGAUUUAGUAUAAUGUAUAGUGAUAUAUUAUAAUAUAAAGUUUAUCAAACUUUAUUAUAUAAAUUUAAUUUUGGAUAUGAUUCAAAAUUAAUUUAUGAGAGAUAAAAUAUUUAAAUGAGUUCAAAUAUUAAUUUAAUGUGAAUUGAAUUCAUGUUAAAAUUAUUAGUUAUGAGAGAAAAUUAUAUUUGAGUAUGAUUCAAAUUUAACUUAAGUUAAAUAUAAGAUAUUUAAUUUAGUUAUUAAUUAAUUAAUAGCUUAGUUUAAUAUUAUUUAAUUAAAUUUGAUUGAAUUAAAUUAAUAUAAAACUAUAAGAUAUUUGAGAGAUAUUUAUUAAAUAAGAUUUAAAUGAAAUAUUAAUUAAAUAUGAUUUAAUUAAUUAUUAACUAAUUGAUUAAUUGUUAAUUAAUUAGUUGGUUUGAAAUUUCUAUUUAUUUAAUAUUUUUUAAAUUAAUAGAAUCUCAUGGUUAUCUCCUACUCCAAGACGGAAAGAGAGUUAUAAAUAUUUAGAAGAAAACAUAUUUUUUUUAACGAUUCAAUCAACCAAAAAAUAAGAACUUAUAAUUUUGCCUUUCAAAAGAGUUUCUCUAAAAAAAAUCUUUAAACUUUUUCCCAUCUCAAUUGUUUCCCACAAACCAAUCUUAUUCCAGAAGAUAGGAAGGUCUCCGACGCGUGGUGUCUCCAAUUCGAUAGAUUGUAAAUUCAGAGACAUCAACAAGAGUAGAUUCUCUCUAUCUUUUAAUUUAAAAGCAUGCUUAGUUUUUUAUUUAGAAUUUUGAUUCUAAAUAUUUUCAAUCUACUGGUAUUUUAGGAUUCCCAAAUUAAAUUGAGGAAUGGUUCUAUAAAAAAUCUUUUGCUGGCAUGGACUCUUAUCCUUCCAUUAACGCAUAGAAAAUAAUGAAAACAUUUCUUUUAUUAACUUUCAACUAACGUUUGACAACAAUUAUAAGGUACAUAACAAUGCUACACUUAAUUUAAACGUCUAGCAGCAACUCCUUGCCUAGCUAGCCUCUUAAUCUCUUCUUACUUGACCUUUAACGCUUGAAACCUUGAAGGUGAAAAUUUAAAAACAUAAGUCAAAAGAGUUAGUAAGAUUUUAAAAGAAAUCCUUUGGAGAUACGUUUCAUGAGAUAAACACAUUCGGUUCAAAUAGGCUUUUCAUAUCAUUCAUAAUAUAUCAUUUCACAUGACACUCAUUAGUAACACAGUCCUUUCAUUGAGAAAUCCGAAACCAUCCCCUACUCUAAGACUCAUCAUCUUGCAUUUAAACUUUUGUGAAAAACAUCCGAGAGUAUCCUAGUUUUUUCUAGUUACUCAAGGCGAAGCGCAAUACACAUCUUUUAUGUAUUGUCUUGCCUUAACACCAUGCAUACCUUUUUCUACAUGAUUGUCUUUACUCUUUAUGUGCACAUAAUGGUUAGCUCAUUGAUAGGAUUCAGAUUAAUGCUUUGAACACAAUUUCAUAAUCAUUUGAAACAGAAAAAUACACUUCAAACAUAGUAUAAGUUUGAAUUCAAAAUCUCUUUAAAAAAUAUUCUUAUCAUUUCAUAUCAGUACGAUCUUAAAAGAAAGCUUUUAACAUUUAAAAACAUUUAAUAUAGAAAAACACUCAUAAACUUGGUUGCUUUGGAAACAAAUGGCUUUUGUACUUCCUCUUCUCAUAUAGUCCUUUUAGCACAACAACUUAACACUCACCUUUCUCUUCAGUCUUCCCGAGUAACACUCCCUCACAUUCUGAUUCCUUCCACUAUUUAUAUUAGUCCUUAAAUGGGUUAGUCACCCUUAAACUCUCAAUAACUUGUCGGUUCCUAUUCUUAGUGGUGCACGUGUAAGCACAAUGUUUAACUUAAUUAUCAUGCUUAGCUUAAACUCCUACAUGUGGCCCAUCAAGUAUCCUUAGGAAAUUUUCCAAAGUUUCCUUACUUUCUCUUCAUCUCGCAAUGAACUCCAAACAGCUAACUAGUCUUAAAGGCCAAAAGUCUUAUCGCGUUGUCCUGCUCCUUCACCCAACAUCAACUUUUCAUCAUAACCUUCCAUUCAAAACGCCUAUUCUUAAACACAUAGUCAAAUUUUAGCCUUUCAUAGGUACGGGUCGCACAAAUUCAUAGGAAAUGUGCUCGAGUGGAAGAAGAUAAACUUGAUGAGGUUUACCAUAAUGUGGAAGAAGUGACUCCUAUAACAAAAUCCUAGAGCCAGAUUGGUUGUGGUAGUUUGAUGAUGAUGAUGCCAGCGUUUGGCCUCAGAGACACAAACGAGGCUGUAGAGAACAUAACAAACAGGGCCGUUGGAUGUCAAUCCAUCUUCUUCAUAUAUGGAUGUCAGUCCAUCGCCUUCAUACAUGCAUGGACACAAAUGAGGUCAUGGAGAACAUAACGACUAUUUGUACUAUAAAGCACCUACAGAGGUAUCAAAAUUCACAAGAGAACCAAUAAGAACCAAAUAAUCAAAAGGAGUAAGAAUAACAUAGAGUUUAAAGUUGGCCAUGACAAACAACUCAAAAUCGACAACGUAUAAGUUGAAACACAUUAAUUUUCUUUUAAUUUUUAAAUGGAUGUAAAACAUUGAUACUAGUAUUUUAAUUUAUAUUUAAUUUUUUUCAUUUAUGAAUAAUUAAAAAAAAAGUUAAACAAUCAUGUUCUUUUUUUAAUUAUUAAAAAAUAUAAUUAUAAACUUUCAUUAAAUUUAAAAAAAUGGAAGAGAAUUGGGUAAAGAUUUAUUAAUUACAAAUUUUUAAAAAUAAGAAAAUUGAAAAACAUGGGUCAAGGUAAAAAAUAUGAUGUGUAGGUUGGGUUUUCAACCCAUCAUCUUUGUUGAAAAUUAAAAAAAGAUAAAUGGUGGGUAAGUUUAGUUAAGCCCAUAACAAAAAAAAAAAAAAAGUUGUGUAUAGGUGGUUGGGGUUAACCUACUUAACAACACUAGUACAAAUUUGGUUUUUAAUGAUACUUGAAAUAAAAAGAAAAUAGGUGGAAUUGAAUAAAAUGUAUCGUUAAAAAUAAAAAAUACAGAUUUUUUCUUGACACACAUUUUUGCGUUGUUAACUAAUGACAUAAUUUUUGUGUCAUUAAAAAAAAUUUCCUUAAUAAAAAGUGCACCUAUUUCCAAUAUUAUUGAAUUCCCCUUUUGUAGGUUCUCCCUCUCUCGCAAAAAUCCUAGCACAUGGUCAGCUGCGGUAAAUCUGGAACUCACGAAAACGCUUUCCUUGCGUCCAUCGUGGUCUAGUUUGUCGGUCAGUGUAAUUCUUCAAAAGAAAUCCUUCACAGUAAGACGGUAACUUUGAAAUGUAUGAUAGAAAAGAGAGUGUAUAAGUCACGAGUUGAACACAUGAAUAAAAAAGAGAGUGUAUAAUCAUGGGUUGCACAAAUCUUUAAAUAUUAUGUAAAUUAGCUGCCCCAAUAUAAUUUUUUUUAAAGAAAAAACAGCAUAUUCAUCCAAAUUUUCGUUAAUAAAAUGUCACAUCAUCAAUAAAUUUAUUUAUCAAGGGUAAACAUACAAGAGAGCAAUUUAAACAUAGUUUUUAAACCUCAAAUGACUCACUUUUAAGAACUCAAGGACAAAACAGACACACUCAAUAUAGACCAAGGGAGUGCAUAUUGUCCUCCUUGAUUUUAUUCACACCUUUUCUACUUUUGUUCCCCUCAUAAGACCUGAUGAUGCAGACCAUGAUGCUGUGGUUAGUAGACAAGAGUUUCUCAUGGGCUUAACAGUGUCCAUGUCUUGGUAGAUUGUACAUCUAGCACUUCAGCUUUACGUUUUUCUAGGGUAAGUUGAGUAGAUGUUCUUACUUGCUCUUCAUAUGUUAGAUUGAUUUUUCUUCCUUGAUCCGUAAUAGAAACGUCAUGUUCAAUGACAUUAAAAUACGUAUGUAUUUGGUCAGGUGGCGUUUUUAUAUUUGCAAAUGCAAACCUUCCCGCUGUCUCUAACGUAAAUGUGUCAAUAAAAGUGUCGUCGGUUGGGUUACUCAUCGUAACUAUAUCUUAUUGAUAUUUUGAAGCUGAUAAAAAUUUUAUAACUCUGCCUUAUGCUCUCCACCCAAAGUUGUAGCUUAAUAUUUAUAGAGUUAUGGGUUGAAGGAUAGACAUGACAGAAUUAGAAUUUGAUUCUUUGACUGUAUACUUUACAAAUUCUUUAACUUUGAUAUCUAUCUAAGAGUUCAAUAGUUAAACAUCUGGUCAGUGUGCUGUCUGGAUUAUAUAGAUAGCUCUGAAUCAAUUCCAUCUAGCUCAAAAUAUCCUUAGUUAUCUUAACUAAAGGAUGUAAGGGUUUGUCCAAUAAGUAUUUUUUUACUUCAAAAAAUCCUAUUGAACAUACAAACACAUACAUAAAUCAAACAAUUCGAUUCCAUUUGGAUCAAUUUUAGUUUUGCUUGUGUGGAUAUAUGCAAUCCUUAGUCGAAUGUGCAGAUAUUCCUCUUGGUAUUUUAUUUAGCAUGAAGUUUAGUCAAUAUAACCUAUGUUCUUUAUUUUGUAGUAGCACAUACUCAUCAAUAAAAAGAGAUAUACUAUAUGCUAACUAUGUGUCUGUAAUCAACAAAAGAUAAAAUAUUUGUAGAUGUAGAAUUGGGUAAUUAACAUGAAAUUAUACCAUGCUGUUCACAAAGAUUGUUCACACUUUUGUAGGAAACACAAUAGAAUAGAUUUCUAAAAUAUAAAAUAUUUAUAAAUACCUAAAUAAAUAGCACUUUAUUGGUAUGUUCUAAGAAAUAAUAAGACCUAUGUCAUCACAUUUUUUAAAUUGUAAAAAUAGCAAAUUUAAAAGUGAAUAGUCUUCUAAUAGCCUUUUGAUAACCCUCUAAUUGUCGUCUGAUAUAUUUAAUUACUUGUCAUAUUUGUCAUAUUUAUAAUAUAUAAAAAAUAGGUGCUAUGGACGACUCUUUUCUAAUUUUGUCUGUGUCUAUACGAUACAAUUUUUCUAUAAUUUAGUCAAUAAACUUUUAAAAAUAAGACUUUUUAUCCCUCUUGCUUUCAAAUUUGUAACAACUUAUUCUAAACAUUAACAACAAUUUAGUCCAUAUUGUUUGCCAUUUGUGACAAUUUAGUGUUAGUGUUAACUUUCAUUAUCUAAGAACAUAGUUUUUAUAGUUUGUAUAAAAAUUGAUUUUCAAUAAAUUUAUGAGUUUACACGUAGAUAUUUAUUUCAGUAAAUUUUAAUAGUAUUUGUAACCAUAAGGACCAAAUGGUUACAAGUUGUAAAGUAUAUAAAUAUUUAUAGUUACUUAUUGUUCAAAGAAAAAAUUACUACCAUUUUAUAAAAUAAAAUGAAUUGUUACCCCUACUAGAAAAUGAGUGUUAUUUUAAAAGAAGUUUUUUCAAACUCAAGUACCACUGGUCUUGAGGUAUAAAAAGAACGUUAGUUUUAAAAAUGUUUGAAAUGUUAGUUUGCGACUACAAGAAAGGUCAAGAAUAUUGACAUUUGAAAUUUAAGAAAUAUAAAAAAUAUCAUUAUUCGUGACAAUAACAAGUAUACUUUAUAUGGUGACAAUUGAAAAAAAAUGGUUGUUUCUAAAAAAGAUUGGAAAAAAGGGGUAUUUUCAAAACUAUUUAGGGAAAUUGAGUUUUUUUUUUUUUUUGUCAUUUUGUUGAAUGAGUUCCACUAACUAUAAAUUAUUAUUAUUAUUAUUAUUGUUUUAUUUUUAUUAUUAUUAUCGUAACUUCAUUCUUUAAUUCCAUUUUUAAUAUGUUUAACUCUCAUUUUUAUGUUUUAAUGAUUUUUUUAACUUUAUAAUUUUUUAUAUUGUAUAGAUUCAACUUUUUAAUAUUCAAUUUUGUUACAAAAAUAUUUAAUAAUUUUCAAUUCAUACAAAUUAGAAAUGAUUUGUUAUUAAAAAAAGAAAGAUAACAUGUGGUGGAAGGAUAAAUUGAGAUAGAAUAUAAAUCAAUAACAAACACAAAUUGAGAUAAGAUAUAAAUCAAUAAUAAAUUAAUUGUGCGUGAGUGUAUAUACAUGUGAUUAAAGAAUAAAAAGUAAAAUAUUUUUAUAAUUUUAUAAAAAUAAUUUUUUAAAUAAUAAUUUUUACAUAAAUUUUGUUAUUUUGUUAUUUUAAUAUUGUAAUAAUUAUAAUAAAGAUAAUAAUAAUAAUAAUAAUAAUAAUAUGAAUUAUAUAAAUUGACGGGGCUCACUGACUUUAUUUCCCCGUUUUCCGUAAAAAAAAAGAAAAUAACAUGGGAUGCGUCUCUUGAAGAGACACAUUCUAAUAAUGCCAAAACAACCACCCCUUUUACUAAAUAGUUUUGAACACCUCUUUUUCCUAAUUUUUUUAAAAAAUCAUCCCCACUUUUUAAAUCACCCCUUUAUAUGUGAAAAACGUGAAAAUGUUUUUAUACUUGAUACGAACUUGAAGUAUCCACAGUUGGUGCUCCUCACUUGUUAAUGACACUACGAUAAGAAAACCAAUAAAGAAUUUAUAAGCACAAGUAUGGUUGUUGGUUAACAAAUAGCCUUCUCCAGAAACUGUAUUAGUCAUUAUAAAGUGAUAAUUACAACGAUUGAGAAAAACAAAUAUCAUAGAAAACCAUAGCAAGCUCCGUCGAGAUACAGUCAAAAUAGUCAUGUAUCAUAUCAAAUAACUUGUACCCCACACCAUAAGUCACAUAUCAUAACCAUACCUGAUGUGGAAUCAUCUUGAUGCAUCCAGCUUUAAAACUGUGCACGCAGACCAUGCUCCCAAAAGCCUAUAACCACCCCCCCCACACGACCCAAAGCCUCUGUGUGCACGAUGAUGGAUCCAAAACACAUAUGUCACAUUCAAAUCGUAUACUGGACCUCCUCAAACCCCCCACAUAGAGAAUCGAGAGACCAUAGCUCAUGGUACAAUUAUAAAAACCAUAAAACAUGUGUUAGGACUAUAUUUUACGUAUUUUUUAGUGUUUAACUCUUCCCAUAUCACUCUAUUUAAUCACUAAGUUCACCAUUUUAUAGAAAAUAUUCAUCUACACAUCACAACAAACUUAACACAACAAAAAUCGCUCAAAAUCGGAGCUAAAACAAACAAGAAUAGGCCAAAAGAAGUGCAAAUGACAAUUUCAUAUAAUUUCGCUAAAAUAGAGCGCUACAGCGCUCCAACUGAUGGAAAGCAUACAAGUGCAGCGAAAUUAUGGAUCAAAAACUCUAUAUGCAUAAACUACCCUAAUUAUAAUGAAUUAGGGUUAAUCGAAAACGUACCUUUGAAGCUUUCUGAAAUCCUCUAUAUCUCUUCAUGAACUCAAAUCGGGACCACCGUUAGGGUUAACCUACUCAUCUCUGGACUUAAAAUCGGGUUGGGAGAGGAAUGGAAAAUUUGAGGAGAACUUUUGGUUUGAGAUUUAAUUGGGAGAGAAAAUUAGGUUGACAUAAUUUUUGUAAUUCAUAAAAAAAAAAAAAAAUUGCCAAAAAUUUUCGCCAAAUUAAAAAAUGUCCUUUAAAUAAGCUAAUUACAUGCCAAAUUGCAUGUAAUUAGUUUCUUAACUCUCAACACCUAAUAAUCCACUAAUAGUGGGCUAGGCGUUUACAUCUUAUAUAUAUUUCUUCUUUGCUCUUUCACCUCGUUCGAAGAUUAGGGAUUUUAAGAAAGAUUGGGGUUGUUGUAGGUAACGUACUCUUUUGUAUGCUAUAUGAAAAAUUUCUUCCACCCUGGUUUCACCUUGUUCAGUUCUUUGAUAUUCACUUGUUGGUUAACAGAAUAAAGAUGUUGGUUUCGUUGAAAAUCAACAGCAGAACAUUGUUGAUACUUGAUGCCACUGAUUUGCUACCACGUCUAGCAACAAGGAUAUAUAUGAAUAUUAAGUUUAGGAGGUAGUAGUAUAGACCUAAAUCCGCACCUAGUCUUUUUAUUUACGUUUGCCUUUUUCUGAACUAAGUUUAAUGUUGUAUUUGCAGAAUGUGUGUUUUUUAGUUUGCUGGACAUUCCUCUAUAUCAUGGUUGGAAAGUUGAUUCACCUGUUCUUAUAUAUUUUCUUUCUUCUCCUUACCUAUCAUAAGUUUAAUUAACAAUACUGUAUGGUUUCUUGUGCUCUAUGUUGGUUUUGUUGUCCCUAUUCUUGAGUUGUAGGCAUGUGGCUUGCUUUUAUCAGUGUCUUUUUUAACAAAUAACGAAAAUUUUCACUAAAGAAAUGAAAAGAGCCUAAAACGUAAAAGAUACAAACUCAAAAGGAACGAAAAGAAAUUAGAAAACAAAGUUUCAAAAGGAAGUCCAAAUGGAAGCAUGGAGGCAGGCCAAUAAAAGAGUUAGAAAUCACCAAGUAUUUGAGAAUGCAAAGGCAAGGAAAUGCUUGAUAAAACCUUAUGGAUGUUACAUUUUGGCAUCUCAAGAGAGAACCCUCUACAAAUUGAAAAUGCCGAGAAAUUUGCUUUUUAGCAAUUGGGUUUCUUGAGAAUGAUAUUUUUGGUUUUAAGCUUUCUCUUCCUAACAUUCCUAUAGGCCAUAACCAUGAACUAUAUACAAUAGACAACUAGUUUUAUUUACUUUUCAAACUUUAAUGACAAAUUGUUGAUGAUGUGGUUUCAAAUCAUCCAUAUCUCCAUUGGUUUUAAAUUAUUAGUAACUAUGUUUUUAAAAUUUCAUAUGGAAAUUGAGAGAAUAAAGUUGGUGCCAUUCGACAAAGAAGCCUACCCUCAGUCGCUACGUUCUAAAAUAUCAUCACCAAAGAAAUCUUUUGCUGACAUCAUAACCAUCAUAUAUAUGGUCUAGUUCUCGAGAGGAAUACAAUUUUGGUAUUGGUUUUUUCAUAAUAAGGUUAGCUUACUUUCUGUGUGACUUUGUUUCUGGUUAGAUUUUGUUUUCUACCUUCAUUUUGAUAGAUUUUGCCACCACAAAUAGAAAAAAUAACAAGGUUAGCUAACCAUGUUUUCUAUUUACUACUUUUUUUUUUGUUUUUUUUUUUUGUAAUGUGUUAGAAUUUUUGCUUUGAGAAGAGUUUACAAAAGAAUAAAAAUAUUCAUGAAAUAUUUUAGUCCGUUAGGACUAAGAUCUAUCCUACUUUUAAUCACUUCAUAAAUUUCAUGCAAUUUAAUUUUAUUGUCAGCAAAACCAAAACCCCAUUUGUAUUACUUUUUGUACAUCGAUUUAUCAUUGAAAAAUACUAUCGUAGGCUCCGUGUGAUUCGACUUUGGGCUUAUUGCUAUUGCAAUAUUAUUGUAGUAGUUAAAAGAGAUAAUCACGUGAGAAUGACAAAUUUUGAAUAACAAACUGAAAAAUACAGUGUAUUUUACCCUUUUAUAUGGGACAAUACAUUUUUUUAUGGAUACAAUGUAUUUGCAUAUGCAAAGAAUGGGUGAAAUAUCAUACAGUCACAAAUACAGUGUAUUUGUAAAGUAUAAUAAGUGUUGAAAAAUCUUAACUAAUUUAUGAUAUUUUUGGGAUUGACAAGAUUUUUCCAAUAUUUUCUAAAUAUAUGCCUAUAAUCCACAACAUAUUUUUAGAUUUUUAGUAUUUAAAUCAAAUUAAUUAAUAUUUAUUUAUUUAAUUCAUUAGACUUAUGUUUGAAUAAUGAUUUUCCCUGGAAUUGGCUAAGAGAAUUUCAACCGUUUCGCUGAUUCAUUAUAUUUCAUAAUAUUUUGAAUUCAAAUAUUAUAUCAUAUUUCUAAAACAAUUACAAACAUAAAAUCAACAUUUUUGUAUUAUCUAUAUUUUAAAUUAUUUUUAAAAAUUAUCAAAUAAUACAUGGUACAUAUAGUUAAUAAUAAAUUUUUUAAAAGAAUUAACAUCUCCUAUAAUCGUGUUAAUGAUGAUUAUCCAUUUAUUUUGGUUGAUUUUGUUUAAAAAACUUAUUUUAUUGUGCCAAUUGUGUCGAAUUCAAAUUUUAGAUAAUACCCCUAAAAUAAUAACAAAGAUAAAUUCACUAGGUUCGAUUCUUUAUUAAAUAAUAUACAAUAUAUGUUUUUAAUAACAAUUUGAAUUUAAAUUUUAUAUUAUCCCCUAACAUCCUAAAUUUAAAUUCAAAUCUUACCUAACAUUCCUAAAAUAAUGACAACUAUAUAAAUUCUUAAUAACAAUUAAAAUUUAAAUUGUUAUAAUUUAAAAAGAUAUAUUAAAAAGUAUUUAUAAAAAAUUUAUUAAAUAAUAUAUAAUAAAAACUUGAAUUAAAAUAUUUUAUCAUCCCCUAAAACCUAAAACUUUGCUAAUUUCCAUUGCCCACUUAUUUUGGUUGAUUUUUAUUUUAAACUUAUAUUCUUGUGCCAAAAAAUUAUACUAUAUAAUUGGCGUUUUUCACAUUGGAAUCACUAGUUACGUCUAGCAUGUAGGAAACGCUUUCCUCUGAUCUGAGUUCUUUGCAGAGUGGUUGGGCGAGAUCGUUCUGGAUGUCGGCGAGGACUACUCUGGCGCCGUGUUAAAUGAACAAUAUGGUGGAGGAUUUGCCAAAUUCACUUGACGACACCAGCGAUGGAAGCGACAUUGCCGUUUAAUUUGCAAAAGGAAAUGAAAUGAUGAAACAUGGGAUUUUGAUUAUUAGUUGAUGGAGAUCAUCAUCAGGGCGCAGGGGAAGGGUAAAUUUACCAUUAGGAAGAAAUACUGGAUUGGUCCAUGGUGGUAUGAUCUGAAGCAAAUGAAGAUUGUGAUUAGGGAUAUUUGAAUUAGAUUGGAAGAGUGAAUUUUUGGGUAUUUAUAUAAACUCAACUACCAUGAAUAUGAGCUUUCAGUUUUAAAAAAUAAUAUGGGUUAACAGAAAGAGCAAGUUGACCAUGUGUACCAUUGGAAGAAACUUUAUUGUUUCAAAAAAGACAAUUAUGAGAAGGAAGUGUGAAGAAGAAGAGAGAAGCAGAGAAUGAAGAGAAGGUAUGUUUUCUAGGUUGUACUUCAAUUCAUAAAAUGUACUAUAUUUAGUAAAUUCAUAUAACCUUGCUGAACAUGAUAAUACUAAAAGUGAACCAGAUAACAAGACGAAGAUGAAGAACAAGAUGAGACAAACGUGAAUGAAGAAUAUAGUUCAGGGACGAAAGAAACAAGUGAAACAAAUGAAGAAUCAAUAGAGAAUAUAAAGAGAGAAAAUGAUACGCCAAAGGGAAAGAAGGUAACGGUUUGUAGCAUCGGAUAAAUGUAAAAGUUAUAUGGAAUUUUGCUGCCAAUUUCCUUAAGAAAGAAAGGGCAAAAGAGGAUAGAAAACGGAAAUGGAAAGCACCAAUGACAAAAGAAAAAGGUGAGGUAUGUGUGAUAUAGUACUUAGUAUAUAUGAAUUAUGUAUACCUAAAAUACAAAGUAUGUGGUUGUUGUUUCAUAUAAAAUAUAUUGUAUUUUGUGUAAUUAUAUUGUAUUUGUGAAUAUUUGUUAUCUAUGAUCCCAUCCAUUCUGUAAUAUAUUGUAUCUAAUUGAUGUAAGUUACGUAUUUGUGUAUUAUGUUUGGAGUGUAAUGGGUUAUGGAGUCGGAUACUUGAAACUGUAGCUAACUUAUAGAUUUUGUUCGAUUGUUUUGUUGUUUGGUUUAACUGACUUAUAGUUUUACAUUGCUUUGUACUUCAAAUUAUUUGUGAAUAUCUAUUGUCUAUGACUCCAUGUGUUCUGAAAUGUGUUGAAUCUGAUUGUGGUGAAUUAUAGUGUAUUUGGGGACGAAACUUGAAACUCCAAAUGUUUCUGCAACUGAUAAAAGGUUUGAAGGGGACGAAAGAUUUCAAGAAUUUUUUUAGAUGGAAUCUACGGAAGCAGAAGUUAGGAAAUCUACAAUUUGUUUGGCUUUGAAGAGUUUCAAGGGUUUCAAGAAUGUUGUUCGGUGACCCUCUUUCCCUCAACCUUUGAAUACUUUAAGUGCUUGAGAAAGGUUUGAAAGAUGUGAAGAGAUUGAUAAUGUUUGAAUCCUUGGACAUUUGAAUGUGCCUGAACGCCCACAAUUUGAAGAAGAUAUGAAUUGUGUGUGGGGAGUUUGAUUUAAUUAUAGAGUAUUUGUGAUUUAUUAAAUAAUUGUAUUUAGGAUUCUAGUUUUUAACUUAGGUAUGCGCAGUUAAGACAUUGAUCCAGCAAUUUUUAUUCCAUAUUUUUUUAUUUUAUCAAUUUAAAUAAAAAUUUGUCAUUUAUCCAAAGUAAACAUUUUAUUUUGUUAUUCUUCUAUCAGUCCUAAUUAAUUUUUAUUGAGUUCGAUGAAUUAAAAAUUUUAUUUUAUUUGAAGAAAGUUUGUGGGCGACUACAAAUUUUUCUGAGUCAUUUUUGUACAAAUGUUUUGUUUUUAUUGAAGAUAUUUAAAAACAAUAUGGUCACGACAUAUUUAUAGUUGGUAUCAGUUUGUAAUUAAUUUGGAACCCUAAUACUAGGGUUGAUACAAAGUCGUAAAUUUUGAAAUUUGUCGUAGGAAAGGUAAUCCAUGAAAAUUGUUAUUUGUUGGAAGAAUUUUAGUUCAUUGAACCUUGUAUUCAAGACAUCAAAUUGUUGUAACACAGUUAAGGAUUAGGAAAGAUGUGUGAUAUUAUUUAGAAGUUUAAAGACUAAGUACAUUACAUAAAAUUGGAAAGAUGUGAGCAUGCUGAUCAAUUCUUUUGACCUCCACAAUCAAAGAAACAAUAACAAGCAUAGAUGGUUUGAGAAGGAUUAGUUGGAAUGCAUUGAUGUGAAAUAGUAUGAUGCUUUUCCCAACAUUUCUUUCCACAGUCAUUGAGAUUGCACCCAGUGUUAUACAAAACGUCUUGACAUCUUUGAGCAGCUGAGACGUCUUGAGACGCCAACAACAAUGCAACUAUAUAAAAAAACAUAAAAAGAUAAGUAUACAGCAAGGCAAAUUAGCAAUCCAAUAUGUACUAUAAUGGUUAUUUACUUUUGUAACACAUGAUAAUACAAUAAUUGUGGAGGAAAUUAAAGAAAAAGAACCUGCAAAAAUAAGAGCAAAACAUAUGAUACGGGAAGAAUCCAUAUUCUUAAGAUAUUCAAAUUUCCAAACUAUUGUUUUGUUAAGAAUUAGAGUGAUAGAAAUUCUAUGAUUUUCAAUGGUUUAAAUACACAAAGUUACAUUAAAUCUCUUAGAACUCAAGAACACGGAUGUUACAACCUAUAGAACAGAUCCUGUUCAAGUAAGGCCGUAAAAGUUGCAUUAAAUCCCAUCCAUGCAUUAAUCUGUUUCAUUUAUGUAAAAAUAGUGAACAUUUCUAUGAACUAAACAAAACACCAUGCAUGAAUUUGUUUUCAUUUAGGAAAAAUAGUAAUGAUUUUAACAACUUUCAUACAUUAUGUGAAUUAAAUGUCAACAGUUUCGUUUGUAAAGUUUUACUAUUUUAAAAUAUUGGUUGAUUUUUUAAACUCAGUUUUACAUGUGUAUUUGUAUGUAUUUUGGCUAAAAUAAUAUGAAACUUCUAAUUUUAUGAUGUUCCGUUCUAAAUUUUCAAGUACAAACCCGCAUUUUCCAACAUUUUAAAGAGAAAAUGUCUAACACUCCUAAAAAAAAUAGAAAUUUGAUGGACACUUCUAAACUUUUUUAUGUUAGUUAUUAUAUGAUUUCCAUAAUAUCAAGUGUGGUUAAUAUUUACUUGACAUAUUAAAAAUAUCAAAAGGAAUAUUCACUUUUAAUUGAUAUUUUUUAAGGGGCGUUUACAAAAUAACAAAAAAUUUAUGAUAAUAGACUCCAUGUCACUACAUUUUCUAAAUUGCAAAUAUAUAUAGUAAAUUUAAAAACUGACAACUCUCUGAUAGCCCUAUGAUAACACUCUGAUUGUCGUCUGAUAACUCUCUGAUAGCUCUCUGAUUGUCGUCUGUUACGAACAUUCAUGAAAGACUAACUUACUAUUAUUGGUCUAUAUCCAUGGACACAUAAAUAUAUCUACCGUGGCUAUAAGUUUUUAGUGGAGUGUACACAUAGUCAACGAAUAUUGAUUAAUGUGGUUAAUGAGUUUAACCAAUUAAUCUCACAUCAUUGUAGCUUGUGAUCUCUAGGUCCAUUAGGUCCUUUUCCUAAUUCGUUCAAAUAUUAAUUUAAUGUGAAUUGGAUUCAUAUUAAAAUGAUUGGUCAUGAGAGAAACUUACAUUUGACUAUGAUUUAAAUUUAAUUUAAGUUCAAUAUAAGAUAUUUAAUUUAGAUAUUAAUUAAUUAGAGAACUAAUUAAUAGUUUAGUUUAAUUUAAUUUAAUUCGAUUUAAUUAAAUUAAUUUAAAACUAUAACAUAUAUGAGAGAUAUUCAUUAAAUAUGCAUUAAAUGAAAUAUUAAUUAAAUAUGAUUUAAUUAAUUAUUGGUUGAUUCAUUAAUUAAUUAGUUGAUUUGAGAUUUCUACUAAUUUAAUAUUUGUUAAAUUAAUAAAAUUUUAUGAUUCUCUUUUGCUCCCUCAAGGAAAGGAAGUUAUAAAUAUGCAAAAGAAAAAAAAGUUUGUCUUAAUCAAUUAAGCCAAUGUUUUUGCUGUCUGCAAAAAUAAUUUAUCUUUAAAUUUUUUUUCAUCCCAGUUGGUUCUCUACAAAUCAAUCUCAUCUCAAGUGAUAGGAAGGUCUCCAACGGGUGGUGUUCCAAUUUGGAGUUUUAGUAGAUUCAGAGGUGACAAACUAAGUAAGAUCUUCUUUCUCAAAUCUAUAAUUAGAAAGAAUGCUUAGGCUUUAAGUUAUAAUAAAAAAAUUAGUUUCUAUAUUAUUUUGUCAAUGUGUUGGUAUUUUGAGAUCCCCAAAUUAAAUUGAAGAAUGAGUUUGUAAAAUCUUCCGCUGUCUAAGGCUUUUAUCUCUUCAGAGUGAAGCUCAGCGAAUAGAACAUGGUACACGAGGAGAUUCAACCAACCUCUUCAACGCGAGAAAGCAGAUUUUAGACAUUCAAGCCACUAGCAAACACAAGAGGUUGGCGAAAAUUUCAGAAAAGGACAAUUGGUCCAGGGCAUAGCUACAACUUUUUAGAAGCCUUAAUGAUGCAUGCCAAAAUGUCAGAGCCACUUCAUGUAUAUAAACAGAGUUUUCCUCUUAAGAAGAGUGAGCAACCAUUAGCCGGAAGAGCAAGUUCCCCAACUCAUCCAUCCAUUUCUUUUACCUUGACUUUUAGGUGAGAGCUUGAUGCUGGAGAGAGAGAUAUCCUUCAAUCUCAUUGUUUCCCCUCAUCUAUAGGCAAAAAGCAGAGCUAAGGUGCACGAGAAAUCAAACUCUGCAGUGUAACACAUCUGUUGUAGUUCCAUUUUAUCAUUUUUAUUUUGUGUUGUUUUGUAAAAAAAACUUCGUGGUUGAAAGACAUACAAUAUCAGUUAUGAAAGCAAUGUAUUUCUUGUUCCAUUCUCCUAUUUUCUUACCUCUUCUAUAUACUUGUAAUUGAUUGGCUAAAUAACAAUGAACAAAGUAGCCAAUACCACAAAAGUUAUAAUGAAUGUCGUAAGAGUUUUGUUUAGUUAAACGUAAGUAUCUUAGCCUUGCUCAUUCGAGAGAAGAGCAAAGGUAGAGACUAUAUUCAUAAAGAAGGUAAAAAUCGUAUUUAACUAAGCAUGUGGCAAGAAGAAUGCAACAAUGCAUUCUUGUUGUCAAACUCAUCCUGAUCUACAUACAUUACUUAGAGGUUAACGUGUGUGGCAGAAGCACUUAAAGGUGUGUUGUAAUUGAGGAUUAGUUAUUGUUACUUCAAUCUAAAUGAUUAGAUAACUGCAUCACUUAACUUGUGUAUUUGUAUCUCGAAAGGAGAGCAAGUAUGACUUUGCACUGAAGAGUUGCUCGCCUUAAUUCUUAGUUAAGAGAUGUUUGUAUUGCCUCAAGGUAUUAAGUCAUCGAUUGUAGCAUUUGGUAGUUCAAUUUUUCUUCCCCUGUUUAUAUUGAGUUCUUAUUUCAUCAUGUCAUAAUGUCAUGUUCACCUUGCGCCACCAAGCAUAGUAGUGUAAAUAGUUGAAGUAGCUAAUAUACUGUUCAUAUGAUUUAGUACACAAUUAGAUAAAUUAGGAGCUUAUAUUCCCUGAGUUCGACCCUGAACUACUCAGGAAAUCUCUCAUUGCUUCUACUGGGUUGAUAGAGAGGAAAGCUUGCGCGAUAGAGUUUAAAUGAUCAUUAGCAACGUAAGAAUAGGAAUGCAUCUUUCAUCGCAUGACCCUACUUCACCGCCCAUUAUAGUUGACAAAUUUAGAGCCUUUCAUGUUAACCUACGAUUGUGAAACUUGAGAGAAUUUAAUGCAUGAUUUAAAAUAAACAGUACCCCUUGCCGAGCCCUUUUGUACCAGUUGAUACGUGAGCCAACAUCUCUGUCACCGAGUCAGUUCUCCUAGACUUGUGUCAUUUUUUCCAUAUCUAAGUCGAGCCACUGUUUUUCCAAGCCAUUUGCUUUUGAGGCAUCUUUGAGACUUUUCUUUGAUGAGUUUUGAUUGAGUUUUAGGUAUGCCCAUCAGAUAUUGACUUUUGGUUAAAGUAGAUUUAUUUUUUUGAUUAAGUUCAAUUAUCUUAAAGUUUGAUUAUUUUUCCUUAGGUUCAUUUGGCUAAUUUUAGUUGGAGGUUUUGAGUUGUAAAUUUUUACCAGUCACGGUUGAAUUGGUUUCAACCUUUUUGUUGGUAUUCGAAACUCUAAAUAAAUAUUUGGUUGACAAAAUUAAUGAUUUAAUUUUGUCUAUGUUUAGGAUUGGGUUAUUGAAUUUUGACUGUCAGCCAAGAUUUGCUAAUCUCAAGGUAAGAGAUUCUACUACUGGACCGUCGAACAUAAAAUUAAAAGCUUCCAUGUAUUUUUCAUUAUGCAUUGAUGUAGCUAAGAUGCAUAAUGUGUUGAUGUUGAUGAAUGAUGUUGAUAACUGAUAUUGAUGACUGAUAUGGAUGAAUGAUAUGUUAUGGUGCAUGAUAUAUUAAUCACAUGAUAAGGAUGUUAUGAUUGAUAUUCAUGCCAUGUAAUGAUAUUUAUGAUAUACUACAUGCUAUGGACUGGUGUUCUGUUAACUUUGUCUAUUAGGAUUUUACUCAUGUGGAUGUCCUUUGGGAUCAUCACCUUCCACAAAUUUAUGAUUGUAUAAGUUCAACGGGACCACAAGUGCAUCAUGAUAUGUUUUAUGAGUAGUCCGACGAAGUCACUUAUAGCUCGAUUCUCUUAGGUGUUCCUUCGGGUUCACUGAUAGACCAGAUGUACAUCAUUAGAUUAUGUGUGUUCAGGAGCACGAUAUUUUUUGGGUACUUCCUUACGAAACUAUAAUCGGAAGUUAACAGACACCUAGCGAGACCAGUAAUAAAUAUAAAAAAAUAAAAACCAUACUUGACAUUUUAGAUGUUCCAUUAAAAAAAAUGUUUUAUCAAACACAAAAUUGAACGACCCAGGGAGAAUUACUAAAACAAAUACAUUACUGGACAACUAAAUUUACUUGUAGUAAAACAACAAAAUUUACUUGUAAUGACCACUAACAGGGUUAGCUGCAGCUAAAAUAAAAGUGUGAGCUGAUAGACUUUCUAUCAGUUCAGCUUUUGCAAUUGAUACACAUUGUUGUUCCAUGGGUUAAUUGAUCCAGUAGGGCCUGCAAUAAUCUAAUGUAAGAAAAUGUGCCAUGAAAAAGGAAACUAAGAAUUGAAGAGAGAAAUUCAGGUUUCAGUUCAAAACACCUGAUAUUCUGUAGACAUUUUAUCGAACUCAUCUGUACAGCAUAAUCCACCAUCUGCAAGUACCAUAGCCCUUGUGGAAAGUAUAAAUUAUCUGAUCACUCAAGGGUAAAACAAUAUAUUUAUUAUAAUGCAUUAGCAAAAUAGAAGCAUUUAAGCACCGUUAUUUUAAACAUUACACCAAUCCACAAAUUCUUUUUCUUUCACAAAAAGACAAUACAUGAUUUAAGUAAAAGGAGCAACUAGAUCGUAAAUAAAUAUUAUUUCCCGUUUCUUCAUUCUUGAGCAUAAAAAUUUAUGGCACUUUUUUCAAAACAAAGGCAAAGACACCAGUGGACCAAAGUAUUUUCUCCCAAACUUUAAUGGGCCUUAGAUGAGUAGAAGAAAAAAAAACCAAAGGAACUAACUGAAGAAUAUAAAAUACUACAAAUUUUCACAACCCUCCCCCCCACCCACACACAAUUUUUAAAAAAGAAUAAAAAUAAAAAACUUAAAUGAAGAAGGCAAUAUAUUAUGACCUGUGGUUUGGUAUAGAGGGUAGUGGAGAGAGUGGUCACGUUGGAGAUCUUGUGGAGUUUUGCGGGAUCGUAGUAGUCCAAGAUGAUGUACAGACUGAGGAGAUUUUUUAUAACGGAGAGAGGAUGUUUGUCAAGGAUGGGAGAGAGAGCGUCAUUGGCAACAACAAGGACAAUGAUAGUCUGACGGCUGUUUAUCUCGUUGGCAAGUCUGGUUUGUUGGAGAUAUAUAAUUAUUGAAAAUGUUGUACUGAGGGAAGUCUUUUAGCAUGUCGAUAAUAUUGUGGACGAAGACGAUGGCAGCAAUGGUGGUGAAGGCAAGGAAGAGGAGAAGAGAUUUGGAAGCUACCAUGGAAAAUAGAGAAAGAGAAGAGAGAAAGGAUGGGUUUGGGAGAAGAGGGAAAUCAGGGGAGGGGUCUGUGAGAGAAGAGGAAAAUCGGUGGAAGUCUGAAAAAAUAAAAAAGGAACAUUUGGGGCAGUAAGCAUAACGCCCAAAACCUAAAAAAAUCAUUUUUUUAAUUUUCUUUUUCUGCUUUUUUUCUUUUAUUUUUUAUAGCAUAAUACUAAAUAUGCUAUAGUUGGAUGCUAUUAAAAGGCAUAUUUGUUGUAGUGUUUUGAUAUUUAUCCUUUUCAUUACUAGCUUAGUUUAAUAGUUCAGUUUGUUACAAAAAUACACUGCAUGCAUAUCAUAAAAAGGCAAUCAUAACUAUGACUAAAUAUAACCCAACUUGAUUUUUGUUUUUGCUUGACUCUUUUGGUUAUGUUUAUUUUGAAAUCUAUUAAACCUUUUUUGAAGUUGCUUAACUAGAACUUUCGUAAACCUCAUUAGAUUAACAUGACUUAUCAUAUUUUGUGAAUGAUUUGUAAUGUUUCUUAUUUGACCAUUCAUGUUAAUGCAACUAUAAUUAUUGUUGUUAAAUAUUGAAAUUUUUUGUUCUUACAUUAUUGUCAUGAAAAUCAAUAGAGUCAAGAAAUUGAAUUAAAGGUAUAACAUAUGAAGAAAAAAUAUCAAUUAAAAGUUUGAAAAAAAAAAACUAAACUGAUUAACUAAACCUAGAAUUCAAAACCAGCACCUCAAACACAAACAUAAAAAAUCCAAAUUUUCAAAUCCUACACCCCAAACAAAGGCAUUGGUAGCUUCUAGACAUCGAAAUCCCAUCAAAUAAGCUCAUAGGUAUUUAGUUCCACGCAUUUGAUUACGUGCGUGUGUGCCAAACGUGCUAUAGGUGUUGCUAUAGGUGUUGGAUGAAAUGCUUGUAAGAAAUAUUAUUAUGACUUAUUUCGAGUUUUGUAAACAAACAUUUCUUUAAUCCAUAUUGGGUAGCGUGUUGAUCUUAGAAGUUCAAAGCUAUCGAAUCUCAUGUAUACACUUAUGGUCUUUGAAUUAUAAUUUGAAUCUCAAUUUUAAUUAUCUAAUUGUUGUUUCAAAAACUUUCUUUCUUAGUUAUUCUAAUUUUUGUUUUCUAAGAAAUCAACUAUUUGAGGUUUUGAUUCUUUAUUCUUGGUGAGAACUCAAAUCUCAAAACUCAAAACUCAAUUCUAUUCUCCACUUGACACAAAACAUCAUUAAAUACACUAUUUUUAGCACAGAUUUUCCUUUAAAAUCCUAGCCUAAAUUUGGCAAUUAAAAGACCAAAUAUACAUAGCUUCAAAACAACAUGACACAUACAAGGAAAAGACCAAACCCUUUAGUAGACAGACAACUGCGAACCAGGCUUCAAGAACAUGACCUCUAUUUGAAAAGUGGAAAACAGUUUUAAAAGUAUGAGUUAAACAUGCCUAGUGAAUGAAAGGUUUUAAAACAACAUUUCAUAAACAUUUAAAAACUAAUCAUAAAACGAUUUCAUAAAUACGUUAGCUUGGCAAACAUUUUAAAAAUUGGUACACAAGUACCGGUUUUUCCUCGUUAUAUUAAAAGAGGCUAUGUAGGGAGCAUUUUUACAUGCUCCUUUUACCCCUACAUUUUUCACAAAUUUCUGUAUUACCUUUCGUCGAGUGAAAUUCUAGGUAACUUAGUGCAUUUGAUGAUAAUGGGAUGUGACUCAUCAAGAUAGGUUGAAUCUAUUUUAGGUGGAGGUGUGUUAUAUUAGUACAUUGAUUGUUUCAAUGUAUAUGGGAGAUCAAUGUAUAAAUUUAUAAAAGAAAAACAAAAUAAAUAUAUGCACUUAUUUUUUAAAAAAAUAAUUUAAUUAAUAAGAUUCAAAAUUUAGAGCAAACAUUAAAAAGGAAAAAAAAUAAUUAAUGAAAGUAAUAAUUAAUACGCUAAACCCUUCAUUUCGAGUUUAGAAAAAUUAGAAUAAAAAUGAUUGCAUUAUAUAUAUUACAAUACUAGAAUAUUAACAUAUUAAUUCAAUAAUUUAAUUGUUAUAACAUUUUCUCUCUCGUUAAAUUAGAAAGAAGAUUUUUUUUUCCAAAGAGGAUAAUAUGAAAACUAAAAUAAAAAAUAUUACAUUAUCAAACCUCUAAUUCUUAUUAUAUAUUCAGAAACUACCAUUACAAAGGAACUAAUGGAAACUACAAGAUUACAUGUGCAUCGCACGUGUUGCUUGACUAGUACCUUUAAAUGCUUAGGAACGAAAAACAAUCACUCCACAAACCAACAUGCAUUCUUUCAACAUACUUUAUCAUCAUUCUCACAUAUCCUAGAAAAAUUUUCAUGCUGAGGUGACUCAACAUAGAAUUACUUCAAGCUAAGUACGCUUAACUUUGGAGUUUCUAUGAUCGAGCCACCGAAAAAAAAAGGUGCACCUUGUUAGUAUAAGUAGGAACUUUUAAUUCUUUUUAACCUUACUUUCAUGUUCUUAGGAUCCCUCACAUUCAUAUGUAAUACUGUUUCAUUCAUGUCUCCCUCUUAAACUCGAAGCCUUACGAAUAGAACAUAUUUAUAUCUGUUUAAAUUUUAAAUAUGUCUAAUUAUAAGUCUCUAAAGAAAAUUUAAAAAUUAAUUAAACUAAGGAUAUUUUUAAAUAUUGUAAAAUAAACAAAUUUAAAAAUUAAUUAAACUUAAGAUAUUGUCAAAUAUAGUAAAAUAAACUACAAUAUUUACAAAAUAGAAAAGUUUGGAUUCUAUCAAUUAUAGACACCGAUAAUCUUAUACUUUUGUCAAUUAAUGUCACUGAUUAAACAUUUCAGUGUCGGUCAUUGAUAGAAUUUAAAAUUUUGGUAUAUUUUAUAAAUAUUUUGUCAAAUUUAUCAUUUUUAUCAAAUCUCUAUUAAGGUAUUAACUUUAAAUUUAAAUUUUAUGUGGAAUAUGAAACUUUAACCCAUCAACUUUAUGUUAAAUAAAUUUAUAAAUUUUGAAAAAAAUAUAUCAACGUUGAUUGCUUAAAUUUAUAAUUUUUAAAAUUUUAGAGAUCAAAUUGAUACAAAAUUCAAUUUUCAUAAACCAAGUCGAUAAUUUUAACAUAAAAAAUACAUGAAUGAAAUUAGGGGUGAAAUCGGGUUGUGGGAGAUUCUCAACCCAACCCAUAUAUUCGGAUUAUUUGGGUUGACAACCUAAAUAACCCAAAUUUAGUUUCUAACCCAACCCAACCCAAUCUGUAAAAUAUGGGUUGGGUUGGGUUGGAUUGAGUUGUCGGGUUGUAUAUAUAAAUAUAUUUUUUUAAAAAAAUUUAUGUUUUCUAGUUUCUAAUAGUUAUAAAAGUAUGAAAUUGUUACAUUUAAAUUUCAAACAUACAUAAUUCAAACUUUCAUACAAUAAAUUCAAAAUUUGUAUAACUCUAAUUUGUUUUUUAUUAAAAUAAUAUAUUUAUUUAUUUAUAUACCAUAUUAAUUCGGGUUGGAUUGAACCAAAUUUUUCAACCCUCCAAUCUGAGAUCUAACCCAACCCAACCCGAAAAAAUAAAAAAAAAUUAACAUAACCCAACCCAACCUAUAUUUUAGCUUAACACAAUCCAACCCUUAUAAUAUGAGUUGGAUAGUUCGAAUUAUUUGGGUUCAACCCAUAUUUGUACACCUCUAAUGAAACUCAAAAUUACAUAUAAGGAAAGUUGGCGAGCACAUACGAACAAUAAUAAUUUCUGUAAAUUAAAUUUGGAAAGUUUUGUGUAUAUUGAAUUGAAAUGGAAAUUUUUGUUAAGGAAAGAAAACUUUAUGAAGAAGAUUUUGGUACAUUAUUUAACUACUUCAUAUGGAAAUUAGACAGAGAAGAAAGUGUGAGAGAUAUGAAUGGGAAUUUCCAUUUGAACUUGGAAAUACUUUUCACAAAUUGAAUAUGUGAACAAUUUUUUUCCUAAUUUUUUUUUUAAAAUAAUUACAUUUAUAAACAUUAAACACUACUUUUAUUCCAUUUUGAGAACUAAUUAAAAUUAUAGGUCACACUUGAUUUCGAUUUCGAAAUUUAUGAUGGUUUCUUCUAAAUUUUCUCAUUAUAAUUUUCACCUUUGUAAAAUAAAUCGUGCUUAAGGUUUCUAGUUAAUUUUUGAAAACAAAAACACGUUUUUCAAACCUUUUUUUUUUUACCUUCAAAACGUGAAUUGAUUCCUUGAAAUAUUAUAGGUAGAAAAUGUAAGUCAAAACAAUGAAAAUUUAUAGAAGGAAAAGUAAUAUUUAUAAACUUAAUUUCAAAAAAAAAAAAAGAAAAAAAAAGUCCCGUACCUUUUCAAUUAAAUAAAAAUAAAAACCAUAAUUGCUACCUUGGGCGUAAAACAUGUAAAAAUAUGAACAGCAAACCAAUAAAAGUAUCGUUAUCAAAUGAACUUAUAUGCUUGCAUGCAAUAAUGUACAUAAUUUUGUUAUCAAUUUAAUCACCUAGAAAUUCGAAUAAUGGACUAAUGGGAUUUGUGAAUAUUCAAAAUGAUGUGAAGUUAUUUGACGUCUUAAUAAACCUCCUUUUAACUUAAAUGGUUAUGCCAUAAACUAUCUUCCAGUUUGCAAUAGUUCAAUUAUGUUCUACUUUCCAGUAGUUGAACUCAGAAAUUAAUAAUUACAACAACUUGGUUCUAGUAUAAUCAAAUUGAAUUUCUUUGAUUUAUAGAAUAGUAAUAGUAUUAUCAUAUAUUUGUAAAAUAUUAAAAGAGAAAUAUAUAUAUAUAUAUAUCCUUAAGGCAUCCCUGGAUUAUAACAAUUAUUGAUACAUAAUAAUAUUAGAUAAAGAAAAUUUCUUUUGCCAUGCAUAAUUCCCUUCCUCUCUCAAUUGUUUUCCAUUUUUUGUUCGAUUAUCGUUGUUGACCGUGAAGCUAUUGAGAUGGAGGCGGGGGAGGAGAGUAAGAUGUCCUUGGGUUGAGUCCUGAUGGUGGAAUAGGUACGCGUCUUUGAUACAUUCCAAAACCAAAGGUGUUGUGAUGGAAGAAAUUUGAUGGAGGGGGUGGAGAAGAAUCUGAUGUCCUUUGACUUGGGCCAGAUGGUGGAAUAGGUAUCCCUUUUGGAUACAUUCCAAAAUCAAACUUCUUUUGUAAGAUAUUGAAGGGAGGAGGUGGAGAAGAGUCUGAUGUUCUUUGACUUGGCCCAGAUGGUGGAAUAAUGCCUUUUGAAUACACUUUGAAAAUGGAAUUUGAUGGUGGUGGAGGAGUGGGAUCGGACGUAGUCGGAUUCGAUCCAGUUGGAGGAAUAGGUCUAGCAUGUGUUUGGACAGCAAUAAGAUGAAACCCUAGGAGAACAAGGAACGAAGCUCCUAAAAUCAUUAUCGAACUUAUUGAUGCCAUUUUCUUGUGUUUUACUAUGUUCUAAUGCUUCCCUUUAUAUACCAAUCAUUUUUCUCCAAUUUAGUAUUUUUCUCAAUUUAUUGACCAUCAAUUUGUGAGAUUAUUUGUUUCCAUAUUUUGUUACUAACCCUUUAUGGUAGAAUCCAACCCCAUUUCUUUCCCUCCAACUCAACCAUGGUGACUAUGAAGUUGGAAUAUCAAAUUUUAGAAAGUUAUUAACUAUUUAACCAAUUUAGAUUUUAUUUAUGCUAACAACAAAAAUAGCAAAUUUUAAAGGUUGAUUUCAAAAAUAGCAAAAAAGUUUUUCAAUUAGUUAAAUAGAAAGUACUCGUAAUAUAAAAACACGAAUAUCCACGCACGGAUCUUUUCAAAUAAAAUAAAAAAUUGCAAAUUAUUUAUAUAAUCACAAAAUAUCACUCAAUUCCAAAAAUAAUUACACACAAUUUUGAGUAAAUAUUUAACGUUUUUUCAAAAAUAUAAAAAAGCAGCAGAAUAUUUACACUGUGUAGAACAACUUCGAAAAUGAAAAAAGUUCACAGGCACACAAUGAAAAAUAUCAAAAAUGCCCCAGUCAACAACAUGGAUAAAAUAUUUCGCACACGAUCGUUUAGAUUUCGCUAUUGUUUGGUACACAAUCAUUUAGAUUUGGCUGACCCAAAUCUAAACAAUUUUUUUUCAACAUUUUUUGGUACACGAUCGUUUAGAUUUGGCUACAUGAUCGUUUGGAUUUGGUUACACGAUCGUUUGAUUUGGCUAAACGAUUUUUUUCAAGAUUCUUUGGUACACAAUCGUCACUACAAGAAUCAUACGUCGGGAUAGAUGACGUCGUAGGAGAAGGGUUAUGCUGACGCGAUGGUAACGACAUCGACAAUAGAGAAAAUAACGACGCAGCACCAAUCAAUAUUAAAAAAUAUUAUUCUAACUUCUAACAACACCAUGCAAGCCCGUGUCGAUGUUUCCCCUCUAACGGCGACAUCCAUGGUCGAAAUGCAUCGGCAAACCUGUAAUAUAUUAUUAAAAUUUAGAAGCUAUGGCGACGCCUGAUAACUUGUAGAAAUACAAGUUAUUGCGGCCUCUUAAGUAAAAUAAUGAGAUUCAUCGUAUAAAAAGAGAAGAAUGCAUAAAGAAAACGUAGACAAUUUAAUUAAUAUGCGAAAGGUUUACCGCAAAAGAAUUUCAUCUCUGUUUUAUGAUGUUUCAACAAUUUUAUUGCAGGAUUUUCGACGAAGAAGAGCGAGGCUCGGCAAGCAAGAACAAUUGUACGCGAAGUAAUCCUACCAACCUCUUCAGCGCAAGGAAGCAAAUGUUAGGCGAUCAAGUCGCUAGCAAACAAAUGAGGUUGGCAAGAAUGUCAGAAAAGGACAAUUCAUAAAGGCUGUGCAGCAGAGCAACAACUUUUCAGAAGUCCUACUGUUGCGCGCCGGUAUGUCAGUGCCACAAACAGAGUGUCCCUUCUCAGAAGAGUGUGCACAAAUUGGCCGAAAAAGCAAGUUUCUUACAAUCCUCAUCUUCUCUCCAUCAUCUUAAGUCUAGGUGAGAGCCUAAGGCAUAAAGAGAAGGAGAGAUCCACAAAUUCCAUUACUCCCCCUUCCAUCUAAGCAUAAUUCAAGCUUGUGGUGUUAAUUCCUUACAACUUGCCACCUUGGAAAUGCAUGAAAGAGUCCAACUUCUUCAUGUCAUUUCUAAUACCCGUUCCAAGGUCUCUUGGUAGGAAAAUUGAUGUUUAUCUUCGACCAUUGAUUGAGGAAUUGAAAGAGUUAUAGAGUCUUGGUGUUCGUACGUAUGAUUCUCUUACCUCUCAUUUUUUUCAAUUGUAUGCAGCUUUUCUGUGGACGAUUAAUCACUUUUUGACGUAUGGUGACCUAUCUGAAGGGAGUACGAAAAGGUAUUAGGCAUGUUCUAUAUGCAUGGGAGAUAAAUUGUCAUUUGGAAUAAGAGGAAAGAUAGCUUACAUAGGACACCCACGUUAUCUUCCAUAUAAUCAUGUUUGGCGUAGAAGUAAGCUAUAUGAUGGAAGUGUAGAGUGUAGGUCUACUCAAGUUGUACCGAAUGGACAUGAUAUCUUGGAACAACUUAAUUUCCUAAAGUUUCUAGUGAUGAGUAAACAUCCAUCACUGAACGAUAAAAAAAAAAAAAAAAAAAAAAAAAGAGAGAGCUCUGAAUUCGACGAAGAAAAGUAUCUUUUUCAAACUCCCUAACUGACCAAGUCUGCUAUUACAUCAUAAGUUAGAUGUAAUGCAUAUUGAAAAGAAUGUUUAUGACAACUUGGUCGGUACACUGUUGAAUAUAGAAGAGAAAAUGAAGGAUACUACGAAUACUAGGUUGGACCUUCUGGAUUUGAAAAUCAAAAAAGAUUUAAUACCUGGUGGAAGUCAGUAACAGAUUGAUGAAACCAUAUGCAAGUUACACGUUUACUCGCAGCGAACGAGUUGCAUUUUAUAAGUACCUAAAAUCAAUUAAGUUUUCUGAUGGAUUUGUUUCUAAUAUUUCACGAUGUGUGAAUGACAAAGGUUGGAAGAUAUCAUGUCUUAAGACCCAUGACUGUCAUAUUUUGCUUCAUCGACUUCUACCUAUCGGUGUUCGAGCAUACUUAUCAAAGAAUGUGUACAACACUAUUAUGAAAUUGUGUAGUUUCUUUCGCAACAUGUGUGCAAGGACGAUAAGAAUAAGUGAUUUGGAUUGAUUGCAAGCAGAUAUCAUUAUCAUACUUUGCAAGUUGAAAAGAAUAUUUUCACCGGCAUUUUUCAGUGUAAUGGUAGACCUUGCUGUUCACUUACCAUAUGAAACAAAAGUCACUGCUCUGGUGCAUUAUAGUUAGAUGUAUCCCAUUGAGAGAAGUCUAUACACGCUGAAGUAGUAUGUCUGAAACAAAGCACGUACUGAGAGGUCUAUUGCUGAAGCAUAUGUGAUGAAUGAAUCAAGUACUUUUUGUUUGAGAUAUCUAAGUGGGAUUGAAACUCAAUUUUCUCGAGAUGAAUGAAAUGUAGCAUUCCUAAAGACGAGGUAGUUCAUCAGUUUGAAGUGUUCAUGUAAAAGGUAUGACCAUUAGGCGCGAGAAGUCCAUGAUCGUUAUCACAGAAAAGAGAAAUGCUAGAUACAUUGGUACAUCUUGAACAAUAAUGUAGAUGAAAUCACACAAUACUACAAGUAUAUCCUUUAUUUUUUGUUAGUUAAGUCAUAGUCAUCACAAAUACUCAUAACUAUGAACUUUAGAAAACAUUUGAGGUUGAUACAUCCUGAGGUAAACAACAAAGUCGAUUUCGAUUUCUUGAAAAGACAUCAACGAUCAUUUCCUGAUCAUUGUUGGCUCCAAAGUUAUGUUACACUGAUCAUUCUGCAAUCAGAUAUUUAAUGGAAAAAAAGGAUACCAAGUCACGAGUGAUCAUAUGAGUGUUAUUGCUUAAAGAGUUUGAUUUGGAGAUUAUAAACUGCAAGGGUAUCAAGAACCAAGUGGCGAAUCACUUAUCGCGUCUUAGUAACAAAAAGUUUCAAUCCGAGAAGAGAGAAAUUGAAUAUGGAUUUUCAUAUGAGCAACUCUUUCGAAUUGAAGUAAAAGAGCUCUAAUAUGAUAGUUGCAUCUGUAGACGCGAAUUCCAAGCAUUUUUGGGCUAUGAUUCUAGCAUAUCACUUAUCACGUCUUACCAACAAAAAGUUUCAAUGCGAGAAGAGAGAAAUUGAAGAUGGAUUUCCAGAUGAGCAACUAUUUUGCGUUGAAGUAAAAGAGCCCUGGUAUGAAAGCCUUGUUCGUAGUCACGAAUUCCAAGUUAUUGUAGCCUUUUAUGUAAAAUAAUGAAAUCUAAUCCUAUGAAGAUAGAAGAAAACAAAGGAAAAAGUAGGUGAUUUGAUUAACUUACGAAUAACAUGAUACGAAAGAGCCUUAUCCCUUUUUUUUAUGCAUUUUACUACUCUUACUGUAGGAUUUUUAGGCAAAAAAAGUGAAACUCGGUGAAAUAACGUCUAUGCAACAAGACACAUUCAACCAAUGCGAGAAUAAAGAAGCAAGCUAGGCAUUUAGAGUGCUAGCAAACAAAAUUGAUUGGCGUGAAAGUCAGAAAAAGGACGUAUGCGUGGCACCGAUGCAACUUUUCAGAAGAAUUAAUGACAUGUGGCUUUCUGUCUACAUCAACUCUCACCUAUAAAUUAUGUCUCUCACUUCAACAACGGUGUGCAAAAAUUUGAGCAAGUUCUAACAUCGUCCAUCUCCCUGCAUUUAAAUGACUUAUAUAUGGUCUCUGGUACUAGGUCAAUCAAACUCUCUCCUUCUAAAGUUAUUUUGAGAGCGAUUGUUUGAUCCAUAAUUGUUAGGACUAUUGAUUUUCUUAAUCACAUUGGAAAAUUGCUUUGUUAGCAUGACAAUCGACUCAUUUACUUGAUCUAGAAGUUUUUCCUUUAUCAAAAGAUUCAUCUCCAUGUAUAGAUUGAAAAGCACACUUUUUACCUUACUUUCUUCUAUGUCAGAUAAGGCAAUUUCAAACGUUCGUAGAGAUUUAAACAAUUCAUCAAGAGAAAGUGUAGUGACAUCAUGUGCCUCUUUAGUGGCGAUGACCUUCAUGUCAAAUCUUCUGGAAAGAGAACGUAAAACUUUCCUAACCAGUUUAGCCUCUGGAAUCCCUUCACCAAGAUUGAAUUAGUCAUUGGCAAUUUUCAAAACACGUACAUUAUAUUCAUUUAUAGUUUCUUCUUCCAUCAUUCUUAAUGAUUCGAACUUAGUUGUCAGCAAUGGAAGACGAGAGGUUUUUACUUUAGAGGUACCCUCAAAAGCUACUUCAAGUGCUUUCCAUGCAUCUUUUGCUAUAAUAUUGGAGUUGAUUAAUUUGAAUACGUUCAGAUCGACUCCAUUAUAUAUUGUGUUGAGUGCACGAGAAUUCCCUAGGGACUUUUGUUCUUCUACAUCCAUCCAAUCUUCUUCAGGUUUUGGAACAAGCUUACCAUCUACAGUAAUCAUCGAUAGUUUCCAUCAAACUUUAACUGCUUUCCAGGCAUUUGCAUCCAGUGACUUUAAAAAAGAAAUCAUACGAGUCUUCCAAUAAGAAUAACUUUUUUCAUCCAGUAUGGGUGGCCUUGUAGUUGAUCCACCUUCUCUUGAUGUCUCCAUUUAUAUCGAACUCACUCUGAUACCAAUUGAAACGUGAGAAGGUUAAAUGAUCUUUAGCUAUAUCAAAAGUAUUUAACUACAACUAUAACUAAAAUACAUAGAAGACAAGUAACACAAUGCACUUUGAUAACCCAAUUCGGCAAAUACAGCCUACAUUUGGAGAGCAUCUAGGUCAGAUAAGAAAUAUUAUUGAGAUUCAAUGUAUGUAACUUAUCACAAUGGUUACAUUAACAAUUUAUAACCAUAACUUAAAAGUAAUCUCAGGCUCCCCUGAAUGUAAUAAGAAUCUCUUAUAAGACUUGUCCAGGCUCCCUCUGACUUGGUGAAUUGAUCCAUCAAUUCAAUGAUCUUCACACAUAUUUCUUAUCUUCUCAUAUUUCACAUAGCAACCGUCAAUCUUCAAUAUAAAUUCAAAUGACAGACGGUAAACAUUAUACCUUCAACUUGCAUAACUUGAAUAGAAGAGUUCGUAUAUGAUGUAUCCGUCAACCAACAAAUCACCUAUCAACGCAUAUAUAUAUAUAUCCCCAAGUAUGUUAUGCGAAUAAAUUCUUCCAUUUUAAAAGGAAACAACCUCGUACUAAGAUUCUUAAAUAAUAGGAAAAAUAGGUAACUUAAUAGUACUGUUUUAUCUUUCAAUUAAAAAGAAUUCUUAGUAAAUAAGUUUAAAAUAUUUGACAAAAUAUCUUAACAGGCACUGUGAAGGAGAUUAAAUAGAAUACACAAGGGCAUAAGAGAAAAAGGAAAAAAAAGAUUUAUGGUAAACUUUCCAUAAAUAAUUUUUCCAUAAACACCCUAAGGGCCAGUCCUACAAGUUCUAACACAAUCCAAAGAAUUGCUCAUUAGUUUCAUGAUGCUAGAGUGCCUCUAAAUGCAUGCACUUAUUAUUGCUUUGAUGAUUGAGGCAAUAGGAAAAUGUGAUCCUGGAUUGAAACCACCAUCAUAACAUGAACUGAGGUGCCAUGUUUGAAAAAGGAAUUAAAAUGCACAAAUGAGUUGAUGAAGAGCUACAAGGAAAAAGCAGGCGAAUGUUAGAUGCACCAUUGUGGCUGAUCGAUGGACAGAUAGGAAAAAUAGGACAUUAAAUUAACUUUUUAGCUAUUAGUUGGUGUACCCAAAUGAUUUAGUAGGAAUAGGAUAUUAUGAUCAAAUCUUUAAUCUAUUAAUAUUAGGAUUAGUUUCUUUUCUUUAUUAGGGUUAGGAUUAGUUUCUUUAAUUUUAUUAAUUAGGAUUAGUUGCUAUAAAUAGAGUACUUGUCCUUUUGUAUUCACAACUUCAAAAAACAUUAAUAAAAUUCUCUCAAUUGAGUUACAUCAAUAGAUCUAAGGCACCAUGUUCAUUGAGUCUAUCAAUGCUUCAUCUUAUGUGAAGGAUGAAAGAAAAAUGUUUGGGUUGCUCGACAAUUUCAUAGAUCGGAUCGAAGAAGCCAAUGUCGUACAAGUUGUUACUGAUAGUACCUAAGCAAAGGUUAUGGCAGGUAAGAAACAAUGUAAGGUAUCAACUAUGUUUAGACAUUUAAGCUGGAAUAUGUUCUUAUUUUACUUUGUUAACAGGGAGAUUGUUAGAAGCAAAACAACCACAAUUAAUUUAGUCUUUGUGUAUAUCUCACUGUUUAGAUUUGAUGAUAGAUCAGGAUAUAUACAAGAUCUCACAUAUUCACAAAACAUUAAUAAAAGGCAUGAAUGUUAGCAUUUCAUUUAUGUUCGUCCGGGAUUAUGAACAUGAUGAGGUGGUUUAUUAAUCAAAAGGAGUUAAACUAUCUAAGACUUGAUUUGCUACAACUUGAAUAGCAUCAUCAAGAUUACAUCACCAGAAAAAUAAUUUGAGAAAGAUGUUACUUCGAACAAAUGAAAAAAUAGCAAAUGGAGAAAGAACAAGAAAAAUGGGUUGCUUAAACAACUUUAUUCCUGGGGACUAUUUGGACCGUCUUUAAUAAUUAGACAAAGAGACAAAAUAUCUCCAAGUAAACUUUAACUUUCAAAUCUUUGAUAACAUUUAAUAACAUUCAAAUUGAAAGUUACUAAUAUACUUUUGAUCUAUAGUCAAAUGGUGGAUGAACAAUCAACUCCCAACUUGUAAGAUCUCACUUGUAGUGCCACGAGAUGUGACGUAAUUAGAGCGUUUUUGUACAAAUUAGGUAUCUUCUAUUACUUGUAGUGCUUGUAGAUGUGGAUGUAAUUGAACUAAACAAUAAAAUCUUUGUUAUGUACUAUUGAAAGCAAUAAACAUGAAACCUAGGCUUACAUGGAAACCCGAGAAUCGAAAGAAAAACCAUGAUGUUUUUAGUUUUAUUAUUUUUCCGAUAAAUACAAAGGUACAAAUGAGGGAGCUUAAAUAAAAUGUAAAGAGCAAAGAAGAAAAGGAAAGAAAUAAUUAUGGUAAGUUUUCCAUAAAUGUUUUUUUCAUUUAUACAAAUUCUAAUAAUCCCCUCAAGUUGGGACGUAAAUAUCAAUGAGGCCCAACGUGCUAACACAAAAAUCAAAAUUUGGUCUAAGAAGCUCCUUGGUAAGAAUAUCAUCAACUUUUUGACUAAAAAGGAUGUACGAAAUGCAUAUGCUCCUACUGUGAAGUCUUUCUUGGAUGAAAUGUCGAUCAAUCUCAAUAUGUUUAGUUCUAUCAUGUUGAACCGGGUUGUUAGCAUUACUAAUAGCUGCUUUAUUAUUACAAAUGAGCUUUAAUGAAUUCACAUAUUCAUGAUGAAGAUCAUAUAGGACUUUCUGGAACCAAAUUUUCUCACACAUUCCCAAACUCAUAGCUUUGUAUUCGGCCUCAGCACUGCUCUUGGCCACAACACUUUGCUUUUUACUCCUCCAAGUUAGAUUGUCCCAAACAAAUGUACAAUAACCGAAGGUAGACUUUCUAUCAACAAUUAUGCCUAAUCCGAGUCAAUAUAUGCAUCAAUAGUUUUUCUGUCUAUUUUUCUAAACAUCGGCCCUUUACCAGAUGUUGUUUUCAAGUAUCUUGAAAUUUUGUUGACAGCUUCCAUGUGUUCUCAUAAGAAGCCUCCCUAAACUGGCUGACAACACUCACAACAAAGGAAAUAUCAAGACGAAUAUGGGAUAAGUAAAUCCAUUUACCCACGAGGCACUUAUAUUGUUUUUUAUCAACUGGAACAUGAUCAUUAAAGUUUUCAAGAUUACAAUUGAAUUCAAUAGAAGUAUCAGCAGGACGACAUCCCAACAUACCUGUCUCGGUUAACAAAUCAAUGGUGUAUUUUCUCUUAGACACAAAUGUCACCACGUGCUCGAGACGACGCGGAGCGGCCGACGCCCUCAAAAGAGUUUCUUUAUUUUUUUAUAACAAAAAGGGAGUCACCACCAAUCCUUUUUUAGGGUGUGAUUGGACACCCAAAAUAAGUAAAUAAGCUUUUUUUUUUUUUUUUAAAUGGUCUGCGAAAAAUAGAGUUGGGUUCAAGAGUCAUUUGUCUACGGGGAAGGUAUUAGCAUCCCGUAGCACCCGUUUAGAAAACGGUGGCCAAACUUAAAGUCUAUGUCUUAUUUCCUUGCUCAUCACUCUCAUAUUUGAAGUAAUUAUCCCAUAAAAUAAGUAGAAUAAUAUUCCAUUAAUUAGACUAUAUUGAGGAAAAUUCCCCACCUUAAGAAAAUGAGAAAUUAUUACAAUUUCUCAAAAUCUAUCAUAGGUUAGUCUUUGAAUAAGAUUUUUUGUUUUAAAACAUUCAUUAAAUUCUUUUUUUUUUUUUUUUGAUCAAAUCUUGGACUUCCAAAGAUGUGAUCCCGUCUUUGGAAGUCCAAGAUUUGAUCCCUCACCUUAAGAAUUCUAGGAAAUCGGACUCCUAAAUUUCCUAGAUUCCAUCAUAGGAUUUUUUUGGCGAAAUAGGAACGAGUUAUUAAAAAGGGUUGAUUAGAAAAAACUUAUGAAAUAUGGAUUUUUUUUUUAAAGAAAAUUUAAAUUGAUAGUUUUAAAAGUAAAUUUUUUUAAAUGGUCUAGAUUCCAUCGUAGGAUUUUUUUAAGGAAAACGGUAUAAGUUUUUAGAAAAUACUGGUUUAGGAAAUCUUAUAAAAUCAUAUGUUAAAUUUGGAAGGUUUUGGAAAAAAACAUAAAACAUUUAUAGCAUUAGAGACAAAUUUGCUAAAUGAUUUUUUUUUUUUAAAAAAAAAGUCUUUUAUUUAAAACAUAAAGAAUUUUAAAUUGGAAAGAUUUCAAAACAUUAAAAAAUUUAAAUACAAAGAGUUGCAUUUAAUUGCAUAUAACAAUAAUUAUGAUAUAGCCAUGUGAAUUGUAAAAGAAAGGAAACAUAAUAGCAAUAAAAAAAAUAAGGAAAGAAACGAAAAAAAAGAAUGAACAAAGAAAGAAAUAAUAAUAAGAAGGAUAAAUAGAAGAAGAAAAACAAGUAAAAAGAAGAACCCUAAUAGUAAUAUAAUAUAAUAAUAAAUGGUGAUGAUAAUAAUAAUAAUGAUAAAAUUUUCUCUAUGUUCUUUAUCUCUAUAUUUUAGAGAAAAAAUAAAUAUUAAGAGUUGAGAUUAAAAAGGGUAAUAAAAUACGAAUACAUUAAAAGAGCACAUUUGUCUUAUGUCAUUUUCUCUCUCCCUAUUUUUUUUAGAGAGAAGAAAAAGACUAAAGAUUUUUUUAAAAAAAAUGAUGAUAAAAGAAAAAAAAAUAAUACAAAAAAUACUAAAAUUUUCCUACAUUUUAUUUUCAUUCUCUUUAUCUUUUAAAGAGAGAAGAAAAGAAAAAUAAGAAUUCGAAUUCCAAAGAAAUUACUUGUUGUAUGAGAUGCGGAUCAUUGGGAUUAAAUCCCUACCAAAUGCAACCUCCAACUAAGUUCAGUUAACAAUGAGCUUUAAUUUGCUUAAGAUAAAAUUUAAAAAAAUAUACAGACAAUAUGGUAAUGAAAAGAAUAAUAGAAACGCACCUUUUGUAGAGUUUUUUUUGCAGAGAUUCACUCUAAAACUUUCUCUAAGCACUCUUUUUAAAAAGAUUUCUCUAAGAAACUCUCUAAAGAAUUUUUGUAAGAAAUUCUCCUCCAAAGAAUUCGUUGUUUAAGAAACUAUCUCCCCUUUCUUUUCAAAUGACAAGGGUCUCUAUUUAUAGACCCUGAGUGUACCACAAAUUAGGAAAAAAUAAUAAGAAUAAAAUCAAAUUUUGAUAUUAUAUUAAUAAAACAAAUUUUCAUUUUCCUAAAAUAAAUUAAAUGAGAUAUUUUGAGAUUUUGUGAAAAAUAAAUUAAUAUAUCAAAUGAAUAUUAAGAUACUUUUAUUUAAAAUUGAUUUUCUUUUUUCCUAAAAUGAUUUAAGUAAGUCAAAAUUGAUACUAGAAGAUUUUAUUUAAAACAAAUUCAUUUCUUUUUUUCUAAAAUAGUACAAAUAUAAUAUUAAAAGAUUUUAAAAAAACAAAUUGAUUUCUUUUUGUUUCCUAAAAUGAUAAAAAUGAAAUAUUAUAAGAUAUUAUGUUAUUAUUAGUUUUUUUAUCUUUUUUUAAAGUAAAUAAAUAAAUAAUUUAGCAACUAUUACUAAUAUUAAUAUUUAAAAAAAAGAUAUAUAUGUGUAGGAUAAAAAUAGGUGGCUACAACAAAAAUAACUUCUUUAGAUCUGGUCAUCUCCAUUCCAAGAAAAUAUUUCAGAUUUCUCAAAUCCAAACAAUGUCAUCCACAUGAACUAUUGGAACAGCAAUCUUCCCUCUCUUGGAAACCUUUGUAAAUAAAGUAUGAUCAAAGUGCCCUUGACUAUACCCUUGGGACUUGACAAAGAUAGUGAAUCUGUCAAACCAUGCUCUAGGAGACUGUUUCAGACCAUAUAGGCAUUUUUAAAGUUUACACACAUGCUGACCAAACUGGGCUUCAAAUCCAGGCGGGGCUCAUGUAGACUUCCUCCACAAGGUCUCCAUUCAAAAAAGCAUUAUUAACAUCCAACUAGUAUAGAGGACAAUCUUUGUUCACAACAACAGCUAGCAAGACUCUAACCGUAUUCAACUUAGCAACUGGAGAAAAAGUUUAUGGAUAGUCAAUACCAUAGGUUUGAGUAAAUCCCUUUGCAACUAACUUUGCCUUGUGUCUGUCAAGAGUACCAUCUGCUUUGUAUUUGAGAGAGAACACCCAUUUGCAUCCCACAAUUUUGUGUCCCUUGGGCAUAACACAAAUUUCCCAAGUUCUAUUCUUUUCAAGAGCUUUUAUUUCUUCCAUUACAGCAUUCCUUCAUUCAAGACACUCUAAAGCAAUGUAGAUAUUUUUCAGUAUUAUGGUAGAGUCAAGGCUUGGUGUAAAAGCUCUGAACUGUGGGGAGAGAUUAUCAUAGGAAACAUAGUUGCAAAUGAGAUAUUUAGUACAAGACCCAGUACCUUUUCUCAUAGCAAUGGGAAUGUCAAGAGAGUGAUCAUACUCAUCAAGUUUCUCUGUAUGACCCUGUUUAACCUUGUUCACCUUCAUUAUUACUAGUUUUUGUUCUAACUUCAAUCUCAUCACCACUAUUCUUUUCUUCCACAUUUUCAAGAACAGCAACAUCAAACAUGUCAUUCUCACUUAUCGUAUUAUUAAUACAAGGUUCAGUAGGAUUUUCCAUACCUUAAUCUUGAGGAGGUUCAGAGUCUUGGACUGGAGCCGGCGAUUGACUAAUAGAGGACCCAACUUCCUUUUUGAGAUUCCUUCUAUAAUAUGUUUUCCAAGGAACUUGGUUAGUGGGUAGGACUAUGGGAUGAGGAUUAAUGUCAAACACGAUACUAGGAGUAGGUUCGAUAAAUUCAAAGGUGUUAUUAGACUCUUCACCUAGACUCUCCCCCUAAAGAUGGCCAACGGGAAAGUAAGGUCGAUCCUCACAGAAAGUAACAUCCAUAGUGACAAAACAUUUCUUGGACUACAGGUAAAAACAUUUAUAACCACGCUGGUGAAGGGGAUACCCAACAUACACACAUUUGAUCUGAUUAGGGCCAACAUUAUGGACAUAAGCGGUACAAUCAAACACACGAAGAGGAACCUCAGAAACAAGACGAGUAGAGGGGUAGGACUCCUUAAGACAAAAUCUAAGGGAGUCUGAAGGUAGAGAAUAAAAUAAGGCAUUCUAUUGAUUAAAUAAGUUGCUGUAAGAAUAGCAUCUCCCCACAAGUAUGAAUGAAAGGAAGUAGAUAACAUAAGGGAACGGACUACUUCCAGAUGAUGACGAUUUUUUGCUGGACCACUCCAUUUUGCUGAGGAGUGUAGGCGCAUGAGUUUUGGUGAACAUUCCCCUUGGAGGCUAGAAAUUCACUAAGGUUACGGUUUUGGAAUUUUCGACCAUUAUCACUCACUCCGAAGAAUAGCAAUUUUUUUAUGGAAUUGUGUUUCAAUGGUGUGAUAGAAAUUUUGAAAAAUAGUGGAAACCUCAGAUUUAUCGGUGAUAAGGUUGACCUAGGUAAGACGGGUAUGAUCAUCAAUGAAAGUUACAAACCACCAUCUUCCAUAUGAGGUGGUGACCUUGGAGGGACCCCAAACAUCACUAUGGAUUAGGGUAAACAGUUGUGUGGAUUUAUAUGGUUGUGAGGGAAAAGACACUCGAUGUUGUUUUGCCCGAAUGCACACAUCACAAGAUAACAAGGAGACAUCGAUUUUAGGAAAAAGAUGAGAAAACAAAUAUUUCAUAUAAGUAAAGUUCAGGUGACCCAACCAAAAAUGCCACAAGUCAUGUUCAGAAGUGCUAAAAUAGGAAGACAGUAAACUAGUCCUAAAGAUGCUACUACUAGAGGUAUCAUCAAUGAUGUAAAGAGCAAAGAAGAAAAGGAUAAGAAAUAUUUAGGGUAAGUUUUCCAUAUAUACAAAUUUUAACAUGUACUUAUAGCUUCGUGGCAAGAAAAGGAAUAGACUUUCUCAAAGUCGACUAAACAAUUUAGUCUUCAUAAAAUAUAAUAGAGCACUAAAGUGUCAAUAUAAUAUUUAGGACAUUGUCGACCCCAUCUCUUUAAAAGAAAUCGACGCUAGUAAUGAAUGGUUGCUUGGAAGAAUGGAUGCAAUUCAAAUGAGGAGGAGGAUCUUGUUUUCGAUGACGAUUCUUUAACAUAGAGCAAUGUUUCUAAAGUUGCUAGAGCAAAUGAACCUGCCUAUUAUUCUAGAGAAGGUUCCUCAAGAACUAAGUCUAAAGACUAAGGCUUCAUGUUAAUCUUCAUCUUCCACACAACUACUGCCCCAACCCAUCCUCACACCAGUUAAUUUGGACGGAUGAAGAAGAUAUAGUUAUAAGUUGAAUAAAGAUGAAGACCUAUUUAGUGAAGAUGACUUCGAUCUUUUAGGAUUUUAGAAUUAUAUUUGUGAUUGUUUUUAUGCUGUUUCGCUUAACUUGUUGUUGAAUGACUAAUAUUUAAAUCUUAUAUAUCCUCUCUUUUGUACCAGUCUCAUUUAUAUCCAUCUAUCCAUCUAUGUUUUGGUUGUGUAAAGAAACAUGUGUAUGUGUAACUUGGAAAAAAACCGCCCACGCCUUUUUGUGUAACUUGCACCUACGCUUCUGAGGACCAUUGCGUCUUGGGCAUUUAGAGACAUUGCACACAAGAUUUUGAUUCUGAGAUAAAAAAGAGAAUACAUCUCACCAUCAGACUGAGGUCUGUCACUUUGAUGUUGUAAACAAAAAACAUAGAUCAUAAUCUCCACAACGCUAUAGAGAGGCUAUGCAUAUCAAUUUAUUUAGCAGUUUCCAUGUGACCCCAUUUCCCUAAUUCCAUGAACCAUGAAGAUUGAAGAUUUAAACCAGUUCUUUCUGAUAGGUGAGAGAAAAGCCAAACCCUCUAGGAAGAGUGUAAUUGAAACAUUUCUGUGGCGUCGUCCGUCAGUCUUGGCAAAUAGGUUUUUUCUUUUUUUUUUUGUAGAAAUCUUGGAGUGAGCAAAAUGGUCGCUGUUUCAAGAACUUUUCCUUACAUUACUUCAUGGAAUUGGUACUCUCUACUGUGUUUUUUUUUCUUUUUUUCUGGGGGGCGCAAAUUUAAACAACUUAUUGUCCAUUAAAGCUUUAUCAUAUUUAAUCUCCAAUUGAAGAGCACUGUUGAAAUCACCAAUAGGUGUUGGGGUUUUUACUCCCUCAUUUCAUCAAUUAAUGAAAUGGUUUCUUUUUCAAAAAAAAAAGAAAAAGAAAAAAAGAACCAAGGUAUAAUCGGGCAUAAGAACUCUACAAACACAGGAGAAAACAUAUUUGGUAAAUAACGAGAAAGACCAACCAAAAAGCUACAGUAAGAGGGAACGAGGAACAUGAUAACUAAUGAGUAAUUAUAUUACAUCAACAUACAAAAUCCAGUUACAACUCUAGUUUGAAAGAGAAGGAAAACUGUGUGCCCAACUAUCUUGGUAACCCAUUAUGCAAGCAUUUUUUUUCUAAUUUGAACAAUGAAAAUGGAUAACUAGAAAAGCUUUCUAACCGUGCUUUAUAAACUCAACGAGAUUCCCAAUCCUUCAACUUCUUGCUCCCUUUAGGUUUUGUAAUUGGUGCAUUCAUUCCAGCCAUUUUUGCAUUGUAUUUUGCCCGAAGAGGAUCGUUAUAGGUCCAACUGCAUGACAGUAACAACUGACGUUAGUCAACCAGCAGAAUAACUUCGACAUGAAAAACACACUACAAACAGUAGAAUGAAGGCAAAAAAACAAACAAAUAGAGAAGAUUGCAAAUAGGGCAUUGUUCUAAUCAUAUCUUUAUAUUCUCUUCUAGAAAUAUAAACAAACUAAAAGCCUCAAUAUUGAUAUUAAACUCAGGCUGCUCAACACGUCCAUACCUCAAGCUCAUACUAAAAAAAUUUCCAAUCAUUCUCUACUUAACAUGCACUCAAACAUAAGUAGACAAAGGAUCAGAAGCUUUUGUAAUAGAUCGUAUUGUACUUAAUCUAGAUAUAAACUCAAUUAAGAAACCAAAAUUGAUAUUGCAAUAAUUUACUAUAGGAAACUGAGAAGCAGAAAGCAGACGAAGUUAAAUCAACUUACGGGUUGUUCCAGUCGGUUGUAUCUUCAUUGACAAGAUGCGUCCAUUUUGUUCUCCCACUGCGCCCAAAAUGCUUGACCUGCAUAACCUUCGGCAAUAUUGUCUUGUCCAUUUUAUCUUCUCCAGUUGGGGAAGAGAAAUCACGAUGGAAAAUAUUAUCAGAUCCAGCAGUUCCAGCAUUAUCAUCAGCAUCUUCCUGGAAGAAUGCACCCUUGUGGUAAUAUUUCUGCAUAAACUUCCACUUCUGCUUAGGUGGUGGAGCAGGUUUCGGAUUCUUCCUCUCCCAUUCUCUCCUCUCUUCCUCGGUCAUAUUUCUCACCUUCUCAAUCUCCUCCCUCUCCUUCAACAUUGCAUCUCGAAGUUCUCUAUCCCUCUUGAUCCUAGCAAUCUCUCUAACCUUCCAAGCCUCAUAUUCUUCUGCUUCAUUUAUUUCAUCAUCAGUAUCUACAUCUGCAAUAUUGGCCUCCAUUUCCAAAUUCUUCUGGAUCUCUUCAUCCUUUCUAAUCUCCUCAACCACAAUGUGCUUUGUCUCUGCCUUCCUUUCCUCCAAUCUCCUUUUUCUCAAUUCUUCAAGAGACCUUUCCUCCUCUUCAAUACGCUCACGUUCAGCAAUAGUUUCUCUCUCUGAUUUAGGAACAAAGAUUGGCUUCACCAUUGCUAUACCAGUAGGUUCAUCUUCAGAGUCAGUUUCAUACUCAGACUCCUCUUCUUCCUCUUCCUCUGGCUCCUCCUCCUCUUCUUCUUCAGGAAAUGCAGCUUCUUCUAGCUCCCUUUGUCGCAACUUUUCCUUGAUUCUUCUUCUUCUUUCCUCCAAAGCAUCCUCAUCCUCUUCCUCUGCAUCUAAUCCCUCCUGCCUCCGAGUUUCCUCUUCAAUGGUUGAAACAAUCUCAGCUUGGCGAAUACGUCGAUGAUCAGCUCUAAUCUCCUCCCGAUUAUCUAUCCUACUCUCAGCCAGACGGCGCAACCUAGGGUCAUCCUUCCUAGAUAUAUCUGAAUCUUCCUGCCUAGGAAAUGCUUUCUCAAGAGCUGCUGCCCUGGCCAUCCUAAUAUCGCCAUCUUCAUCGGCAUCAUCCGCCCACUCGGGAGCCUUUCCAGGCCAGUACCUCUUAACUUUUGUUUGUCCAAUUUUACCUCUAAGUUUGUCUCUAACAGCAAUUACAGUAUCACUAACCCCCGCCGUGACCGACAUUGUUAAUCGGCUAAAUUUCCAGAAGCAAAAGAUACACCAAAAGAAAAAAAGAAUUUUCUCCUUUUCAACUUAAAAAUUCACAAUUCGAUGAAGCUAAACCUGAAACCCAAUAAUGAAAUAAGUGCAGAGUUAAACAUAGAGUCUCCAAGCUCCCUAUAUUAUGACAAUGUCGUUAAAAUCGUAUGAUUCGAAAGGAAAAUAAGGGAAAACGAUAGCACUCGUAGAAUUGGAUCGGAAAUUAGACGUACCGUACGAUUCAAAUUUAAUCGCACGAACCGUCAUGAAUCGCAACUUCGCGAUUCAAGAACCGAUAAAUCAGAAGGAAAAAAAAUUAAAAACCGUCAUAGCAUGGUGUUUAGGGGUUGCCGGUGUGCUAUUGGAGAUGAAAAUUAAUGAAAACUUCAUGGUGAGGACUUCUCGGAAGAAAGAAAAAGAAAGGGGAAGAUCAACAGGGUUCUUUAUCUCUUUUUUUGAGUACAAAAUGUAAAUUGAAAAGUUGUCCAAACAGUUAAAAUAAGCUUCAACACAAAUUAAGCAAAACCCUAUACAAUCACAACGAAAACUCAACCUCCCUUUGUGAUAAAGGAAAACUCGAAACAGGAACAGGGAUGAAAGCCCAUAGCAUUUCUCAAUUAAACGCGCGUUGGAAACCACAAAGAGGGCGAAGGAUAAAAAGUAUGGUGAAAUUUCAGGCGGAAAUAGUCUAAAGUUAGAAAUACCUUCAAAGUUUUGGUCUGAAGUUGAGUAUAAGGGAGUAUCAGAGUUGAAGAAAUCCGAUCCGAGCAACGAAGAAAAUGGUGGGAGGGAGAAAUGGCGGAGGCAAGUAAUGAAAGCAGUCCGGAUCCUCUGAAAUCGAUAAUUUGUGAGAUUUUUUAAGAAUCAGGUAAAGGGGUAGAGGAGAGGAAAGUAUUUUUCUAUUUUCGUUCUUCUUUUUUUUUUUACUUUUUUAUCGACCUAAACUGUAGUGUUGACAACGAGAGAAAAUUAUUUUGAAAUUUUUAGAACAUCUCAUUCUUUUCAACCUAAAACACAUUAUCAUUUCAUUUCCUCUCUAAACUCUUUAACCUUUUUAUUAGAAAAAUAAUUGGGUUGAAUAUAUGGACGAUCAUCCUCAAAACUUACCGAUAAAAAGAAUGGCUUGCUCCUUAGAUUAUAAAGAAAACUAUCAUUUUGUUCACGUCACUUCAAUGUCUAAUAUUAGUAACGUGUAAGGGAUGUUUUACUCAUCACGAAAAGAAGGCAGCCUUGUCAUGUUGUCUCAUGUAAGUGCACAAGUAAAGAGUUAGACUCUUUAGAGAUUUUAUGCCCAUAUGAAAUAGUUGUAGUUAGGUCGAGAAACAUUACUUCUAAGUUUAACAACCUUUACAAUCUGGAAUGAAUCUCUCCUACAUAUUUUGAACUCAUAUUACCAAUUAAGCAUGCAUCUAAACGGAAAAAACUAACAAAAUACAUGUAAAAAGGUAAUCCUCCAACUUAAAAAGUACUUAGUGUUGAUCGGUCAGAAGUCAACCAAAUUCCAUUAGUUCAAUAUUGUUCAUUCCAAAGUUACGAUAAAUGUGGUAAUCUUGAACGCAAUUGGCUUCAUGCAACCAAUCAUUAUCAACUACUAGAAAUAACGAAUGACAGAGAUAUAGAUAACAUAUUGUUACUUCUUUUACCAAGCAAUUUUUAUUGGUGAAUGUUACAUGUGUAUAUAUAUGAUUUGAAUUUUAAUAAAAUUAUGAUGCUUUUAAAAAUUUUAAGAGAGUUGCGAUAAAAAUAUUGUAGGAAGUGGACACCUACUAAGAUAAUUGAGGAAGUAGUGAGAAAAAAAGAAUAUUGGGAUAGACGUUUACAUCCGAAUAGGGUCAUGACUUUUUGUGAUGAGUGAGACGUCCUUAAUGCAAUAUCAAGUACCUAGCGGCUAACUGCUCUAGGAUAUAACCAAAAGAUUAGUUUUUUAGGAGUUUAUCAUUCUUCACUAACGUGUUUCGAGAGGGCCACAUGUACAAAAAUUCAAACGAAUAACCCUUAAACAUGGAUUUUGUCACUAUUUGUAAUGAUCUAGUUUUUGUACUUCUAGAUAUGUAAUGUCUUGUCCUCUAAAUCGCAAGGAUUAUUAUCAUUAAUGAUUUUUGUAUAUUAUCAUUUGUAAUAAUUUAGUCCCAUUAGAAAAAUGUUAUAAAAUUUAAUGGAACUUUUUACACAAAUUAAUACACUCGCUAUGACCAAUUUUGUUUAAAUUUAAAAACAAAAAAAAUCAAUUGAGUUGUUUGUAUAACACGGCAUUUAGGUUUGAAAUGAUAUUUCACAGCAAGGACUACACGAUACGAUGCUAUAUGUAAUUAAAAUUGUUAAUUGCACACAUGUUGUGUAAAAAAAGAAAAUCAUGUUUGAUAACUAUUUUUGUUUUCAUUUUACUUUAUUUUAAAGAAAAUAAAAACAAUAACCAUAUUUUCGUUCUUUAUAUAUAUAUAUAUAAACAAACGGAAGCAAUUAUUCUUAAUCGACAUUUUUGUCUACUACCAUAACUUAAAAUGUUUUGAUUGCUUCCGUUGGUUGAUUUUGUUAACAUGUCAAAGACAUUGGCAACAACAUUGAGACCGUCAAGCAACAACUUUAGCAAAAGAUUAUUUCCAUAUACAAUUGCAUUGAUUAGUAGAUUCCGUAGAUUUAUAUCUUCAACAGUUUUUUCUUUCCUUUUUCUCAUGUAAGAAAUAUUUGUUUUCUCCUAAAUUAAUAUUCUCUAGGUUAGUUAUAUAUUUGUUACUCUUUUCAGUUUUGGGGUUAAUCGUCUCAUUAGAAAAGUGUGUGCAUUGAACGUUUUUAACUUAAAGUUUGUCUAUGUCUCAACCUUCAUAUUUUGAUAUUGAAAACCCUUGUAUUUGUUAUGUUGGAACUUUUGGUUAUGUAGCCAUUAUAGAAUUUAGAAAGAAUUCGAUAUUGAUGUUGUAUUUAGGGAGAGCCUAAAUAUAUAUAGUGAAUGUGAGGUUAGGGGAAGCCUAAGCACACUCUAUUGAAAGAUCUCACAUAAAGCUUUGAAGAAGCAUUUUGUGGGAAAGAGGGGAGCUAAACUUAGAAGGACCUUAAGUUGAAACGUUAGAGAGCAAGCUAUACGGAAGUCACUAAAAAUGGAUUUUAUCAUAUAAGUACUUCUGUAAUAAUUGCUAAACUCUAUAAUAGUGAAGUUUCAUUUGAAUAGGCACGUUGUCCCGCAAACGUAGGUGAUUUUGUACCGAACUAGGUUACUAAUCUAUGCGUCAUUACUUUUUAUGUUUGCUUUUAUAACAACCCCUUGUCAGAUAUAUUGUCUGUAAUAUCGUACUUAACAUAAUGUCUUUUGGAUCCAUCUAUUUUUUCCAUUUUAAAUGUUUGAAAGUAAUAUCAAUCAAAUAGAUAAAUAAUCAAAAUUUUGUGUCUAAAAAAUGUAAAUAUAUUAAGAAGAUGUAAACAGAUAUUGAUAUUGAUAAAAAAAAAAUGUCUUUUACUUUAAUUUGGUUAAAAUCUACUACGCUCUUGAUUUGAAAAAAUUAUAUUUGUUUUUCAAAUUAAUUUAUUCAUUAGAUAAUAACUAGUAAAGAUUGAAUCUGCUUUUAAACAAAUUUUAUUUUAAGUUUCAAUAUCAACGAGAAAUUCACUUGUCUUUGGGAAAAAGAAAAACAUAUUCGAGCUAAAAUUUAUUUGAUUAAUUGAUUAAAAUGAUAUCUCGUCGUUGCACUAACUAAAAAUAAGAAAAUAAAAUUUUAAGAUUCUAUCAAUCACUAACUAAAAAUAAGAAAAUAAAAAUUUAAAAUUCUAUCAAUAACAUGGAUUGAUGAUAGACACAAUAUACUUCUAUUAAUAGCAUUGAUAGAAAUAAAAUUGAAAACAAAAUAUUUUUUUGUUUACGAAACAUGCUCUUAUUAGGAUAGAAAGAUGCUACAUAAUCCAUGUAGUUUUACUAAUUCAACAAUUCAUCGAGAUUGGUUAAACAAUACUAAUAACUUUCAAUGCAGAAAGAUACAUAGGUGAAUAGUAAAAAUGCUACUAAAAAAUUAAUAGUAAAAAAUUGCAACUAAAUUUAAAAUUUGUUGAAGCUAGUAAUGACUGAAAAUAUCAAACAAAUGAAGUGUUGUAACUUAAAAUAAAUCUACAAGUUUAGAACCAACCAAAGUAGUUUUUGUUUACUUUUACCAAGUACCAGAUGGACUGGUGCUUUAUUAAGCUAAAAUCAACAUCAGAAAAUAGCUUACCUAAAAUCUAUGUUAAAUUCAAUACAAAAACAAAUAAAACUAAUAUUAAUGGAAAUCAAAACAUAACAAUUUAAAAUAUAAAAUCAAAACAAAAGAAACCUUGAAAACUUCUAAGUUAAUGCAACCAAUUGCUUCCUUCAUGUAGGCAAAAAUUCAGAAAUAGGAUUAAAUUAUAAUUUUGAUCAUUUUACGAGUUGGAAUUUAAUUAACGUGUGGUUUUAAGAGUUAGAAUUUAUAAUCCAAACAAUUUGAUAAAAUCGUAACAUUAUUUCUACGAUAGAAAUUAUUAAUAAAGAUUUUUGUGAAACCAUGAAGACUAAAUUCUAAUUAUAAACUAUAAGAGCUACGUUUCCAAAUUAACCAAACAACAAAUACCAGCAAGAAAAAGAGGAGAAAGAAACAGCCCAUUUUCUAAUAUGGGAGCAUGGCCUCUCUUCUCUAUCAGUGAUACAAAAUGACUUGGAAGUUUUUUUCUCCCAUGUAAGAUUCAGUUCAAAUCCGUCAAAGUGCAGCUUCAAGUUCCCCAAUAGAAAAAACCUAAAGGAGGAUGAACAGCCAGAGUACCAUACCAAACUGACCAAAGAAGAUAAAAUAAAUACAUCAGAUUAACUUGAUUCAAUGUCACAGCAGAUCUAUGAACUUACAAUUGCUUUUCCUGAAUCAACUGAAACUGCCUAAUUUCAGGCUCUACUUUUCUUCUCUUUAGCCGAAUGUUGAAAUGAGGAAAGUCUUGUAUAUGCUCAUGAACUUCGCCACAAAAGCUGCAUCAUCAGACAAAAAAAAUACUUCAAAAAUCAAGACUGACAGAGCCAAUUUUGCCUUCUUCAAGAUUUGUAUUAACAAAACGUUAGAACAUAAAGAACUUGAGACAAGAAAUCUUUUUACAAAUGUAUAAGGAGAUAAGAAUAUUAGAACGGUAGAAUUAAGAGAUAUAAGUAAUUAGACAGAAUAUUAUUGAAUAUGUUACUGAUCUUACUUCUAGUUAGGAAGUAUACCAACAAAAUGUCAGAGCAUGAAAAGUCAAAUUCAUGAUAUAAAAGCAUGCAUUAUCAAAACUCACUACUCUAAAGUUGCAGGUAACAAUUUCUUUUUUGGUUUAACAUGGAUAGCCGAACAUAUCCAAACCAUCAAAUUGUAUGGUAGUAUCUAUCCAUUAUUUGAUGGAUUCAAGGUUCUCACAAUGAAAUUAUGAUUGUGGCUAAGUUAGCCAGGCUAACUAAUAGAACCAGAGGAAGUAAGAAGAACACAGAAGUUAUAUUUUUGUGUAAUAACAUUUACUCCAUGCUAUGUGUAUUCUAAAUACAUUUACCUUCUAUGUGGAAGAUGGCUUUCUGUCCAAGACGCAUCCUGUGUUCCUGGAAAAAGAGUUAACCAAAGAUGAAAAAUCGGACAAAAGGUGAAACUCUAUCCAACCAUCUUUCAUCUUUUUUUUUUCUUUUUUCAUAUCCACCAAGUAUCUGGACCAGCUUACACGCACCUCGACUAAUCUCACGAAACAGCCCGCACUCUACAACAUUUGGGUGUCAAGAAAACUUGUAGAAAAUUAAUUUCCUAAGAAGGUGGACACCAUGGAUUGAACCAUGACCUCUUAAUUAGUUAUUGAGACUUUCUCCUAUUUUUACUACUAGGCCAAUCCAUGAUGGUUUAGCCAUGUCUCAUCUGUAAUAUCAUAUUGCUGAAUUAAUGCAUGUAGAUAUAUAACGCACUAUAGUAUUCAGAAAUUAUACAAACAUAAAUGAGUAGAUGAUUCUUCUUAUGUGAUUGUGAUGGUAAUUUAGCCAGACGUCGUUUAGGAACAAAUUGUCUAUGGCAUGGAAAAUUGGAAAUGAAGUGAAGUGCACAAACCAGUUCACUUUUCAGUAUUUAUUCAAUGAUAUUAGACAAAGUUGGAAAUUGAAGCGUGCUUGAAAGUAAAUAGUUGUGAAAAUGAAAUGACGAAGAUCUGAAAAGUAAAUAAUUCCCGACUUGUAAAACUAUGGGCUAGAUAAGGUUGAGAUUAAAACAUGGUUGAAAUUAUACAGACUAAUAGAACCAGAGGAAAAAAGAAAGACGUAUAUGGUUAAAAUUCUUCACUUCGUUGCUUUUAUCAAUAUCCAUCAUAGAUCUCAAUAUAAGUUUGUUUUAUUCAAUGCUCAGAACCUCUCCACCCAUCAAUAUUCAGCAAAUUUAACACAGGUUCUUAAAGUGCUUUGGAGGCGACACUUAAUUGGUGUUUCUUUCAAAAGUAAAGAAAAAUAUUUAAUUUUGAAAAACUAGUCUUCAAUAUGUCCACAUACAUUCAAUCUAUCAAGUGUAGGAUCUAAUCUGUUAGUUAGUUAUGACCAAAAAAUUCGAGAAAUUGCAAAACAAGAAAAACAUGGAGAACUUGAUAUUAGAAAAAGAGGACAAAUUACUUCAAUGAUAUUGGAAUCAAAAGUUGAACAAUAAAAAAAGAAUUUAAACGAAUUGAGAGGCCAAAAUUCAACUUACAUAAUAUGCAGCCCAAUGACAGACCUCAUGCUUUAAUUCAGCAUCCAAUUUCUUGAGUAACUCAUAAAGCAAUCUCUGAGUAAGUAGAUAAUAUGAGUAUCACAUUAAAACAGAAAAAAAUCAAUAGAAAUUGGGGAAGAACGAUUACCUUCAAUAUGAUCUCCGGAGGGAUACAAUUAACCAGUAACUCAUAUAACUUCCCACGGACCUGGAAUAAUCUAAAACGCAAAAAAAUAAUGUCCAUUUAUUUCAGACUUCACACAAUUCUCCAACUAGUUAUAUGACAGUUAAAGUAGUUAUUAGUUCUCCACAUAUAUAUUUCUAUUAGGCAGUUGCAACUUUUCACAUUUCUACAACUCUGCUCGACAAAAACAAAAGUCAAGAACAUGUGUCUUUUUUACCAAACUUUCAUUGAGAAAAAAAUGAAAGAAUACAAGAGGCAAACCAAGAAAAAAAUAACAAUCCCCAAAAUCCUAACGGUUAAUUACAAAAGUCCUUACACACAGAAGCAAAAAAGGGGACUGUGGGACACUAAACUCCCUCCCUAGAAUGCUCCACUCUUCCAAAAAAAGGUAUCAUUUCUCUCACCCCAAAGACACCAUAACAAAGCACAAAUGCCAUUCGUUAACAAAAUCUAGCUUUUCUCACUAAAGGAGAGAUGAACCAAGGGCUCAAUGCGAUCAAUGCCAAACUCUAGGCCCAACCACCCUGAGGCCAAACGAUUGAAAUAAACAAGUCUAGACAGCCAAAGCAUAAUCACGGGACCACCAAAGAUGAUCAAGAUCCUCAUUGCUUCCUCAAAAAGGUCAACAAGGAGAGGAAUCUUCAUUCAUUCAAUUCAUGACCAAACCAGACAGAGAUCACCAUAAUCAAGGAGGAUACCAUCCACAGAAGUUCAAGGAUUGCUUAUCUUUAUGUAAUUAUUUGUUAAUGAAAAAUACUAGCACGGCAUAUUUUAAGAAUCAAAAGCAGUUUGAAUGACAAUGUUAGAGACGUACCCAACUGAUGUGUAUGAAAACCACACAUAUAUGAUAUUGAGAUGUAUGUUAUAGUACAGAAUACAACAAAAAAAGGUACAUGAGGUACCUUUUGGGACUCUGCUCCUUCAUUAUUUCAGAUGCUAUCUCAGUGAUGUACUCCUCCCAAUCCAUUGGUGGUAUUGCCUGGUUGCUGACAAAAGGAUACCUAACCCAAAAAAUAAAAUAAAUAAACAGCUCAGUCCCAAUCCUUAAAGAUUGUUUACCAAGGUAAUUUUUUAUGAUAAGAAGUGAGAGAAACUUAGAUCUGUAAGAGGCCCAGUGGAGACUAACUGUUGAACACGGCAAGUCUCAAAUGAUAGUAUAGCUCUCCUCAAACUCCUGUUUGAUUUUUCUGCAAUACGGGAAGCAAAUCCAGAUGGAAGUUGCAGUCCUUCUUUCUUUCCAAUGUACUCUAAAACCUUGAAAAUCUGGUGAAAGGACGUAACUUUUUCAACAGCUUUCGAAUCACUACAAUAACAUUUUUAAACUUUCAACAAAUACUUUUGAAGACUAAGUUUUCAGGUAAAUGUAAACCACGCCAUGAAAGAGGAAACAGGCUUUCCACUGUCCACAACUUGCAAAUCAAAAGUCUUGAUCCACUUAAUCCACUAACGUAAUUUUUCCUUCUAGUCUAAAAUCUUUGGGUACAUAUAUAGGUAGAAUAUAUUACACGACAACUAAAGGCAGGAGCUACUGAAUAUAUGCAUCACUAGAAAAGGCUUUAAAUUGUUUAAAAGCAUAAAACAAAAAUUGAAAAUGGCAGUGAAUUUUCUUAUCCCAAAAAAACAAAAACCGGGUGAACUGCUUGGUUUUCUGACAGCAGCAUUGGUACCACUAACUAUACAAGGUAAGCAUUUGAAAAGGCAUUCUUUGACCUACUUACAUUUAAAUAUUAAGUUAAGACACCCAGAAAAUUGUUGCCCAUAGACUGCCAGAAUAACAUAUUGAAGAAUAAUUAGGUCAAUCACUGCCACAGAUAGGGAAGGUUUUCAUCCUUUAUUAAUAUGACGUCAGUUUACAAUAGUUGUCUGACUCCAAGUUCUUAGUCGAAUAACAAAUUGAAUGUGGCUAAAAUUUAUAAAUAAUCACACUGGUUAGGACAUGACAUUUUAUUACGUUCUUCCAGUCCAUCAUUUAGUUUACUCAAAUUCAUACCUCAGAACAAAAAGGAAAUAAGACAUUACAAAAAAAAAAAGAAAAAACUAUCCUGACCUGCUCCUCUGUAGGUCCAUUUAUCCGCACAUUUAGGCAGCGAGAGCGGAUUGCUUCAGUAACUCUUGAUGAACUAUUGCAGCAAAGAAUUAACCUACAGUACGAGCUAUAUUUCUCCAUUGUUCUCCUAAGAGAGUGCUGAGCUUCUCUUGAUAGUUUAUCAACAUCAUUUAGAACCAAAACUGAUAAAUGACCAGCACUAAAAAUCUCAAUAUCUUAUAGAGAUAUAUAAUCUUGCACAUACAAGCAUACUGGUAAAUAAAACAAGAUCCCAAACAAGCAAUAAAUCGAUAUUUUACUGGUUUGUUAGUGAGAUCAUUAACAUUUUUAAGCAUUAACCACAAAGAAUAAAUAAGUUCUCGGGCAUAAACAACUGAUAAAUAUGGUUGGAGGGGGUGAGGAAAAAUGAACACCUUUAUGUCCUCUUUUCCCUUUGGAAUCAAUUGGUCUGUUUUUUGCCAUUUCUUUGAUUAUCUCUUGAACAAUAUACCUAUCUUGGAAACCUGCAUCACUAGGAGUGAGCUCCACAUGGUUGGCACUUGACAAGGUUGUCAACUCUAUAUCAAUAGUUCUGGUUCCAGCCUGAGAAGAAAAAGAAAGGGCAUAGAAACACAGAGAGAGAGAGAGAGAGAGAGAGAGAGAGAGAGAGAGAGAGAGAUGGUGAUAAUGAUGAGAACAUAAAGUUAUACAGCCAAAUAACAUCUUCAACAAGUUAAAUUUUUAUGCUAAUCUAUAACAUUCUGAACUAGUAAUCAUAUCAACAGACAACUAGAAGAUCUCCUUUCCCAGAAUCUGAAUUCAAUUACUUUCAUACACAUGUGAAAGGAGAUGGCAUCACUAAGGACAAAUUUGGUAACCAUUUGGUUAUUGGUUUUUGGUUUUAAGUUUUUGAAAAUUAAGUCUAUACACAUCCCUUCCACCUCUAAACUUCUUACCUAGGUAUCUACUCUCCACCAAUGUUUCCAAAAAUCAAGCCAAAUUUUUAAAACAAAAAAAGUAGUUAUUUAAGAACUUGUCCCCUUUUAUUGUAAAUUCAACUUUUGUAUCAAUCAUUGUCAUAAACAACCGAAACUUACAUCAACUUUCCACGUUUUGUUCUCCACCUUCACCUGCAGGCAAAAGGCAAGAGAUGAUAAAACACAACAAACAGACAGAACAACGAUCACAAAGUUUCCCAGACAGAAGAAUAAACAUCAAGAUUCAAUACCUUAUCCGCACUGGGUCCAAACAUCUGCCGGAUAAGGGCCAUGACUAGGGUUUUCUUCCCAGAACCGGAGGGGCCAUAAAAGAGCAAAUGAGGGCAGUCCUGUUCAUUAACCUAGGAGAAAAUUUAUGGAAAACCCACAUCAAAAAACGCCAAAUUGAAGUAUGAAAUAAGGAAUGCAAGGGAAAAAAAAAACAACGAAAACCAGUUACCAAUUUCUUGAGAUUCUGUGCUACAUCUUGGUGAACUGUGAUCUGGUCUAGGGUUUUUGGACGAUACUUGUCGACCCACAACAUCUUCUCCGGUCUAUGGAGAUUUGAGAGUGUGGAGAGAGAAAAAAGAAGUGUGAGUGAAAGAGAGAGCGAAGGUUUAGGCGAGGCUUGAAAUGGCGGGAAAAAGAAACAGAACUGAUGGUUGAUGAGGAGGGGGAAACGAAAUCCCCAGUAGUCGCACUCAACUUUGACCCUUUUUUUUGUUUUCUUUUUAAGAAAAAUUUUAAUUUAUACCCUCCAAUCUGAUUUGUUUUUUUAGUACUUAUGUUAUAAUAGUUGUAGUUUGUAAUCAUAUUUUAUUUCAUACGAGAUUAUCCUUAGAUCUUCAUAGAUGAGGACAGCUCUUUAGUGCUAGCCCAAUAAGCCUAUCAUUUCAAGGGUAAGAUGUAAGACGAAGUUCAUUCUUAUCGGUUUUAGGGUUCGUAGAUAAGUUGUUUCCUUAAGGACUGAAUUCAAGUCUUGGGAAACGAAAUCCCCAGUAGUCGCACUCAACUUUGACCCUUUUUUUUGUUUUCUUUUUAAGAAAAAUUUUAAUUUAUACCCUCCAAUCUGAUUUGUUUUUUUUAGUACUUAUGUUAUAAAAGUUGUAGUUUGUAAUCAUAUUCUAUUUCAUACGAGAUUAUCCUUAGAUCUUCAUAGAUGAGGACAGCUCUUUAGUGCUAGCCCAAUAAGCCUAUCAUUUCAAGGGUAAGAUGUAAGACGAAGUUCAUUCUUAUCGGUUUUAGGGUUCGUAGAUAAGUUGUUUCCUUAAGGACUGAAUUCAAGUCUUAAACAAGGGGCUCCACCCUCUCAUUGGCCUAAGAGGGAUUCGGCUUAUAGGUUGAACCUUAAACCAAGUGUUCGAUAGUGAAUCAGUAGAACUUAUGGAGCAAGAUGUAGUCUCAUGGAUAAAACGGUAUUUUGAGCCAACUGAGGUUACGAACGACCUGUGAAAGAUUGACUUAAUGAUCAUAGUUUUAUCAAAUGGACACAAAUAUAUCUAUAGUAAGGGGAGUGCAACUACGAGACUUUAGUGGAAUGGUCUGUUAGUUAACGAAUGUUGAUUAACUCAAUCUAAAAGAGUUUAGCUAGUCAAUCUCGAAUCGUUGGAACUCAUGAUCUAUAGGUCCAUUAGGUUCCUCUGCUAGCUUUUAUGGAAUAAACUUAUAAUAGUAUGAUGGAAUAAGUCGAAUUGUUCAAAUUGAGAGAGGAGAAAGAAACCGACAAGUAUAUGGUGAUAUAGUCAUCGAAUUUUAGAAUAAGAGAUAAAGUUUUAUAUUUAAAUGAGAUUUAAAUAUUAAAGAUAUGAAUGCAAAUUGAUACUCAAAAGCUCGAAAAUGAUGGAAAUAGUCAAAAUUGUAAAAAAUCAAAAUGUUGAAAAGUCAAACUUUGACCGGCGAUAUAUUCAAAUGUGAUUUGAAUCUUGAGAAAAUAAAUGUGGAUUUGUGCUCGGGAGGUUGAAAUUAGUCAAGUUAGAUAAAAUUGUAAAAAGUCAAAAUGUUGACUUUUGGUUUGAAAAGUCAAAGUUUGAUUUUGUGCCAAAUGACAAUUUUGCCGUUUGACCAAAGUUAGUGGAAAAAUCCAACAUUUUGUUGAAUGAUCUCACUAACUAUAGUAGACUAAGUGUUAGCACACUACGAAGACAAUAAACCCACUAAUGGUUAGUGGGUUAUGUGUUGUUGGCGCAUGAGCUUACAUGCAUAUGAAACUUUGCAUGUGAUUUCUUUAUAAAAUGAGCUCUAUGGGUUUUGUUAAAAUCAGUUGGAUUUUUUAGUAUCAAAUAUGUCGGCUACUUCUUUUUCCUUUGUAAUUUUUUUUUAAAAAAAAAAACAAACCAAAUUUCAAGUCCAACCCUAUUCCUUCAUUUUUUUUCAUUAUUUUCUCUCUCAAUUUUCUUCAUCUAAUGGGUCCCACAACCCAGUUUUGAGUUUGAAGGAUAGUAGGUCAACUCUAGGGGUGGUGUAGGCAAAAAAAAAAAAAAAAAAUGAGAGCUUCGAAUGUAAGUUUUCUUAAAAACCCUAAUUUCAUUUUAUUUUUCGGUUUAGGGUUCCAUGUUAAUUAAGUGUAAUUAUGGUAGAAUUAUGAUCCGGUUUUGGCCGUCGUUUUUUUAUUUUCAUCGCGUGGUAUUAGAGCAUGUUUAAAUUUACCCAAUUGCAUGUGGUGGGUUCCAUUUUAUUAGAUAAAUUAUGGUUGAACUAAAAUGGAUAUAUUAUGAUUUUGGCCCUAAAUUAAGUGUUUUUCUAUAUUAAUUAUUGUAAUUGGCCAGAUUUUGUGGCUUAAUGAAUAUUGUGAAGGGUUUGUGUUUUUUUAAGAGUCGGUAGUGUUGAAUAUUAGGCUGUAAUUAUUUCACUGGGAGAGAGAAAAGUUGAUUUUUGAAGAAAUUUCAAAGACGGACUUAGAAAAGCCCUUAAGACCCAGUCUAGAUCCAUUAGGAACCCGACUAUAAAGUCGGCCCUCUUACACGUGCCCAACUAGACCCAGUUUGCGUGUCAUCUGACCCACAAGCAUGUCUGUCCUAGCUCACACCUCGCGCACGCAGCCCACAUGCGAGUCUAGUCUGACCCGCUCUGCGUACUUGUCAAAGCUAUUUCUUCGACCUGUGCGCGUCUAGUGGCCUACUUUGGUGGAUUGAGCUGGUUCAAGUCUAAUUGUUGGGUCUUAGCCGUUCAAGAUGGUUUUGGCCUGAUUCAGUGUAGAGUUGAUGUUUUUCCAGCCGGUUUGGGGUUGUUCGAGAGUGGUUUAUGUACUACAUCAAAUUAUUAAUGUAAUAAUUAAGAAUUUAAUUUAAUCUAGGGGUCAAAAUCAGUCUUUUUUAGGGUGUUUAUAAUUAAAUUAUGCAUGUGAUGUAUGUUUUAAUUAUUUUAAAUUUGUAUGUACAUAUUGUAUGUCAUAUAGAUAUAAAAUCCCACCAUGUUAUAAUGUUUAUAAUAUAUAGUACGCAUGUUAGUUAAUUAAUUAAUUAAUCUAAUUAAUUUUGAUUAAAUUUGAUUUAAUGAAUAAUUUUUUAUUUAUUUAACAUAACUAAUAUGAUUUAAUUAAAUGAUAAAUAAAUUAAAUUCUAUAUUAAUUAAUUAGUUUUAUAUAAUUGUUAUAUAUGGUUGUUAGAUGUGUGUCAUAGAUUAGUAUAACAAAGAUACGUUGCAUGCUUACCUAGGUUAAACAUAUCUUCCAAUCUUUUCAUAGAAAUAGGUCGAUAUCUUGUAAAUCCGAUUACAAGAUGCUCACCUGAUUCGAUCUUGUCAACAAGUCAGAUAAGAUGGCUAAGGUUGGAGGUUCUUAAGUUGACGGUUUAUAAAACACCCCUUACCUGGAGAUUGUAAUAAGUUCCUGAGCCUAGUUAACCUAGUUUUAUGAGCAUGCAUGAGAGAUUUGAGGUAAUAAAAAUUGGUUAUGGCCUAGACAUUGUAGGUUAAAAUCCGCUAUAAAGGUUAUGCUCAAUGUUUUUCUAGACUUAUGAUUUGUUUAAGUUAGCUUAAAUAUAAAUCCCAAAGUCUUAAAUUACUCUUAGAAACCGUUAUAGAACACUUCAGCUAGAGAGAAGUAAUGUACUUUUAGCACUAACGUCCCUAAGAGUUCACACGGUGAGUUCCAUGUAGGGCUUUGGGUUGUGUAUAGGAGCAAACUCCCUUCGGAGAAUGUUUGUAUGGAUCAAUAUCAAGGUGAAUAGGGGAAGUAGUUCAUAGUAAGUGAGAGAGAGAUAUGUGACAACACAUCCCACGAUCUCUUUCAUUAGGUGGCACUGUGAGAUUCCUAUAAUGCACAUGCUUGUCUGCCUUAGAGCGAUGUUCCCUUCGGAGGGUGGUAUUAUAGGAUUCAGAACAUCACAAACUUCAAAUAUGGAUAAAUUUUCUUAGAUCAGUUUUCAUAUUGACUUUCCACUUACGGAAGCAUGUUGAUUUUGAUCUAUGAGAUCCGAAAAUGACAGGUUACACUCACAAGAAUUACUAAGUUGUUAGUACAUUCUUGACCAAAGUAGCGAUAACUAAGUCCUAUAAAGAAUAAACAAUUAUUCUAGAGUUAGCAUCUAAGCAAGAUUGUCUUGGUUCAAAGGAGGAAGUAAUCCACUACUCUUUGAUGGAGGUUGUUCUAAGGGAAAUUGCAUUAGAUGAUAAAAAAAUUUAGAAAAAAACUGUUCAUAACAUCUCUUUUUUGCAUAUUGCAAAUUUGACAAAUAUGAGGUAAUCUGCUUUUAAAUUUGCUGUUUUUGUAAUUUUGAAAAUGUAAGUGACAUGGACUCUAUUAUCAUAAACUUUUUUACUAUUUUUACAAACUCUCCUUAUUCUAAACCUUUGAAAUAUCGUUACGAAAUACAAAUAAUUAAGUCUCCUGAGGUGAGGUCUUGAACUUUCUGUUCGUAUAACUUAGUCCUUGCAACCCUUCAACAAAACUAAAGAUUUUGUCAUUUUCGGUCAUAUCAGAUAUAUCUAACAUCAGCCCCGCAAAUUGCUUCACAUACUUCUGAAUGGUUCCAGUGUGUUUUAAUUCCCGCAGUUUUCGACGAGCCAAAAUCUCGACAUUCUUAGAGAAAAACUAUGAGCGAAGUUCUCUCUUCAAAAUCUCCCAAGUAUCUAUGGUGCAACGUCCUUCCUGAAUGUCCACAUACUGGGAUCUCCGCCACAAGUUUGCAUCUUCAGAUAGAUGCAUGAUCGUCAAUGUCACUUUGGCUUCUUCCAUAUUAGUAUUCAUGGCUUUGAAAUACUACUCAAGUCGAAGAUAAAGUUUUUCACCCAAACAAUGGGAUGCACUCAUACACCCAAACUAGAAGAACAUAUGGAAAUCCUACGAUCCUGACAACUAGGGUAGUGACUUUUUUAAAGGAGUCAAUGGUGAUGUGACAUGCUAUUCUUCCCCAAGGAUAGUUAUCAAAAUGACCCUCAUCAUCCAACAAUUUAUUAUGAUCCACAUCUACCCCUGUUGUUAUUUGUUUCCCUAGCAAAAAGUUCGACAAAAAAAAAUGUAAAGUUUUGUCAUUUCGUUAAACAAGUAAGACACAAAUGACCUUGGUAUAGACUCUCUAGUAUUAAAGUACUUACCAAAGAAUCUACCCUUUAGCUUCUUCAUGUCUAAUUUUGGCAAUACCCCACAAUUUAGACCAAUUAUUUGUUUUGAACUCCCUAAUUCUCAAAUGAACAAUUUCCUCCCUCAAAAUUAAACCAAAACUCAUAGUCUUUUGUAAGGCUACAUUGCCUUCUAAUUAGGUGAUACGAGAGCUGGCUGGAGAAUUUUUUUACUUUAAGUUAUAGGGAACUUCCAACAGGUAAUUCCUUAAAUCUUCCUAGUUUUUCAUCCAUCGGUCUUCUUUCUAUGUUAUUUAAAACAUCAAAUCUAGCGUAAAUACUAAGCUUAUGUACUUUAUACCAUUUAUUUCGUUUUAAAAUCAACAAAGCAACCUGCAAACAUAGAGAUAAAAUCACAUUGCAAUCUAUACAUACUCAAUAUAUUAGUCAUGUUAUAUGGUAUAUCAUUCGGUAUAUUCAUAUAUUGUUGGGUAUACUUCAUACACAUCGUCCCUUCUCAGUUUGUUUCUAAACACCUAAUUAGAUUUUGUUAGUGCAACUUUCUUCUUUGUUUUAGCUUCAUGAAUGAAGAAGUUUUUAAGUAUUUGAACAUAUGAAAUAUGAAAAUCCCAAAUUAUUUGAACAUAGAUACUAAAAUCUUAGACCAUUGGAUAAUAGACUAACAUAGAUAUCCCAUACAAAAUCCAUAAGUACCACAUUUUCUUUAAAAAUUUCACGAGUAAAAAUUAAAUAUUAUUUCAACCUUCAUUCUACUAGUUCAAAACAAGCAUUUAUCCCGCUUGUACUAUUUUCAUUCAUAAAAAAAUGUGCAAGAAACCACAUGCAUGUUGGUUCCAUAUAAAAAGAUAGUUCCACAGAACACAUUGUCUUGUUUGAACCCUAAAAUAAGUUUAAAAAACAUAUCGAUUUUAGUUUCAUACCAAAUGUUCUGUAAUAUACACAAUAUACCCUAAGAAGUUUAGUGAAGAACAAACAUAAAUUACUUAUCGAAACAGUAUUUGGCAGUAGAAAAUUUUCCUUUCUACCCGUCCUCGUUCGACGAAACCUUAGAUUUCUUACACAAAAAUUGAAAAUGCAUCAACAACCGAUUUUGUUCCAUAACACUUGCGGUUUUCAAAGGUUGCUUGAAGAUCGUUCCAUAAAGCUUGCAGUUUUCGAAUGUUGCUUGAAGAAGGAAGGUUAUGGGACAUGUUUUGAAAAUAAAACGGAUAUCCACCUUUUGUGUAUUUUUCUUACUUCUCAUUUACCUUAUUACUAUUUUUAAUAAUAUUAAUAAGAAUGAUGGAUACUUUUGGUCACUUAAAUGGUAUUCUUAUGUCCAACGUGUACUUAAACAUACUAAUUUAGGCCAUACGAGUUAAAACCCCAAAUAAAAAAAACCAAAAUUAUUCUAUGUAAAAUUUAAGUCUACAGUUAAAUUCAUUCAAUGUAUUAACAAUAAACAAAAUGUAACUUAAUCCAUCCUGUAUGAUUUGAGUUGUUAACAUUCUCUUAAAAUUCUCUUGAAGAAGAUGGGAUGGGAUGGGAUGGGAUGGGAUGGGAUGGGACAGUAUGGUGUAGAUGGAGUCCUUUUUUUGGAUCGGAUAAUAAUAAUAAUAACGACAAUGGCUUCCUAAAAUUCAUUCACCAAUUUGCCCUCUAUAAUUCGUUAACAACAACGAGAGAAAAUUGCCCAAUCUUCAAGUUCACCCCUAGCCUGUAAGCAUCGAACUGAGUCAUUGUAUUGGCGAUUUCCUCGAGAACUACUUCAAUUACAGCUCCAAUUUCCACUUUGAAGCCCAAUUUCAUCGCAGAUUUCCUUCUUUCGUAAGCAAUGGAUUCAGCUACUUUAACCAUGUCAUCGUCUGUCAUUUUGCGUAAUUCAUCGCUGAAAUUACUUGUCAUUAGAAAGAUUCAACCCCCGUUGUGUUUCAAAAGGAACAAGUUCUCCAAGAUCUCCGCGCUCUAUCCCAAUGGCUCUGCUUCUGGGGUUGGUACUUUUCAAAUUUCUUACGUGAUUCUAUUUUCUGUUUUCUGGGUAUUACUUGAAAGCUAUUUAUUCAAUGAAUGGGUUUAUUGUACAUUCAUUUUUGUGCAUUUGAAGGUGUUUGGUUGUUUGCUGCAUACGUAGGAAUAUAAUUGGGUCUUUUCGGCUAUGUUUUUCUGAUGGAGGCUGAGCAUUUUGGUUUAAAGUUACUGCUUCGUUGUGUUUUUUCUUCUUAUUCUUAUUAUAUUUUCAUUCAGUCUAAACUUGACAAGGUUUAAUGAGAAAGGGUAGAGCAUCUUUUUGAUAAAAGACGGACUUUCGAUGAGAAAAGAAUGAAAGAACACGCAGACAUGCAAAAGAAACCAAGGCUAGGAAAGGAAACAUCCUAGAAAAGGAUCUCCAAUCUAACAAAAAUAAGGCCUAACGAAUAAUUACAGAAGGAACUCAUCAUCGAUGCUGAGAGAGAAGCGUUAAACUUUAGCACUUUGCCAAGGUCCAAACGUUGAAAGGUUCCCUUGGAUUUUCGAAUCACCUAUAUCCCUAUCUUAUAUCCAAUAAAAAACAUGAGGGCUAUACUUAUAAUAAUCUGAGACCAUAAGGAUGAGGAUUCAUGGUAAAACAUAGAUCUCCCACAUGUGAUAAUGGGGUCUUUAUAUAACUAUUGUUUGUUUGAUGUUUAAAUUGUAGAAGCUCUCAUUGCAUAUUUUGAAAAAGAACCGUGUUUUUUUUUUUUGCAGUGGUAGGCACCAUGGCUCGUUACCUGUUGAAUUGGCAUAAUUGUUCGAAACUUGCUAGAGCAUUUCACAAAUAAUAUUUUAUGACAUUUGCAUUUCGCAAUGUAACUAUACGUCAAGAAGCUCUUUAAACUUUUUUGGCUUAUUCUUUCAUACGCUUUGUGAUUGUGUAUGGAAUCAUUUGCUUGCAUCUUGCGACUACAGUUCUGCAUUCAUAGUUUCCAUAUAAUAUGUCUUUGAAAAUAUUCUGUGUGUAGCAGGGGGAUUCUUCAGCUGCAGAUGUUCAUAGACGACGAAGUUCUUUUGAAUCUUUGUUUUGUUAUGACAAGGCUAUCCCAGAGGAAAGAAUUGAGACGCCUAUUGGAAUAUCUCUGGCAGAGAAAAUGAUUGGAAACAAUCCCCGUUGCACUGAUUGUCAAGCCAAAGGUGCUGUUCUUUGUGCAACUUGCUCUGGCUCGGGCUUGUAUGUCGACUCAAUAUUGGAGAGCCAGGGAAUAAUUGUGAAAGUUCGUUGUCUAGGUAAAAUUGUAUUCCUUCUUAACUAUUAGUAGCAACAUUUAGGAGUGGUUCAAAUUAUGGAUAUUUUUUUAAAUGGAGUCCUGUUUUGUAAUUUUCUUGUGUUUUCCCGUAUUUUUUCUGUUGCUCUUUUGGCUCCUUUUGGUUCAUGCCUCCUCUUUUUGUAGGUCUCUUUUUGGCUUUCGUGUUUAUCUUCUUUCCUUUAUUCUCAAAUGAAAGUCGUUUUCUUCUCCAGAAUGGAACUUUUUAUUUUGACCCUGCUAGAUUGUUACUUAUCUAGUGGCCAUUAUGGUUUAACAUGAAAGCAGAAAGAAGUCAACAAGAUACCAAAUGUACUUUUCGUGUAGUCAUUUCCAUAUAACUUGGAAAUUUUUAAGAAAUCGAUGCUGGAAUCUGCAGAAGCUUUUGAAUUGAUUAGGCUUUUUUCUAUCCUGUGCAUUUGAUUCAAUAAUUAUACUUCUUGAAAAGGGGAAUUUUUUGUUUCAUCACUGUCAGUCAUCUGUACUCUAAGUUGUCCAUGUUUGUGAUAUAUAAUUAAAUUUGCUUUCAACCACUAGCUUAAGCUUUUAGAUGAAUUGGUGGUUUAAUAGUCCGUUAACUCAUUGAAAAGUUAUUGUCCUAACUCUGCAAUCAUCUUCUUGUAGGUUGUGGUGGAACUGGCAAUAUCAUGUGUUCAGAAUGCGGUGGUCGAGGUCACCUGGGAUCUAAAUAAGUUGUGAAGACUCCUUUCUGAAGGAUUCAUCUUGAACUGUCCCCAGCUGUAAUAUUGGGCAUGGCUUAUGUGUUGAUGAUGGGAUAUAUUAAUCUUGCAAUUCAGUGAAGAUCGAUAGAGUUAAUUUUGAUUUAGGCAGUUUGUGGGAUAUCCUUACCAUAUUUCAGUUCAAUUUUGGUUUAGCUCAAAUUACUCCCCAGUGUUCUCUUCCGGCAACAUUUGUACUUGUAACUUUGUUUGUCAAAUCGACGCAACUUGUAACAGAAAGUUGUGGAAUGUAUGAACUAUGAUGUCAGAAUACAUGAACUACAAGGAUUUUUUUUUCACAAUUACUGGUAUCUCUUUGUUCUUUUAUUCUUUUUAGUAGUUAUCAAGCUUUGAAGCUUUAUUAUAUGUUUGAACAAAAAAUCUACCCUGAAUUUUUCUCUAACUUCUGCUCAAGAAAGCCAAAAGAACAAGAUUUGUAGGGAAGGGGGGAAGAAAGAAGAAUAAAGCCGGCAUUUAUGUUUCAGUGGGCUCCACGAAAGGCUUCUGUUUUUUAGGCCAGUCUCUUACUAAAACUUGAGGAAUGGUCUAAAUCUGCUUCUUCACUUGUUUUCAAGUUUUGUGGUUGAUUAAACUGCGAUCUCCGCUGAAGGCGUUGAAUCUGAUCAGGCACGGUGGAGUCAUAUCGAGGAUUCUGGGGAUUCUCUGCAUAGGCCACGUAAUAGGCAGAAACACAUGCUUGCGGCCAUGCCAUUGCUAUUCGACACUGCAACAACAACCAUGAGCAUUGUCAUCCAGAAGUUAAACUCCUCUCAGGUAUUAUACUAAAUUCAGUUAAAGUUCAGAAAAGCCAUUUUUAUAGUCGAUAAUAUUUUAGCUCGUUACCAGAAAAUAGCCAAUUAGGAAGGCAUAGAUUGCUAAUUCUGUUGCGUAGUUCUUGUGUAUUACAAGUGUCCAGAUCCCACUUAUAAUGCUGCAGAUUGCACCACUUGAAACCCCACAGAGAACGCAGAAGGACACGGUGAGAUCAGAAUGUAUAACAAUUUCCAACUCUGCCCUUUUGAAUGCUUCCCAGGUAUCAUAGGAAGCCUGCACAAUCCCUUUAUUGAAAACUCCGACGUGGACGAAACCCCACCUAUUUCCAUGGCUUCUCAGCAACGAAGCCAAUCCCGAGCAGCAGUUUGCACAGGAGAAAAGGAACUCAUCUGAGUCUCCUGCUACCAGCCUCAUGGAACGUGCAGAUCCCUGAAUGAAGCUAAAAAGGGGGAUGAUGGCUGAGCCAAGAGAAAUAGUUCCAACUGAAUUCUUUAUUAUGUCGUGGAAAGCUGCUCCUAUGUCCUUUUCGCUACCCUCAGCCAAAUUCAAGUACUUUAUGCAUGAGAUUGUAACUUGCACUAUGUUCUUGAUGACCUGCAGACUCCAGCUUAGGAUCAACAGUAUUGCUGCCACGAACAAUGCUGUAAAAUCAGACCUAAGAGCAAUUGCUCCACCGAUACCAAUGACCAAGAAAGAUGCAUAAAGAAUGCCAAUGAUGAUUGAUCCAAAAACAAAGAUUGAGGUGUUCUUCGGAGGAUAUUUAGUAGAAAGUGAUAGAAGUCGAAUUGCGUAAUUCAAACGGUGAUUGAUCCAACAGACAUAUACCGACAGAAUCAAGGAACAAACUAUGAGAAUCACUCCUGCUGCUAAACCACCACGAGAUCCAACAAUGACAAAGAAAACGCCAGAAGCGAGAGAUAGAACAGGGCUGAACCAGAAGGCUGUCUUCAAAGCCAUAGAAGGAGAACAACCGGUGAAGGCCUGCCAUGAAAAGCCAAUGAUUCCAGAGCUUCCAGUAGAAGCCAACAAUGGAGGGUACCACUUUCUUGGGUGAAAAUGAUGUGUUUUAGAAGCUGCCUGAAGUCCCCGAACUGUCAGAUAGAUUACCAACACAGCUACCAGCCAUAGAUGGACAACUAAAAUUAUGUGUGAAAGCCUCCUGAAAAUUCUCCAUCCUACGGCAGGCUCGUUCAGACGGAUGGGUUCUUGAACCUGCAACAACAACCAACAAGAUUCAUCCAUAUACAUGUACGUCAACCUCCAUAGACCAAAAUGAAUCUGAAUUGACCUGAAAAUGAAAAUGAUUUCUUGAGAAAAAAAGAAACCAACCAACCUUGUUAGGAGUUGAAGAUGAAACCCUUAUUUGUUGAACUUGUAGGGAUUGAUUCUGCAAUACAUUUGGUGGUGUUCGGGUUUCCAUUUUUUCACUACAGGAAGAAACCAGUUCCUAAAAUUCAUAAAAAAAAAAAAAAAAAAAAAAAACAGAAGCAGUUCGUAGAACCUUUGAUGUGUUCUUGAAGUGCUUUGGAUUGGUUGAUGAAUAAGUAAUGUGCUUGAAAAUCCUUGGCCUGCAAGAUUCAACAUAAAAAACUCAAUGCUCUUGAGAUUUGAACUUUUCCAAGUCUUGUUAAACUAAUCAUUUCUUGGAAAUCUGUGUGUAUAUAUAAAAAUGUAUCUGGAAUUGAAUAAUUUUGGGUCAAAAUGGUUGUUGGUUGCUGGUGUGAUGACGUGGCAGCAUGAGGGGAUGGUGACAUGGAGCAAUGGGUUUCUUCUUGGUUUGUCUUAGGUUAUCAUCCUUGUGAUCCACCUCUCUCUUCAUAAAGAAAAACGGUAUUUGCUUUCUUGCUUUUAAAGUCAGUUCUUUUUUCUUUUCUCUUUUUCUUUUUUUUUCUUUUUCCUUUUUCCUUUUUCUUUCUCUCAAUCAACUCAAUGUUGAACAACUUAACUAAAAUAUUUUUCUUUUCUUCUUUUUUGUUAUUUACUUUCUAAAGUAGAAUCCUAUGUUUUUGAAAAGAAAUGCACUGUUUUUAGAAUCCAUUUAUAGUUUAUAUUUUUAAUUUCAACUCACUAUAUAUAUAUAUAAGUAAUUUACAGUUUUGCCUUCCAACUUCAAUAAUUUAAAGUUUAAUAUUAAAAGACAAACACCCUUUCAUGUUAAUGAUUGUGAACCAAAGAUGGCUUCCCAAGUUUUGUCAACUCUUUUCUUUCUUUUAUUUAUUUCUCGAUAUUAAAUUUUCAAUUUUACAAAUGUAUCAAUAGAAUAUCAAUAUUGAAAAUUAAUUUUGUAAAUUAAAAAUUUAGGCAAUUUUAACACACUCCAUUAUAUAAGUUUUAUUUGGACAAACAAAUAUACGAAUUUUAUAAUUUUAUCAGUAGAAUCCCCAAACUUUUAUGAUUGAAUUAAUUUAAAUUUUCAAUUAAGACUUUAUUUAAAGUAUCCUAAUUGAAUUGCAUUUUGAGAAACUUAUUAUUGGUGUGUAUCUAUCUUGCUAUGUUGACGCAAUUUUAGGCCUAGAUUUGAAUUAGGUUAAAGGGAUGGGAAGUGGCUCGUGGCAACCAGGUUGGUGGGACUUGCCGUGUGCUCUUUCUCAUAUUCUAAAGCUGGAAAUUGGAAUGUGGAAACUCUCAAUUCUUUUUCAUGCCUUCAGAAUCAUCCAACUUCCCAAAACGUCUCACUUUCCUUACCCUUACUUUGCUUUUCAAAGUAAACCAACAUUUACUUUAUAAGUAUGAUAAAAAUUACUUUUCUAGACCCGCUUUACCUAAGUGGUAAUUUCACGUAAAUUUUCAUUUCAUCUCUCUCUCCACCGUUGUUGUACUAAAACAUCUUUAGAAAAUACAUAGCAUUUGGAUUUUCAAAUUUACAAACUUGGUAAUGUUCUUGUCCUCUGUUUUUUAAAACAAGAAACAAAGAUGUAUUUGAUAACUGUUUUUGGUUUUUGGUUUCUUGUUUCUUGAAAAACAGAAAUAGAAAACGUGUUUGAUGAUAGCUGUUUCUUAUUUCUUGUUUUCUUAAUAAUGUCCUACAUUAAAUAUAUGUUGACUUACGUCUGAUUGAUAUACGUCGAUGGUUAACCACUCAUUUCUCUUAAAUCUACCUUGAUAACUUUAUCAAACGAAAAUAUAUCUACCGUUAACUACUCCUUUCUCUAAAAUCUACAUCACUAACUUUAACGAUAUUUACCAAUAAUAAAUCAUUUUUGGAUUUUAACAAUAUUUUGUCGUUUGCAUAAGUUCUCGUUCUAAACAUUUAUCAUUACCUUGUAUAUGAGAUUGGAAUGGGAAGAAUGAAACUUUCUAUAAAAUUUGAGAUGAAAAAGGUCUUUAAUCCAUUUUUAUCCUAUAUAAUCCUUACAAAUAUUUAUAGGAAAAAUAUUAUAUAAAAGAACAAAGAACAAAGAACCCAUAAAGAAAGUUAAAAUUUUUGAAUUUGUAAAAAAUGAUGGUAUAUUUCAAAAUUUAAAAUUUAUGGUUCAAGAUUACAUUUUUUUAAGGUCUUGAAGUCACCAAACAAACAAAAGAAAAACAAAUAGAGCAAAAUUCUCAUUUAAUUCCUUUGUUUCUGUCUUGUUGAACAUUUCAAAUGUACAAUGAAAGCUUCAACUCUUUCAUUCAAUUCCUCUUCUUCUUCUGCUUCUUCAAUUCCAAUUCCAAAGUUCAUAAUUUCACACAACAACCUAAUCAAACCACCAACCAAGGAGAAUACUAUCGAUAUAGAUUUAUUUUAAAUAUGUGGAACUUAAAUGUGCAAAGGAUGCCCACAAAAUGAUGGGAGGUAAAAAUUGGCUAAGCACAAUAAACUACAAAAACUGUUGUAAAAAUUUCGUUGAUGACGAUCAAAAUAACUUGCUGCGUCGUGAAGAAUCACUGUCCGAAAAGAAAAAUUUGGCGAUCUUAAUGCCGGUUGCUUCUCAAGUUUAACAUAACUCCCUACUUCAGACGUGCACUCAUCGAAAAUAGGAAUAGAAACGAUGAAGGAUUGCUUAGAACUUUGUAUCGGUAGGGAGGAUGAUGUAGAGAGAAAGGUAGAUAUGAGAGGUUUUGUUGAAUGAAAAUGAAGCGGAGGAGGGCUCUAUUUAUAAUGGAGUCCCCCUCAACUGCCAUAUGAAAUUUCCUCAAAAGAAAGGCGAGGAGGAAAGAUCGAUAGCGGCGUGAAGCGUGGAAGACCGACUAUUCGGGACGACUAGAGAAGUGUCUCGAACUGCGACUCAUGGCAAAGCUUUCGUCACUGAGUGAGACAUGGCGGGCACUUGGGAAAAAAAAACUAUUCGGAUGAGUAUCAAAAAAUACAUCCUUGCGCAAGGGUGGUUGUCCGAGCCCUUUCACAAUAAUUGAUGGAUUAAGGUUCCAUGAGAAUUUCACAAAUUCUCACUUUUCUUCUUCUUUGUUAUUCUUUAAAAGAGAAAUUCUCUUUCUCUUCCUUCCAAACUUUAGAAUAUUAGAAACUCCCACGGAACCUUUUAUUUUAUUUUUCCUUUUUUUGACUGAUUUCAUCUUUCUUUUUCUUUGUUUUCUAAACUUUAUGAUGGUUUUCUUUCCAUUUCUCACUAAUGAAUUUAAACAUUUUGUUAAAUAAAUACUCCAAUUCUAAACAUAAUACUAACUUUUUGUUUGUGUUCUCAAACACUAUCUUCACUUUUUUAAAUUGCUAGUACAAAGUGGAUAACAUAAGUUUAUUUUCAAAAAUCAAAUAUUUAUUUAAACACAUCGCUAUUAUUUAUAAUCAUUUCUAAAUUUUUUAUAAGAAACCUUCGAGCAUUGGAUCUAAGAAUCAUGUUAAACAACAAGACUCAAAGAAUAACAACCCAACAGCCGCAAAACCAAUUUGAUUUCAACCCCUAACAAACCAAAGAUUGGACAACCUUACUUGAAUACUCUAAACACUCUCUUCAAAACACUCCACAAGUAAGACUCAUCAAUCCUUACUUAAAUGCUCUAAAUAUUCAUGCAUUCUAUCACAAGAACAAAUUUCUACGUUCUAGAGUUUUCAGAUUUCAUUCAUCAUUUUUUUUUUUAAAUAUGAAAAUUACAAUCUUAUUUAUACUAAUUAAAAUAUGAAAUAAAAGUUCGCAACAUUUAAUUUUAUGUCCUUUCAACUACCAUAAUAAAUGAAAACACAUAAAUACAUAAAUGCAUAAUUCCUUAAACAUUUAAUUUUAUUACUUUUGAGUUACCCAAAUAUCUCUUCAACUUUCAAGCAUUGCAACCCUUCAACUUUCAACUUCUUCAUUGAUUCAAUUAUGAUUUCUUGAUUCAGAUCAAUUUUGGUUCUGAUGGGUGCAUUUGUAGCUUUCACUUAGCUUCAUGGAUGAAUCUAUGGAUCACUCUCGUACUAUUUGUAUGUGCUAAAAUGCUAUUUGGCUUAGUAUGGAUCAAUUAUGAGAGAAAAGAAAAGGAAACGAUUAGGGUUUUAUUUUUUUGCACUAAUCCUUAAGGUGCCAAUCACAUUCCUUUUAAGAAAAGGAAGGAAAGCUAAAUAAUCAAUAUUAAAUUCAAUUCUCAAAAGAUUUAGAUGUUGGAAUAAAUGGUUAUGAUUCUUCGUGAAUGGAUGUAUCAUGAGUGGAUGCAUCAUUUCAUGAAAAAUUGGAAUAAAUGGUUAUGACUCUUCAUGAAUGGAUGCAUCAUUUCAUGAAAAGUGUCGUUAACUAAAGGACAUGACUUUUUGGACUUUUUGAAUGGCCACAAAAAGUCUAUAAAUAAGUCAUUUUGGUUGAGAGAAAAGUACAUAGAAAAAAUCAUUUGUCUUUAAUAAACAAAUUUCUCUCCAUAUCUACAAUCUUGACGUUCGGUAGAUUCACAAGGUUUCGCUCGUAAAUCUUCUAUACAGGGUGCUACACUUAGAAGAAAGUUGAUCUGUUCUAUCCUGGGAGGCAAUUACUCUAAAUUCUCAAGCACUAGGGUGAGUAAAUUUGUCUUAAGGAUACAACGUGAAUUCGUUGAGCUCAGAUCUAUAUUUGUGUAUGAAUUUUCUAUUCACUGAUAAUAUACCUAGCAAUUGAUAAUCUAUAUAACAAUCUUAAGACAAAUUUAUAUUUCACACAUAUACAAAUUAGUUUGUUUUAUAUAUACAUAUUGUUUAGAUUUUUUUUUUUUAUCACAGUAAGCCUAUUAACUUGAAUGUGUUAAAUAUUUUUGGUUAUUCAAGUAUCUCAUUAAGAAAAUUAACUUGAUUGAUUUUAAUUAUUUCUUUUUGUUUCAAAUAUCAUAAUAAAUAUAUUAAUGGUAAGAUUUCAUCUUUAAUUAUUUGUUUAACUUUAUUUGUUUUGAAGAUAUGACUUCAACAAACUUUAAUUCUCCUGUAACUGGUGUUGCCCAUGGGGAGAAACCAGAAAAAUUUGGUGUGUGUUGAUUUCAAACGUUGGCAACAAAAAAUGUUGUUCUAUCUCACCACUUUAAAUUUGGCAAAGUUUCUCACCGAGGAUGCUCCCAUUUUACCUGAGGGAGAAUCUAACAAAGAAAAGCAACUUGCAGUUGAUGCAUGGAAACAUGCAGAAUAUCUUUGCAAGAAUUACAUUUUGAAUGGGUUAGAUAACACACUAUACAAUGUGUAUAGUAGUGUUGAUUCGGCCAAAAAUCUAUGGACUUCAUUAGAGAAGAAGUACAAAACUGAAGUUGCUGGUGCAAAGAAAUUUAUCGUUGGAAAAUUUCUGGAUUACAAAAUGGUGGACUCCAAAACUGUAAUCAGUCAGGUUCAGGAAAUCCAAGUAAUUCUACAUGAUAUACAUGUUGAGAAUAUGACUUUGAGUGAGUCUUUUCAGCUAGCAUCAAUAAUUGAAAAAUUGCCACCUCAUGGAAGGACUUCAAAAAUUAUCUCAAGCAUAAACACAAAGAGAUAAAACUUGAGGAACUUGCGAUCCGACUUGGGAUUGAAGAAAAUAAUAAAAAGGCAGAAAAGUGUACUAUGGAUAGUACAAUGGAUCCCAAGGCCAACAUUGUGGAAAAUAGACCACAAAGUAACAAGAAAAUGAAGUUUUCUAGGGAAGGUUCAAAUAACAAACCACGAUUCACAACAAAGUUCAAUGGCAAGUGUUACAACUGCAACAAAAUGGGACAUUAAUCAAAAGAUUGUCGUAAGCUAAAGAAUCUUCAGAAAAAACAUGCCCAAGCUCAUAUCACAGAAGUUGAUGAAGUAUCAGAUGGUGUUGCAGAUAUUGUCCUUUGUGCAGUCAUUUCAGAAUGCAACGUGGUGGGCAAUUCCAAGGAGUGGUGGGUAGACACUGGGGCUACUCGUCAUAUUUGUGCCAACAAGGAUAUGUUCACAUCAUAUGUGCCAGUUUCUAGUGGAGAACAACUAUUUAUGGGUAACUCCUCUACUACAAAGGUUGAGAGACAAGGCAAAGUGAUUCUUAAGAUGACCUCUGGCAAGGAACUCACUCUCAACAAUGUGCUUCAUGUUCCAGACAUUCACAAGAACUUAGUUUCUGGUUCAUUGCUUAGUAAAAAUGGCUUUAAGUUGAUCUUUGUAUCUUAUAAGUUUGUACUUUCCAAGAAUGAGAUGUACUUUGGAAAGGGUUAUUACUUGAGUGAUGGUCUAUUUAAAUUAAAUGUACUCACAGUUGUACCCAAAAGUAUUAUUAAUAAAGUAUAUACUUUUGCUUAUAUUGUUAUGUCAUUUGUUUGGCAUGGCAGAGACAUGUUAAUUUUAAUUCUUUGCGAAGACUAAUUAAUAUGAACUUGAUUCCAAAAUUCACUUUUGACACAAAUCAUUGACGUGAGGUGUGUGUGGAAUCAAAGAUGACUAAAGCACCUUUUCGUUCAACUCAUAUAAUUACCAUACCUUUAGAGUUAAUUCAUAGUGAUAUUUGUGACUUGAAAUUUGUGCAAACUAGAGGUGGAAAAAAGUACUUUAUUACUUUUAUCGAUGAUAGCACAAGAUAUUGUUAUGUUUAUCUGCUAAAAAACAAAGAUGAGGCAAUUAAAGUGUUUAAGCUUUAUAAAAAAGAGGUUGGAAAUCAACUUAGCACAAAAAUUAAGGCAAUAAGAAGUGAUCGAGGUGGUGAAUAUGGUCCUCCUUUUGAACAAUUUUGUUCACAACAUGGCAUUAUUCACCAAACUACUACUCCUUACUCACCUCAAUCCAAUGGAAUUGUUGAAUGCAAAAAUCGAACACUUAAAGAAAUGAUGAACGCAAUGCUUAUAAGUUCAGGUUUACCCCAAAAUUUGUGGGGAGAAGCUUUGUUAACAACAAAUUAUUUAUUAAACAGAAUUCCUCAUAAGAAGUCACAAAAUAUUCCUUAUGAAAAAUGGAAAGGAAGAAAACCUUCAUAUAAAUUUUUAAAAGUAUGGGGGUGCCUAGCAAAGGUUGUCGUGCCUAAACCUAAAAUGGUUAAAAUUGGACCAAGAACUGUUGAUUGCAUAUUCAUUGGUUAUGCUAGUAACAGUUGUGCAUAUCGAUUUAUAGUUCAUAAAUUAGAUAUUUCAUAUAUACAUGUUAAUACAAUCAUGGAAUCAAGGAAUGCAACAUUCUUUGAGAAUAUUUUUCCUCAUAAAAUGUUUUGUGAAGCAAGGUUACAAAAAUGUUCGUUUGAUGCUAUAACGAGUGAAUCUCACAGUAGAUCAAAUGUUGAGUUAACGAACAAUGAGGAACCCCGACGAAGUAAAAGGAUGAGGAUCUCAAAAUCAUUUGGGCCUGAUUAUUUAACUUAGUUGUUAGAAAACGAACCUCAAACAUUUAAAGAGGCCAUGUCCUCUCCUGAAGCUCCAUAUUGGAAAGAGGCUGUGAAUAGUGAAAUUCAGUCCAUUAUGCAUAACCAUACUUGGGAACUAGUUGAUCUUCCAUUAGGAAGUAAACCACUUGGUUGCAAGUGGAUUUUCAAACGAAAAUUGAAGACCGAUGGGUCAAUAGAUAAAUAUAAAGCAAGACUUGUCGCUAAAGGUUACAAGCAAAAAGAAGGACUUGACUAUUUUGAUACAUACUCACCAGUUACUCGAAUUACUUCCAUUCGCAUGCUCAUAGCAAUAUCAGCUUUGCAUGGAUUUGAGAUACAUCAGAUGGAUGUCAAGACGACAUUUUCAAACGGUGAGUUAGAUGAAGAGAUCUACAUGCAACAACCCGAAGGGUUUGUUUCUUUAGGUUACGAAAAGAAAGUCUGCAAAUUAAUUAGGUCUCUUUAUGGACUAAAACAAGCACCGAAACAAUGGCAUGAAAAAUUUGACAGUGUAAUGAUGGUCAAUGGGUUUAAAAUCAAUGAAUGUGACAAAUGUGUAUAUGUCAAAAGCAAUGAGCAUGACUAUGUCAUUGUGUGCUUAUAUGUUGAUGAUAUGCUAAUUAUAGGUAGCAAUAUCAAUAUUAUUAAGAAAACCAAACAAAUGUUGGCCAAUAAAUUUGAGAUGAAAGACAUGGGUGUCGCAGAUGUUAUUCUAGGUAUCAAAAUUUCUAGAACCCCACAAGGGUUAGUGCUAUCCCAAUCACAUUAUAUUGAUAAAAUAUUGAAGAAAUAUAAAAAACAUGAAAUUGUGAUUGCAAAGACCCCAAUUGAUGGAAGUCUCCAUUUAAGUAAAAAUAAUGGAGAUAGUAUAGCACAAUUAGAAUACUCUCGCAUCAUUGGUAGUUCAGUACAUCAUGAGUUGUACACGUCCUGAUAUAGCGUAUGCGGUAAGCAAGUUAAGUCGUUAUACAGGUAAUCCAGGUCAUGAUCAUUGGAAAGCUAUCUUGAGAGUUUUGGGAUACUUAAAGCAUACUAAAAAUUAUGGAAUACACUAUACUCGAUAUCCUGUUGUACUUGAAGGCUAUAGUGAUGUCAAUUGGAUAUCGAGCACUAAAGACUCUAAAUCCACCAGUGGUUACAUUUUUACCCUUGGAGGCGGUGCUGUUUCUUGGAAAUCUUCCAAACAAACAUGUAUAGCACGAUCCACAAUGGAAUAUGAAUUUAUAGCCUUAGACAAGGCUGGAGAAGAAGCAGAAUGACUUCGAAAUUUUUUGGAAGAUAUUCCCAAUUGGUCUAAAUCAGUGCGUUCAAUAUGUAUACAUAGUGAUAGCCAGACAGCUAUUGGAAGGGCACAGAAUAUUAUGUAUAAUGGUAAGUCUCGACAUAUACGACGGAGACAUAAUACAAUCAGACAACUACUCUCUAGUGGAAUUAUCACAAUUGACUUUGUGAGGUCAAAAGAUAAUAUAGCGGAUCCACUUACUAAAGGCCUAACUAGGGAGUUGGUUGAAAAAUCAUAAAAAAGAAUGGGAUUAAAGCCUAUAAUAUGAAGUUAUCCAGAGAGGCAACCCAACCUAGUUGACUAGAGAUCCCAAGCACUGCAUUAAAAGAUUUUCCCAUUUUACGAAUGAUGAGGUAGUGCCAGUAUAGUUUUAGGGUAAGCUUUAUGCUUUUAGUGAUUUUUGUUAGUGAUAUUUAUUAACAAAAGAACAUAUACGAUGUUCUGUACAGGAAUCACCUAUGUGAGUGUGAAGGGGCCGCUUCUGUGAGAAUUUUUAAGGCAACAUUCUCUAAAACACUCAUGAGACCAGGCGGUGUUCAAGGCCAAAACGAACACAAACAUGAGAACAAACUUUGUUAUAAUGAGAAACUGUGUGAUAUCUAUUGUUUUAGUUUACUCUUGAACGGUUGACAUGAUCAUUAGAUUGGUAAUUAAACAUUUUAAUGAUAAUAAAAAGGUAAAAUCUUAAAAGGAUAGGUAGUGAAAAAAUUAAUUAUUGUUUCACACAGCCGAACUCGUUUGACGACGACAACAAUGUGCAUGUAAUGAAAAGGUUAUACCAUCAUUAUCAACACACUUUGGAAGCUCCUUCGUAAGUAUCUAUAUAUCGUUCAACACAAAAUCUUUGAACGUGGAACAACAACCAUCUUUUUUAUUUCAAAAUAAACCUUUUCUUUUUGGUACGGGGGCUUAAGUACAAAGUUAUUCCCAAAAGCAUUUACUUUUUUCAACCAUAGCCUCUAUUAGUGUUGUUAAUAAUGCUGAUGAAAUGUCAACAUAAUGGGUUUGAAAUAAAAAUGUGCUCCUAAGUUAAGCAAAGAUAUGAUAGACAACUCAAAUUUUGUUUAUUGUAAGUGGACAAAAUAGAAACAAUAAUACAUCAACCCAUUGUAAUGUUAAUGGAAUUUUUUUAGCAAGUCUAUGCAUAGUCAACCAAUUAUUUUAUUAAUGAUCCAACUUAACUUACUUCUAUUGUGACAAUUAAUCAAGGGCUAACAACAUAAAUGGCAAAAUAAAACAUUUCAUUUUGAAAAAUAUCAAAAAUUAAAUUAAAUUAAAUUAAAUUAGAAGAAUGACAAAGUCAUUUGUAGGGUUAUUAAUUAUGAAUUAAUAAUCUAUCAAAAUAUCCCUACUUUAAAUCCUAACCACCAAAUUUUCAUUAUAAUUAAAUUCACAUAAUUUUAAAUCCUAUUAAAAUAGUUACUCAUACAAAAUUUUAAAAUUCAAAUUGUAACUAUCAAAUCUUAAUUAUAUUGCUAAAUAAUUAUGAUUAAAAAAUCUAUUAAAUUACUAUUGGAAAAGCAUAAUAUUUCUUUUAUAAAAGAACUUAAAUUACGCUUAAAAAACAAAUUUGUUGGUGAAGAAUUCAUACUCUCAACAGUUCCAAAAUCAUGAGAAUGGUAAAGGGUGUAUUUUCAAAAAUAUUACUCGGUUCAAUUUGCAAUAAUUGAGUUUGGUUGAACAUGACAAACAACAUUUUAGCAAAUACUUUGUAUUCAGAAGGGAUUUGAAAUCUUAUAGUCUUUUCACUCAACCUCGUCGUAAAUGGAUGAUAAAUCUCAUAUCUUUCUAUCAAUUGAUAAUGUUGUAGAAACUUUACAUCUCAUAAUCAUCAACUUGCUUUCUUCCUCGAAUAUAUAUUCCCAAUUGAGAUUGCACAUUGAGCUUUAUGCUUGCCACUUUUUCUUGUGUAUGAAUUAUAUGAACUCAUGUCUUACUUUAGUCCAAAUCUUUCAAUGUUUAGAUAAUAAAUUUACAAACUCACACUUACGCUCGUGCUUUAUUUUCCAUUUUCAUCUUCGUUUCAUUCAUUUGUAGUCGGAUGUCCCUCCUUGAGAUUACAUGAGUCUUGCCUAUUAGGAUCAUUUGCAAACAGUACAUUACGCAUCAAACUUUUUAUCAAUUCCACCAAGCUUUUAAUUCAAUAUCUUCACAUUCACAAAUGAUUUCAAGUUUUGAAUCAAUUAAAUAUUCACUUAAUUAAUUUAUACGAAAAAAGAAUAGAUAUGAAUUCAAAUAUUAAAUUAUAAGAUGUGAAAAUUGUUUGAAUUUUAAAAUUUAAAUCUAAUAAGAUUUAUAUGGAUUUAGUUAUAAGGUAGAUGGAUAGUAAGUUUAUUGUUUUCGAUUGUAAUUGGAUUUUUUAAAUCACUAAGAACAUUAUUGGAUUAAAAAAAUAGUAGAACACAUGCAACAAAGUUAUUUACUAUAAAUCUUAUUAAUUUUUUGUUUUGACAUCCUUCAAAUACAACUCUAAGGAUGUAGGAUUUUGAUAAUACUAUUGUAUGAUAAUAUAUGUUUAUACACGAAUAUUUGUAUGUUUAAUUUACCAAAUUGUCGUAUUUUUUUAAAACAAGUUUGAUUAGUUUUGGUUGUACAUUUUCAAUGUCUUUUAUGCAAAUCAUUUUGUACUAAUAAAUUAUUUUUUAAAAAUUCGUAUUCUAACUUCAAUACACAAAUUAUAUUUAUUUAAUUUACAAAAUCAUUCUAGUUUCCAUAAAAACAAUUUAUAGUAAUUUCUUUAAAUACGACGUUCACUUUCAACAUUUCUUUUAAUGUUGGGUUGUUACGUGUGAAUAAAUUAUAUUUUUGUUUUUUUAAUUAAUAUUCUAAAUGUAAUACACAAAUUGCUAUAUUUAACAAUUGAUUUAAACCAAUGAUUGUCACCAUAAUUUCAUUCAAACAAAACUAUAUUUAUUUAUUAUUUUUUUAAAAAAAAUCAUAUUCUAACUCCAAUACAUAAAUUUCGUAUAUUUAAUUUACCAAAUCGUCAUAGUUUUCGUAAAACAAUUUGUAGUAAUUUCUUUAAAUACAACAUCCAUUUUCAACAUUUUUUACGUAAUCGUUACGUGAGAUUAAAUUAUUAAUUUUUUUAAUUCACAUUUUAAAUUCAACACACAAAUUUCAUAUAUUUAAUUUACCAAAUCGUCUUAGUUUUCGUAAUGUAGCAGCAAAAAAGAAUACGGGUCAAAUGGUGUAAUCACAAUAAAUUACUUGAUUCAAAAGUAAAAAAUAAAAAUAAAAAUUUUAAAUUUAUGUAAUUGUUGUAAAAAUUCUGUUGAUGACGAUCAAAAUAACUUGUUGCGUUGUGAUGAAUCACUGCCCUGAAAGCAAAAUUCAGUCAGACCGUGGUGCUAAUCUUAUUGUCGAUUGCUCCCCAAAGUUAACAUAAGUUCCUACUUCUGACGUGCACUCAUCGAAAAUAGAAAUAGAAACGAUGAAGGAUUGCUCAGAACUUUGUAUCUCCGUAGGGAGGAUGAUUUAGAGAGAAAGGUAGAGAUGAGAAGGUUUUGUCCAUAAAAAUGAACCGGAGGAUGACUCUAUUUAUAAUGGAGUCCCCCUUAACUGUCAUCUGAAAAUUCGUCAAAAAAAGGGCGUGGAGGAAAGAUCGGCAACGGCGUGAAGUGUAGAAAACCGGCUAUUCAAGACGACUGUAGAAGUGGCCCGAAUUGCAAUGCGUGGCAAAACUUUUACGACUGCAUCACUAAGUGACACAUGUCGGGCACUUAGGGGAACUAAAAAACUAUUCGGAUGAGUAUAAAAAAAAUACAUCCUUAUUCGCGCAAGCGCGGUUGCCCGAGCCCACCCAUCCGACCGUACAUAUAAGAAUAUUUUAGAAAUAUAAAUGAAAAAAAAUCUUUAUUAAUGAUCUUCUCCUAUAUAAUAAUUGGGAAAUAAAAUAUGAUUUUAUUAAUUAAGAGAUAACCGCGAGAAUGUCAAAUUUUAGUAUAACAAACUGAUACGGUGUAUUUGUCAAAUAUCACAUAGUCUCAUAUACGGUGGAUUUGUAAACUACAAUCAGUUUUGGAAAAUAUUAACUAAUUUAUGAUAUUUACGUGAUUGACAAAAAAAAUUCACUAUCCCCUAAAUAUAUGUUUAUAAUUCAUAACUAAUUUUUUUAUUUUUAGUAUUUAAAUUAAUUAACAUUUAUUUAUUUAAUUCAUAAAACUUAUGUUUAAUAAAUAUUUUCCCUACAAAAUUGUUAAAAGAUUUCCAACUAUUCCUCGUUCAUUAGAAUUCAUAGUAUUUUGAAUUGAAAUAUUAUUAAAUCUAGUCUUUAAAAUAAUAUAUAGUUAUUUUAAUUUAUAUUUCAAAUUAUACACAUACUUUGAUUGAUUUUUAUUAUAAAAAAAUUAAUUUAUUGUGUCUCUUUUAUUAAAACAGUGUAUUUUAAAAAUAAUAUUUAAAUUUGGUAAACUUUAACUAAAUUUGCUAUUUUGUUGCUAGACAAGAUUGCAACAACUUCCCUUAUAAUAAUGCAAAUAUAUAUACAAGAUUUUCAAAUUUAUUAUAUUUUAAACAAUUUAUUAAAUAAUACAUAAUAUAUAUUUUUAGUAACAAUUUGAAUUUAAAUUUUAGGAUUUAAUUAUGCCUCAAUCACAUUUUUGCAAUUAUUUAAAUCUUUUUCUUUUAGGUUUUAUUAGAGAAAACAAAAGGAGAUUGAAGAGGGGCAGCCGACAAGAGACAAACACAAUGUGAGAGAAAUUUUUUCUUGCAUACAAGAGAGAAGAACUCAAAUGAAUCUUGAAUGUAUGAAGAACUCACUUAUUAGAAUAAAAGAACUAACUGAUUUGAGUAGACGAACUCACCGAUGCGUAUCUUGCUAAGACGUAUAUAAGUUCAAAAUUUUAUGGUAUAAUUUCAUGAUUUCAUCUUUAUUAUAAUAUCAAUAAUGCCCCCCUUUUCAACUUCACUACUACAAAUUUGGUAUUUCUUGAUGCAAACAAAUUUUGAUUUCUUGAUGGUCAUGAAAAGAACCAUCGAGAAAAAUAUUUUUCUUGAUACAAUGUUUAUCUUGACGGUCAUGUACGUCAAGAAAAGUCUCAUUCUUUUGUUGAAGAAAUAUGAAAAAACGUAAAAAAAAAAACAAGGAUUCUUGAUUUUCUUGAUGGAUAAAGUUUCCUUAGUUUUGUUAACAGUCUACAAACGUCAAGAAAAUUAUUUCUUGAUAGACAAUAAACAUCAAGGAUAAUAUAUUAGUUGACUGGCAAUGUCUGUCAAGUUAAUUUGGUUUUCUUGAUGGACGAGACAUAUCAAGGGAUGAAUUUUCUUGAUUUGCAAUUACCAUCAUCGAAAAAAAUUAAUAUAUUUGUUUUGGAUUAAUUUCUUGAUGGACAAAUACCAAAAAAUGAUCAUGGACAAGGUCCAUUAAGAAAAACAAUAUGCCUAUCAAGAAAAAAAUGUAUAAUUUUUUAUUCAUUAUAAGAUCAUGAACAAUGUCUAUCCAGAAAAAUGAUAUCAUGAUGGACAUUGUCCAUCAAGAAAAAACUAUUUUGCACGAAUUUGAUUUAAAUAUUAAAAAUCCAAAAAUUUAUUAUGAAUUAUAGGCAUAUAUUUAGGAAAUAUUGGAGAAAUCUUGCCAAUCCCAAAAAUAUCAUAAAGUAGUUCAUAUUUUUCAAAAUUGGUUGGAGUUUGCAAAUACACUGUAUCUGUGACUGUAUGGUAUUUAGUCUCAUUAUUUGUAUCAUGUAAAUACACUGUAUCUGUAAAACAUAUAUUAUCCUACAUAAAAAGCUAUAAACACAUAUUAUACUUCUUGAUUCAGAUAUGCAUAGCAAGGAUGAUUGGAAAUAAAACGCCACAAACAAAAUAAAACGUCUAAUUAAAAUAAAUAUGAAUAUUAAUGUAAUUAAAAAACAAAAGGUGAAAAAAUAAUUAUCCGAUACAAGAGGCACAAUAAAUUAAUUUUUUUAAUAAAAAUCAACCAAUAUAAGUGUAUAAUCAUAAUUAACAUGAUUGUAGUGAUGAAAUAUAAUGACUUGGGAAUGGUUGAAAUUCUCAUAACCAUGUUUUAUAUUAACCAUACGUAUUAUUUGUUAUCUAAUAAUUUUUUUAAAAUAAUUUGAAAUAUAAAUCAUACAAAAAAUAUAGAAUUCAUGAUUGUCAUUGUUUUAGGGAUUAUAUUUCAUAAUAUUUGAAUUCAAAAUAUUAUGAAAUCUAAUGAAUAAGAAACGGUAGAAAAUCUUUUAGCAAUUUUUUAGGGGAAUCUUUAUUAAACAAUUUUUAUGAAUUAAAUAAAUAAAUGUUAAUUAAUUUGAUUGAAAUACUAAAAAUCCAAAAAUUUAUUAUUAAUUAUAGACAUAUAUUUAGAGGAUAUUGAGAAAAUCUUGUCAAUCCCAAAAAUAUCAUAGUUAAUAUUUUCCCAAACUGAUUGUAGUUUGCAAAUACAUUAUAUAUGAUAUUUGGCCUCAUUAAGCAAAAGUUAUGAAACGUACCUUGAAGGAAUAAUAUUAUCAAUGAUUUUAUGGUGUGAAUUAUAUAGUGUGAAAUAAAUAGAUAUUAUUAAAAAUAAUUUGUUAAGCAUUUGAUUUGAAGUGUACAUAUCCGAUAAUCUGUAUAAAUUGAAGGCAUGAAUCUAAUCUAUAUUGGUUAAAUGAGAUCAAUCUGAAACAUAAAUAUGGUGAAUGCCGUCGUGUGUACUACGUGAACUUUGGAGCAUGACAAAGGCAGAGGCGGGUAAUAAAGCAUAUUUAGGGUUUUCUACUUUUCAUUUUAUAUAUAAUAUAAUAUAUAUAUAUAAUAAUAAUCAUAAACCGGGUUUGGUUGGGUCAAUCCAACCAUUAAUAACCAGACCUGGUAACCCAAAUUUUUUUUUUUUUUAAUUAUCUAACUCAACUGAACCCUUGCAGUUUGGGUUGGGUAGUCCGGGGUAGUCGAGUUAUCGAAUUUUUUGAACACCCCUAUUUUGAGGUUAGUACUGUAUAGAUUCAAAACAUAUGAAACAUUAGGUAUAUUUUAGAUAUUCGAUUAAAUAGGCAGGCAAACGAAAAUACAUAUGAAUCAUUAGGUAUAUUUUAGAUAUUCAAUUAAAUAGGUAAACAAACAAAAAUACAUAUGAAACAUUAGGUUAUUUUAGAUAUUUGAUCAAAUAGACAAAAAACAAGAAAAAACAAAAAUGUAGUUUUGUGAUAUAGUGUAGGGUUUUUUGAGUUUCAACAUCACCAAAAUUCUUGCAUUGUGAUACAUUUUAGGGCAUAACGAAAACGUACUCUAUGGUUAUGUAACUUACAUUGUGAUUUAAUUUACAUAGGUAACAAAAACUUAUUGUGUUGAUUUAAAAUGCAUUAUGGUUUACAUAUAUUAUAUGGUAGUUAAUUUUAUAAAAUUUUAUUUAAAUGCAGUGUCGAAAAUGGUUAGAAAAAGUGAAAGAUGUCUUGGGUCGAGGAGUAGGACGGUUAAAUAAAACAAACAUGAUCCAAUCAUUAUUGAUGAUGCGAAGGUAUAUUUAACAUUAAUUGUUGCAAGAUGUUACUAUAUUGAUGCUCUAUAUGUAUAUUAUUUAUUCCAUAGGUAUAUACAUAAUCAUAAUCAGCAAACAGAAGCUGAGAAAAAUAAUACAAUUAUGUAAAACAUAAAUGUUUUAAAUAUAUAGCAUAAUAUAUUUUAUAUAUCAUUAUAAGAUUGACAUGAAUAAUCAAGCAAGAGAAAGAAAUUUUUGCUUACAAGCAAGCUGUGAAGAUGAGCAUGAAAACAGAAAUCAUAAAAAAUAAUGAGGUCACCCUUUAUAACAAAAUUUGGAUUCGCAAAGCCAAAUGAAGAAAAAUUAGAGCUCAAUAGUCAAUCAUUCGAAAGACCAAGUUUCAAAUUGAUAUCACAAGGACUUUAGGAAUUUGAAGUUGAAUAGAAUAGAUUUAAUGUCGAAGGUUAUCUGCAGAAGUAAAAAUUAGGUUUUUUGAAAACUUUACGCGUAAUUUAUGUUAUGAUGAAUGGUUAUGUUUCUAGUAUUAUGGAAACACUGAAACGUUAUAUGCAUAUACUUUUAAUAUGAUACAAUAUAUUAUAUUAUCGUGUUCAUUAUUCUAGAAAUUUUAUGAGAUAUUGGUUUAAUAGAGAUAAAAUAUUCACUAGAUAUAUUAUAAGUAUAUUUAGAAUAAGAAGGUGUACAUUACAAACAUAAAUGUUUAUGAUCAGUAAUGUUGUGUUUCAUGAGUAUAAGUUUUAGUCAUAUUGUGUAUUUUAAAACUAAAGGUUUAUGAUAAAUAAUAUAUGACGUUAGUAAAAUGAAUUAAAUUUUAUGAUGUUAUAGGAAUGUUAUUUAUUUUAAGAGGAACACAUAUGAUAUAUUCUUUGGUAUUUGUAUGAUAAAUUGUAUGAAUGGACAAAGCAUAUUAAAUAGUAAUUUUUUGCAGUAUAUUAUAAUAUGGUGUAUAUUAAAGAUCUAAAUUUCUUACCGUAAUAUGAAACACAAACAUUAAUGAUCGUAAACAAUGUUGUAAAUAAGAUGUGAUAUAUAUAUACUAAAUCACAUAACAAAACUAUAAUAGCUUACAUAUAUAUUAAAGUAUGUAUUGAUCAUUUAAAAUAUAUAUUAAGUGAUUGUACGUAUGUAUGAUACACUCACUGUAUAUUAGAGAUACAUUGAGAAUAUGUCGUUUACUACUGUUUUAGUAAUAUUUAUUAUAUAAACAUAAAAUUUAAACUAAUAUUCUGUCGAAAUUAAGUAGUUUAUAUGAUAAACAAAAUAACAAAAAAAAUUAACGAAUGGAAAAAUUAAGACGUCUUACAGUACAUAGUUAUAUAUGUGAUAUUGUAUAUAUGUAUAAACAAUAUCUAAGUAAAGUACGAAAUUUGAAGAAAACAAAAAUGAAAGUAAUUGAUGGAAAUUUGAAGAAAACAAAAACGAAAAUAAUUGAGGAAGACAAGUAAUCGAAAGUUUAAAGAAGACGCAAUUUCAAAAUAAACUGAAGAACGAUACUGAAAUCAGCAUAAUUGAUGAAAGAAACAACCGAAAUUGAAUUAUGAAGAAGUCGAAGUCCUCGACGUCGAAGUUUUUUUCACUUAGCGGGUGAUGAAAAUAAUGAGAUAAUGUUAUAUUUAAUUAUUAAAUUAUUCCAUAUUUAGACAAUAUUUAUUUUAUAUUGAAUUAAUAAAAUAUUUCUAAUUAAUUUCCAUAAUAAAGUUAUACAAGGUCAAAUAAGAAAGUUAUCAUUUAUUAUAAAUUGAGUAUAAUAUAAAUAAGGAAAUAAUUUGAAUUUAAUUUUAAAAAUUAUAUAUAAUUAAUAAUUAUGAUAAGGUUAUAAUUGUCAUAAAAAAAUGCAAAAACCUAAUAAAGGAAAUAAAUAACAAUUUAGGACGUUUGUGAAAUUUCCUAGUAAAUUUAGGUAUGUUGUCUAAAUAUUUCUUAUUACAACAUUCAGCAUUCCAAUUGUUGAAUUAUAUUUGUUCUCUAACUCUAUUAUAUUUGUAUUAUUGUAUUAUUUUAUUGAUUUUUUAUAUAUAUUUUAUUCAAUAAAUAUGAUUCACUUCUACCGUCAAUUUGUAUAUUAAACUCGUGAAAAUGUGAAUAGUAAUAAAAAUAUUGACAAAAAUGUAACAUCAUAAUCGUACAUGUAUCACACAUAUCAAACUUUCAAAUAACAUAUAGAGUGGAAAUUUAAAUAUAUGAAUUUAGUUGAUUUAUUUUGUUAUUUGAUAAAUACAUCCAUAUUUUUCUAUAGGAGAGUAUAUAAGUCAUGACAUAAAAAGAUAUAAUUCAUAAGAAUAUUAUAUGCAUGUUUUAUUUGUUAACUUAUAAUAAACAAAAAAAUAAAUAAAAAUAUUUGAUGCAAUGAUCGUUAUAAAUCCACCCCACCACACGAGUAAAAAGAAAUUAUUCUUUCAGAAAUGUUGACCCCACCACAUAAAUAAAAAGAAGUCAGAUAUCCACGAGAGUUGUUUGUUGUGAUCUCUAUCCUUAUACAUGUCAUAGGUAUUGGUAUUUAUCCAGAUUUUGUUUUCUCAUUGUCAGUUCACAAGGUCGAAGCUAUUUUAUCCAACUAUUUUGCUAGAUAGAUUUCAUAAAAAAAUGAAACACCAAUACUAUAAUAAUUUUUUUAAUAGUUAGUUGCACAAUAAAAAAAGAAGUUUUUUUUCUUAAGUUAAAUAAAAAAAUGAAUUGGACUUCUAAAGUAUUCAUUAAGAAACGUUGACGGAACAAUAAUUUAAUAAAAUAAAUAAAGAUAUUUAUUGUCUAAAAUAGGCACAUAGGUAUUUUAAAAUAUAAAAUGUUAGAAUAAAACACAAGUAAUCAUAUCAUUUUUCAAAUGAAUGGAAAAACUACAUAUUUAAUUUUUUUUUGUAAACAUAUGAAAUAUGAAUAAUUGAAUAAAUAUAAUUUUAAUUUAAAAUUUUGGGAGGUAAAAUGAAAGAAGAUAUUUUUAUUUAUAAAUUUUAGACCCAGCCUUGGGAAUGUAGAACUAUCAAAAGUUUCUUUUCUAUAAACCAUUUUAGAUAACAUAGAGAUAUAUAUUAUAAACUCUAAAAAAACAAUUAUUAUUAUUUGAUUUUGUAUUAGUGUAGAUUUAUAUGGAGUUAAUGAUUCAGUAAUUGUAUUUGAUUUAUUAUUUAAAAAACAUAUAAGGGUAGAGAUGGAUUUCAAUCACUAUAUAUAUCUGUCUAAAUUAAUAAUGAGACAGUUACAAAUUUAGUAAUUAGAUUCAAAAUAAUUAAGUAAUUAAUAAUGAGACAGUUACAAAUUUAGUAAUUAUAUUCAAAAUAAUUAAGUAUAUAGGAACAUUUUAAAAAUUUUGCAAACAUAGUAAAAUUUGUCAAAUUCUAUCAAUGAUAUAAGUCUAUCACCGAUAGAUUAUGUUGCAAAUAUUGACAUAUCACUGAUAGACCAUACGAAGUCUAUCAACGAUACAAGUAUAUCAGUGAUAGUUUUGCUUAUUUGCAAUUUUUUUAAAAUGUUGUUAUAUCCUUAAUUAUUAUUCCUAAAAUGAUCAUCAAUUGCAAUUUUCCUCCAACAAAAGUGCUAAACUUAGUGAUUUAACUAAAAAUACAAAUCACCACCAUAUAUUCAAAACUAUAUGACCAUAUAUCUUUUAUUUUUUUGUUUUUUUUUGUUAAAACUUUAUAAAAAGUUGGUGUCAAAAUACAAAUAGGAAAGUUAGAGGGAUGUAAUCAUUUGGGUUUUUUUUUUGAAAAAAAUAAACCUAAAAACAUUUUUACAACCAUAUCUUGUUUUAUUAUUUAGACCAACAUUCUAAAAUAAUUCAACCAAAAUUUUAAAAAGAAUUGUCAAAAAUAGUAAAUUUGACAAAAUAUUUAUAACCUAUAACAAAAAUUUUAAAUUCUAUUCAUAAUAGAAUUAAUAGCCACUGAUAUGCAUUGAAGUCUAUCAGUGACUAUUAUUGAUAGAAUUUAAAAUUAUAGUUUAUAUUUUAAUUUAUUUUACUACUUUUAAAAACGUCUCAAUUUUAGAAAGUAAAAUAUAUGUUUUCUUUUCUAUAAAAAAUUAUUUUUUCUUCUUCUUUUAGAUUAGAUAAGAAAUCAAACGCAUCGUACCUAAAAAAGAUAUAAAUUAUUAUAAGAAAUUUAGAUAAAAUAGACUUACUUGAUUUAAAAAAGGAAUAUAUAUGUGCGUGUGAGUACAUAAUUAAUUUAGUUGAGCCACUAAUAAGAAUUUUUAUUAAGAAAACUAAUAUGAAGAUUUUGAUAAAAAAGUUAUUAUCACAAUUAAAAAUAAAAGUUAUAAAGAAUGAAAAAUAUUUAGGAUUGUCCACACGAAUUGGCCCAAUCCCAAAAAGUAAUAAUUGUGAUAAUGAUAAAAUAACGUAGUAUAUUUGGAAAAAUAGUAAACAUAAAAAAUAAUUUGAUUUUUAGAAAAAUCGCUUAAGAUAGAUAGUUUUUUUUAUAGUUUUUCAACCAAUUUUACCUUUUGAUCGACUGAAUAUCAUUUUUGUUAGUUACAAUGUAUUUGUGAACCGUAAAACAAUAGAAUUAUUAUUGCAGUGUAUUUGCAUAUUAUUCAAUUUUAUAGUAAUAUUAAAUAAAUAUUUAUUUUAUCUAUUGAUCUCAUUUAACGAAAAUAUGUUAGAUUCAUGCCUUAAAUUGAUAACAAAUUAUUCUAUUUAUACAUUCAAACCAAAUCCUAAACAAUUUAUUUUUAUUAAUAUAUAUAUAUAUAUAUAAUAAUACAUAUUUAAUUCACACCAUUAAAUCAUUAAUAAUGCUAUUCGAUUUCAUUCGAAGAUUCCAAAAUUUGAAUUUAAAAUAAUAUCUUUUACGUAAAAUUAUGCAUUUUAUACGAUAACAAAUUCAUAUAAAUAAUGUAUCUUCCCUAUUCUUAAGCAUUAUUUUAUGAAAUAAAUGUUAAUAUAACGGCAAUGCAAUCAUUUUACAGGAAUAAGAUGAUAAAAUUUUCAUUAAACUAAUGAUACACACCUUAAAUCCACGGAGAAUAUGGGAAUAAAAUCCUUUUAUGUAAUUAUCAUUAAAUGAGUUAUAUUUUCCGGAUAUUAUUUACUAUCAUUUAAAAAUUGAUUAAAUUUUGAUUUAAAACCACAAAAACACUAAAAAAUAUUACUCAAAUGACAAUAUCCCAAAAAAGCCGUGAGAAUAAUAUGAUUUUUAUUUGAAAUUAUUAAUUGUACCAAUUUCUCUACAUAGUUUUUUAAUCCGGUUUUUAUUUUGGGGUACAAAGGUAUUCGAAUGAAUUUGUUUUUUGUUUUGGAAAUUCUUCCACGGCAACUGUCCACUUUAUUGUUCGCAUUUAUAUCGUACGCCUGUUUUGGAAUUCAUUUACCUUUAUCGUCUAUCGUUUCUUAUAAUGGCAAUGCAAUGUGUGAAGACUUUUUUUUAUGGUAGAUGGAUAGAAUAUUCUCGAUAUAUUGACUACCGUGUGGUUGAUGUAUUUGUUCCAUGCUCAUCUUCAUUUUGAGAAUUCUUACGGUGCAUUCAAGAUAGAAUUUUUUCUUCCUUACAUAUUUUUGUGUGUCGCAUUACUCUUUAUUGGGAUGGAUGCAAUAGUUUGAACCUUAUUCGGAUUGUUAAAGACAAGGACGUGUAUUGGCUUAUGUUGAUUAUGUCAAAAUUCCCUGACAAUAAUUUUGUUUUGGUUGUUGAUUCUAUACUUGUUGGGUCGGUUGAAAAUACAUCGUGUUUCAAUAAUGAAGUAAAUACACAGCAACUUGCACAAUGUACGUAUCACAUAUUAUUGAUGUUGAUUCCUUUGAUUCACCAAAUGAUGCAGUACCUAUUAAGGUCAGAGUAAAGUUCAGAACUAAGUCAAUAAUGAAGAAAACGAUUUAUAUGUUGGCUAUGAACAAUAGUUUUGAAUUUGUUACAGUUAGGUCCAACCGCACAUCAUUUGACAUUCAAUUCAAAGAUCUGUCGUGUUCAUGGUAUUUACGUGCUUAUGUGUUAAAAAAAGUGAUAUUUGGAUUGUUCGUAAGUUUACAGAUACACACCAGUGUGCCGUUAAUAUUGUUAAAAAUGAUCACAGGUAAACAUCAUCCUGAAUUGUUUCUGAGUGUACUACGUCAUUUUUUAGAUGAAUGACAAGAUGCAUUGAUUAGGAAUACCCAGGUAUAAUUUAUACAUCAAAUAUUGUGUAUUUGCUAUUAGAAAUUUUACUCAUUUUGGAAAUACAUUGUAAUUCUAAUAUAACAUUUAUUGCAUAAUUAAUAGGAAUGUAUACGGCUGAAAAAUCAGACGAUGAAGGUCGAUUCAAGUUCUAUUUCAUGGCCCUUGCAACUUCAAUUGAUGCAUGGAAUUAUUGUGUGCCAAUUAUUUCAGUUGAUGGUGCAGUGUUAAAGAACAAAUAUCUUGGUAUGUUCAUUUCUGCUUGCACUAUUGAUGGAAAUUCUCAAAUUGUGCCACUAGUUUUUGUUGUGGUUGAGUCAGAGAAUGACUUGUCAUGGACAUGGUUUUUUCGCAAUCUUAAAGUCGUUUUUGGAGAAAGUAAGAAAAUGGUAAUUGUGUCGAAUGCUCACAAGAGUAUAGAAAAUUGGUUUAACCUUGUGUAUGAAUUAGCGGAGCAUGGAUUAUGUGCAUUUCAUCUCUAUAAGAACUUGAAAAAACACCAUAAGUUGCUUCAUAUUAAGGAAUCAUUCCACAGUUGUGCUAGAGCUUAUACCAUGUUGAUGUUUGAGUACUACAUGAGAGAACUUGAUAAUCUCUCUCCAUCAAUUAGACAUGAGUUGGAAGGUAUCAGAAAACAUAGGUGGGCUAGGGCAUUUUUUAGGAAAAAGAGAUACUCGGUUAUUACAACCAAUAUUUCGGAAAGCACGAAUUCUACAUUGAAAGAAUCUCGAGAAUUACACAUAAUUAGACUUUUAGAAUCAAUACGUAGUUUGGUUCAAAAGUAGUUCUAUGAACGUCGCACUAAAUGAAUUUUUCAACGUACGAAACUAUCACUACAUGCAAAAGAUAUGAUUUGAUAUUUCUUAAAGGAAAGUCACUCAAUGAAUAUAAGUUUUCUCAGGCCUUAAAAAUAGUUGCAAUUAUUAUUUGUACAUGUUGGAAUUUUUUGUCCUAAAACUCGUAGUUUGUAAAUCAUAUUCUAUUCAAUAAAGUUGUUAUUGAGAAAUUAAAUAUUAUAAUCUUAAAUCCAAUAAAUCAAAGUUCCAAGGCUAUUUUUUGAAUAAACUUGAACUUUAUGUGUAAACAUAAACGUGGAUCAAGUUCGAGUAUAUAGCCUAAAUAGUCUAUAGUAUAUGAAAUAAAGGUUGGGCGCCUUAUUUUGAGAGACUAUGGAUGCGGCCCACUUUGUAGUACAAACGAUGUGAUCCUAAUCGUUCAUGUAGAGACAUGAAAGUGGGGGCAUCCUAUGUAAAAUGUUUACAUAAGACUGAACCAUGAAUUAGUCAUUUUUACGUUAUAACACCGUUUACUGUUUAAAACUGACUAUCUCAAUUAUUGAUGACCUAGGUAACUUAGUCUUAAUCCUGAGUUAACUAUGAACUCCUGUUCAUACGAGAUUAUCCUUAGAUCUGCAUAGGUGAGGGCAGCUCAUCAGCGUUGGCCCAAUAAGCCUCCCAUUUCAGGGGUAAGAUCGGGUGGAUAGCUGGGAACAUAGGGUACAAGAUGGAAUUCACUCCUACCCGCUUUAGGGUUAGUAGAUAGGUUGCUCUCUUAAGCACUGAAUCCAAGUCUUGAACAAGGGGCCCCACCCUCUCAUUGGCCCGAGAGGGAUUAAGUUUAUAGGUUGAACCUUAAACAACAAUAUGUUCAAUAGUGGAUUAGUGGGACUUAAGGAGCAAGAUGUAAUCUUGGGGGUAAAACGGUAUUUUGACCCAGCCAAGGUUACGAGCAACCUGUGAAGGAUUAACUUACUGAUUAUGGUUUUAUCAAAUGGACACAAAUAUAUCUAUAGUGAGGGGAGUGCAACUACGGGACUUUAGUGGAAUGACCCGUUAGUUAACGAAUGUUGAUUAACUCGGUUUAAAAGAGUUUAGCUAGUUAAUCUUGAAUCGUUGGAGCCCAUGAUCUAUAGGUCCAUUAGGUUCCUCUGCUAGCUCAUAUGGAUUAAACUUAGAACAGUGUGAUGAAAUAAGUCGAAUUGUUCGAAUAGGGAGAAGAAAGGAAAACCGACAUAUACAGUGAUAUAAUCGUCGGUCUUCUAAUUAGAAAUAGAGCUUUAUGUUUUACAUACUAUAAGUAUGAAUGCGGAUUCAUACUAAGAAGCUCGGAAUUGGUCAAAAAUAGUAAAAAGUCAAAAUGUUGACUUUUGACUUUGAAAAGUCAAACUUUGACCGGCCUUAUAUUCAAAUGUGAUUUGAAUUUUGGAAAAAUGAAUGCGGAUUCAUGCUCGGGAGGUUGGAAUUAGUCAAGACGGACAAAAUGGUAAAAAGUCAAAAUAUUGACUUUUGACUUAGAAAAGUCAAAGUUUGACUUUUGACUAGAAAAAUCUAAUGACCAUUUUACCCUUGGACUAAGUUAGUGGGAAAAUCCAACAUUUUGUUGGAUAAUCCCACUAACUCUUAGUGGGAUAUGUGGCUAUAUGAGAUAUAGACACCUAGCCCACUAAGUUCCACUAAUUGUUAGUGGAAUAUUAGGUGUUGAGAUUUGGCAAUUGAAUUGCAUGCAUUUUUGCAUGUAAUUAGGCUAUAAAUAGAGAUGUUUUCAAAUGUUGAAGGACUUUUGCCUCUUUUAUCAUUUUCAUCAUCUCAACAAAAGAAAAAAGAAAGCUUCCAAUCUCAUUUUAUCUCCAUUACUUUCUACACCAAAAUUGGGUCCCACAACCCGGUUCUUUGUCUAGAGGAUAGCAGUUGAGUACUAGUGGUGGUCUCGGGUAGAAUUGGUAAGAAGACAUCAAACCUUUUGUAAGCUUCAAAGGUAAUACUUCUUAAAACCCUAAUUUGAUUAGUUUAUGGUUACAUGUUAAUUGUGGCAAUUAGGGUAGAAAUUCGAUUCUUUUUCCGCUGUGCAUGACUUAGUUCUAUCAGUACACUUAUUUGUUAAUGACAUUUGAUUUAACAUUUGACAAAUAUAUCUUGUAGAUCAACAUGAAUUUGAAGUCCACCAUCGUACGGAACAAUUCACUGUCAAUAUUUUGGCUCGUACGUGCUCAUGUCACCAAUGGGACCUUGAUUUGAUCCCCUGCUCACAUGCAAGUAUUACCCUUUCUACAAGGAAUCUUAACUUGCAUAUGUACACUAAUAAGUUUUAUUCUAUUUCAAAUUUGAUAAACUUGUACAAGAAGACAAUACAUCAUAUUGGUAGUGUAGACCAAAUUAAGAAAACAUACCAAGGUGGCAACGGUGGACUUCUUCCGCCCUAGAUCAAACGUCCAGCUAGAAAGCUUAAAAAGAAGGGAUUUUUUAUAUUUUUAGAGAAAAAGGUGAUUGUUCAUUACAACAGGUGUGGUCAACGAGGUCACAAUUGUAGAUCUUGUAGAGAACUUAUUCAGCAUUAGGUUACCAUUUAAUAGUUUAUAUAAGUAUCAGUUACAAUUCUUUUAUCACUUGAUUUUUUUUAUCUCGUACUAAAUAUUUGAAUGGUUUGUUCAUAUAAAAUUUUGCUUCCUUAUUUAACAUACAAUGUAUUUGUUGUAUUUUAUGCGUUACUGAGCAUGUUCAAUUAUAAGGUAUACUAUAUUGUGUUUUGUAUGUUUCAACUAUCAAUCUAGAUAUAUUCAGGUUGUCAUAAUAUUGAAUUCAUGACAUAUAUUAUCUAACUGUGUAAAUCAACUUAUCGAGUUAUUUGAACAACCAUACUAUAUUUAUGUACAUGCAGACAAAUUUAACCAUUCCAAAGUACAUCCAGAUUUUGAUGACCUGAAUAUCAAAUACACUUUAUUUUAACAUUCACGUAUCUAGAAAUCAUGAUAAAUUUUUAUGACCUAUUCUCUAACUGUGUAAAUCGAACAUAUUGAAUUCUUUCAACAAUCAUUCUAUAUUUAUGUAAACGUAUUUCAUAGUUAACCAUUUCAUAGUACAUUUAGAUUUGAUGAUCGGAAUAUCAGAUACAAUGUAUUUUAAGAUUCACAUAUCUAAGAAUUACGAUAGAUUUUGAUUAAAUAAACUAAUAUAUAUUGUUCCAAUGUAAAUAAAACAACAAAACAAAAGAUAUUGUCAUAAAUUGAAGAGUUAAUAACAUGAAAUUUAAUGAAUAAUUAUCAAGUUUGACUCAGAUGAAAAUCAAAUGAUGGUAUUCCUGGAUAUGCAUUCUCCUUGUUGUUUGAUGAUAUUUCUAUUUCCUCUUUCGCAACAAUAUAUAUCAUAUUCCCUUCGUUGUUCGCUUAAUCUUUGUACACUGCUUAUCAAUUAAUAUCUUCAGUCGCAUAUCCCUUUCCUCUGCCAUCUUUAACAAUUCACCCUUGGUUGUGUUCAGCUACAAAAACGAAGUGUACUGUAUUUAAUAACAUAAGAUUUAUAAGUUACAAAGUAUAAAUAGGCAUAUUGUAGUACGAGGUAUUCUUACGUGUUUUAAUAUAACCCUUGUUGCUGGCUUUGUUUCGUCUAUAUUUGAGAGUCGGUCCUUAGUUGGAAAACUUCCUUUAACCUACAAUUUGGUAGCACAAUAAACUUCAAAUGUACCACGGUCUAAAUUUUGAAGCCGACAUUCAUAUUUAUUUAUAUUAGUACCUUUGCCAUUUGUUGUCUUUCUGUUUUCCUUCUUAAGUUUUUUUGCAUUUUUUUCAGUGUGCUUGCUGUUGAACCUAAGGAGGAUUGACCCUGUGCAUAGUAAUAUUUUAUAAAGCAUUACCUAACUCAUUAACAGAGUACUCAAACACAUACAACAUAAUCAAUGCAAACACAUUGUAUUUUUGUAACUAAUGCCAAUAAUUAAAUAUAUCCAUACAUAUUGUAUUCAGUAUGGUCUAUGUAUCCCUUUGACAUACAAUAGAAUCAAAAAGACUAUAUUCAAUAUUGAUGAAUGUUUUAAUGACAAUAUAACAUCAAAAAGAUGUAUAUAAGGAAGAGUUGGAAAUGUAAUGCCAUAAUAAUUAAUAAUCCUUAGAACAUCAGUAAUCCACUGUACCAAUUGUAAGUUGUCUUCUUCUUUUUGUUAAUUUCAUCAUAUAUAAUACUUUCAUUGAUUAAUCUAAUCAGCUCAUUUAGUUCUUCAUCUGCAUCAUAUGUGGCCUUUCAUCAUAUUUACACGGUUUAGCUUUAAACAUUUUCAACAUAAUGUAGUAUAAUUUACUUUAUGAAUCACCUUAUACGGUGGUUGAUCUCCAUCUUGCCUACUUUUGGGACGUAUUAUAUUGUUUCUGAUUUUGUUUAUGUUGGUUGUCCACCGGAUGGCCCUCCCAAUCCUUGACUCUCACCUCUAGCAACCCCUUCACUUCCCUUACUGUGGUCAUUGUCGUCCCUUUUAUCAAGGCCCUUCUGAUGCAUCAAGUCUGUGCUCAGGUAUUCAGCUUUAUCUUCUUCUUCUUCGUCCUCUUCCUUUCCCUCAUCUACCUUACCAAGGUGCUUUUCAAAUGACCUUGGCCCCU
RNAcentral lists this long non-coding RNA (128283 nucleotides) under Cucumis sativus (cucumber). RNAcentral describes it as "long non-coding RNA (CSAT_LNC001682)". The record is from RNAcentral. Lineage: Eukaryota; Viridiplantae; Streptophyta; Magnoliopsida; Cucurbitales; Cucurbitaceae.